RNAcentral lists this long non-coding RNA (89899 nucleotides) under Ananas comosus (pineapple). Its description in RNAcentral is "long non-coding RNA (ACOM_LNC031680)". The record is from RNAcentral. Lineage: Eukaryota; Viridiplantae; Streptophyta; Magnoliopsida; Poales; Bromeliaceae.
AAAUGAAAAAAGUUUUAUGCAGCUUGAAUUUUCAUUUUCCACCAAAAAACAGCAAAAAAUGAAAACUUCAAUUUUUCCCCAAACCCAUAAAAAUACUUUUUACAAGAAAAUGUUUUAACAUCAAACUAAACGAGCGGAGAUACAUUUUUCUUACUGAAAACAAUUUUUCGGUUAAUUUUACACUGAACCAAAUGCCCCUAGACCAAAUAUCAAAAGGCUAAACCAUUUCAACGCACAAACUAUAUGUAUUUACCAAUUAAAGACUAGGAAUUAGACAAAGAGAGAGUGAAAGUUGUAUUUCGUUUUUCCUUACUUAUUCUCUGUUAUAAAACCAGCAUUAGUAAGAACUAAGAACUGCUACUUAUUUCCAGUGCUAAACGUUAAGUCAAACACUGGUACGAGAAGCACUACAUCAAAAUGCCCCCAACUGCUACUUUCGUUAGCAAAUCGGAGCUUCUGCUUCCAUCAAACGCUAUACUAGUUACCGCUGCUGCUGCCCUAGGAUUACUCCCAGUUGCAGCCUCUAUUAAUAUUACUUAGAAACUAGACGUGUAGCAUAAUCGUGAAAAUGAUAGCAGCAAACCACUUUCCUACGAUCCUACCCACCUAUAAAUCGAUCAAACAGCAAUAAAAUCAUUCGGAAACCAAAAUUAGAGCAUCAUUAGAGAGGUGCUUGGAGUGGCCUCAAAAAUGGCGACCACAUAAAAUGGCGUGGAAACGAAGAGAGAUUGGGAUCGUACCUUUAACGGAGUCCUCGUAUGAGGGAGUAGAGAGGUUCCUCGACCUAGUGAAUGUUGACCAUUAGGGAUAGGGUUUGGUGUGGACGAGGCUUCGUCACAGGUGAAGAAAGAGAGAGACUACUGUUUCUCCUCUCGCUCUCUUCUUCUUUAGGGCGCGUUUGGUUCAAGUUAUGUAAUAUUAUAGGGUAUUUCAACAUAUUCAGGUAUUUUGGAUUUCUAAAUGAGAUUACUAUUGAUACUGCAUUAAAGCGUUUGAUUUAAUACAGUAAUAUAAUGCUGGCAUGCAGUGUUUAUAGCAUUACUAUGUUUGGUUCAGUCUAUAAAAUUUAGUAAUCCUAACAGAAAAGUAUAGUCUUUUCCAAAAUUGCCCUUGGGAUCAUUUGAAUAUUUUUUUUUUACAUAAUCAAAAAUCAUACAAUAACAAAUAAAUUUCAAUUUAGAAACUCAUCUAUAAACAAAAUCAUUAACCAAACAUCACAUAAAGGCACAUUAACAACAUAAUAUUAAAUAUAUAUUUUUCAUUUUUAAUAUCAAAUAGUACUAUUACCAAGUUAAGAAAUUAACAAAGCACCAUAUAGAAUAAAUAUUUCAUAGAGUCGAAACUUCCACACACAUCAUAAUACCAUCCAAAAGUGGAAGCUUAAACACUUACAUUAUAAAAAUUUAAAAGUUCUUGCACUAAAAAAAGGCAAGCCAAAAAAGUCUAAACCCAACUAUCCAACUCUAAUAACACAAUUUCUUCAAUCAUGUCCGCCUAAGAUGCGGAAAAUGUAUUGCUUUCGGUAAUGAUCGGGCAUGCACUAAAAUGUGUGUAAUUCUGUAGAAUCACCCGUUAGGAUUUCAGUGGCAUCCAUUAUUUGCCUGUCCUCAAGUCCCUCGAUCUUUAGUAUCUCUUCAAACAACUUCUUCUUUAUGGUCUCAUUAUUUGCCAUGAAUUGAAAGCAAUUAGCAAGCUGACCUAAGUGCUCGUUGGCAUCGUUAAAUGAAAUUCCAAGUGAACGCAAAGGUUGAACAAAAUUGUUCAUUGAUCAAAUCCUCUCCAAGUGGUGACUUUCGCUUCUUUGAUUUUGUCAAUGUGCCACCAUUCGAAGUGUUUACUCGAGCUAAAAAACAUCUCGACAUCAGGAUCUUAGGUGGAUGCGUGUGUCAUUAACUCUUCCUCUAGGGUUUUUAUUUUUAACUAGGGUUUUUAUUUUUAGGCCAACACAUGAUUAAUUAGGGCACAAAAAACAUAUAAAUUUUUCCCUAACAAUCCAGGAAAAGGGAGAUUUAAAAAAAAAAAAAAAAAAACGAGAUCCAAAACUAGAUUAAUAAGAAUCAAAAAUACCAAAGUGCCUGUUAAGCAUGUCCUGUAGAAAGAUUGCAACUAACUGAAACAAGACAUGGCUUCAGAUCUGACGAAGUUGGCAACAGAUAUAUAAUCAAUAUGUGAAAAAGAGGCAUAAACACUCCUUAAAUCGACGAAAAAAGGAAAAAAAAAAAAAAAAAACCUCCAAAUCGGAUCUAGCUUCAGUUCGAAAAACAUGGGUUUUAGCGAGAGAGGAAAGGUGAUUAAAUAUGUAUGCGAAAAUGGCGAAUGGAGGGUAGGAGAUUGCGAAGAUUACCUGCGAGGACGAAGCAGUGUUUCGUGCGAGAGAGAGUGAGAGCGGCGUGGAACAGAGAGAGGGAGAGGAGGGUAAAAUUGUUAUUUUACAUAUAAUAUGCAACUUUACCUCAGUAAUCCGAGAUACACACCCUACACAACCCCUUCGGUAGUAUUUUCCGGGUAUGUUUGGUUCAAAAUUAACUUGACAGAAUUACUGUUACAAUUACUGUGCGUAGUUUAUUUAGUAUGUAUUCUGAUCAGUAAUCUUGUAUUAUAAAUGGUAUAGGAUUAUACUGAAAAUGUUACUGAGCGGGGGUGGGUAUCUUAUAUUACAGUAUGUUAUUUUGCAUGUAUGUUAAAAUUACAAGUUUGUCCCUCCAAACUGCAACGCUUUCAAUACGUUAUUUUUAAAAUUUAAAUUUAAAUUUUUAAUUUUUAAUUUUUAAUUUUUAAUUUUUAAUGUUCAUAUUUUAAUUUCAACUUUUAAUUUUUAAAUAUUAAAUUUUUAAUUUUUAAUUUUUAAGUGUCAAGUUUCAAGUUCCAAAUUUUAUAUUUUAUAUUUUAUAUUUUAAACUUCAAAUAUAAAUUUUAAAUUUAAAUUUUAUAUUUUAUAUUUAUAUUUUAUAUUUCUAAUUUUAAAAUUUUUAUAAAUUUUAUAUUUAUAUUUUAAAUUAAAAUAUUAAAUUGUAUGUUUUUGUUUAGAUUUAAAAUUUAAAAUUUAAAAUUUAGAAUUAAAAAAUAAAAUAUAAAUUCAAAUAUUAAAUUAUUUAAAAUAAAAUUUAGUAAAAAUUAUUAUUUGUAAAUUGUAAAAAAUAAUUUGCCAAAUAUGACUAAAAAUAAUUUUGGAAUAGAUUACAUUUUAUUGUCAAAAUUACUUAAUUUUAUAAACUGAAUUAAACAUAGUAAUGCUAUUUACACUACAAUCCAACAUUAUAUUACUGUAUUAAACCAAACGCACUAAUACAGCAUCAGUAAUAAUCUCAUUCAAAAAUUCAAGAUACCUGGAUAUGUUGAAAUAACCUAUAAUGUUACAUAACGCGAACCAAACGCGCUAGUGUAAUCUUACGCCUUUUGUAAUGCUGAAAUAUCGAACAAAUUACAUACCAAAUAAACUAAAUACAGUAAUCCUGACAGAAUUGCCUAUAAUCCAGUGCUAAACGUUAAGUCAAGCACGCGUACGAAAAGCAUUACCUCAAAAAUGCCCCAAACUGCUAAUUUCAUUAGCAUAUCGAAGCUUCUAUUUCUAUCAAGUGCUAUACCAGUUAUUGUUGCUGCUGCCUUAGGAUUACUCUCAGUUGCAGCUUCUAUUAAUAUUACUUAGAAACUAAACGUACAGCAUGAUCGUGAAAGUGAUAGAAGCAAACCACUUUCCUAUGAUUCUACCCAUCUCUAAAUCGAUUAAACAGCAAUAACAUCAUUGGGAAACGAAAAAAAAAUUUUUUUUUUUGAGAGAUAGGUAGCACACUACCCGCUUCGUUUAUUUCAUUAAGAAAUAAACUUAGCUGGAAAUGUGAAUCAACUAGGAUUCGAACUUGGGACCUCGGGUACCAACCACCAAGUCCUUUGCCACUUGCUCUAGAGACGGUCGGUUGGGAAACGAAAAUUAGUGCAUCAUUAGAUAGGUGCUUGGAGUGGCCUAAAAAAUGACAAUCACACAAAAUGGCGUGGAAACGAAAAGAGAUUAGGGUCGUGCCUUUAACGGAGUCCUCGUAUGAGGGAGUAGAGAGGCUCCUCGACCUAGUGAAUGUCAACCAUUAGGGUUAGGAUUUGGUGUGGACGAGGCUUCGUCACUGUUUCUCUUCUCGUUGUCUUCUCCUUUAGGGGUGAGUGCCAAAUAGGGAACUUUUAUUUCCUUCCUCUUUUUAUUUUUCGGAAUGGGGGUUGCAAAUAGGGAGAGGCACCAAAAAGGAGAGUAAGUGUACUGUAUAAUACUUAUGUUACAUCAUCAAUAAUCAGCGAACUAAAAACCACUGGGUAAGUCCAGUGGUUCUACCUCUGGGAGAGGAUCUCUGGAGUGGAGGAAUCGAAUCCCCCUUGGUGUGUUUCUCUCUAGGGGGAUUUAUUUUCCCACUCUCCCCGUUGUGGUGUAUGUGCGUACGUGCGUGUGGGUUGGCCAACUUACCGGCUCUCUCUAAUAAAAAAAAUAAUCAAAAAAAAUAAUCAGAUAGGAUAUGUGAACAAUCUAAUUCAUUAGGAACGUUGCAUCAAUCUGAGCUAGCAUCAUACAGUGGGUAGAGUAUGGCUCCUAGUUGACGACUAUUUUUUUUGUGGCAUUAUUUUGGCGGCUCUUAUGAAAAAAAAAUAAAAAUUAAUUAUUGAUGGCACUUUAAAAUAAUUGCCCUUAAUAAAUUAAUUAUUAAACUUAUUUUUUUAGAAGUUGUACCGUCAUAUCAAAAUUCCAAAAAAAAAAUGCUAAACAAAAGGGUCUUUUUUUUCCUCCGCUGUAAUACCGAACAGAUUACAUAUUGGAUGAACCAAACAUAGUAAUCUUGGCAGAAUUACUCGUAAUCCAGUGCUAAACAUUAAGUCAAAUACUAGUACAAGAAACACUACAUCAAAAUGCCCCUAACUGCUACUUUCGUUAGCAAAUUGAAGCUUCUGCGUCCAUCGAACGCUAUACUAGUCACCGCUGCUGCUACCCUAGGAUUACUCCCAGUUGCAGUCUCUAUUAGUAUUACUUAGAAACUAGACGUAUAGCAUGAUCAUGAAAAUAAUAGCAGCAAACUACUCUCCUACGAUCCUACCCACCUCUAAAUCGAUCAAACAAUAAUAACAUCAUUCGGAAACCAAAAUUAGAGCAUUAUUAGAGAGGUGCUUGGAGUGGCCUCAAAAAUGGCAACCACACAAAAUGGCGAGAAAACGAAGAGAGAUUGGGUUCAUACCUUUAACGGAGUCCUCGUAUGAGGGAGUAGAGAGGCUCCUCGACCUAGUGAAUGUCGAUCAUUUAGGUUAGGGUUUGGUGUGGACGAGGCUUUGUCAGAGGUGAAGAGGGAAAGACUAUUGUUUCUCCUCUCGCUCUCUUUUUCUUUAGGCAUGAGUGCCGAAUAGGGAACUUCUUUUUUCCUUCCUCUUUUUAUUUUUUUAGAAGCGGGGUUGCAAAUAGAGAGAGGCACCAAAAAAAAAAGGAAGCGUACAAUAUAACACUUAUGUUACAUCAUUAAUAAUUAGCCAACUAAAAACCACUGGAUGAGUCCGGUGGUUCUACCUCUAGGAGAGGAUCUCUAGAGUGGGGAAAUCGAAUCCCCUGUGGUGCAUUUCUCUCUAGGAGGAUUUAGUCCCUCACUCUCCCCGUUGUGGUGUGUGUGCGUGAUAGUGCGGGUUGGCUUACCGGCUCUCUCUAAUAAUAAAAAUAAUUAAAAAAAAUAAUCAGAUAGGAUGUGUGAACAAUCUAAUUAAUCAUGAAUGUUGCAUUAGUCUGAACUAGCAUCAUACAGCGGGUAGAGUAUGGCUUCUAGUUGAUGACUGUAUUUUUUAUUGCACUAUUUUGAUGGCUCUUACAAAAAAAAUAAAUAAAAAUUAAUUAUUGAUCGCACUUUAAAAUAAUUGUCCUUAAUAAAUUAAUUAUUAAACUUUUUUCUAAGUUAUACCAUCAUAUCAAAAUUUAAAAAAAAUAAAAUCACCGGUGCUAGUCAUGCAACCUUUUCUUUUUCCUUCGUAUGUAAGGAAAAAAAAGCCCUCUUCGAAUUAAAUCUUGGAAAACUUCACGUCACCUUAAUUCCCCAAGAUUUCUUCUCUGGCCUCUCUUUCUUGUUCCUGUACCCCAUCUCUUUCGCCUUCAUCGCCGCUUGCCGAAAUAUUCCCCUUCUCGCCGUUCGCUAUUGCCGCUUUUGUUGCGGUGUGAGAGGAUCAGAUCGUUUGCCCCUUUGCCAAUUCUGCUAACUUUUUUAGAUUUUAUUGUUUGGUUUUUGAAUGGGUUUGGAAUUAUUUUUUUGAAUUAUUUUAUUGAAAAUUCACAAACUAUAUGUUUUGUAAAUUUAUAUUUUGAGUGGUUGUUUGUGAAAUUAUCACAUGAUGAUUUACUACUAUUUUUGAAAUUUCUUGGCAUUGUAGCCUGAGACCAUGAGGAUUGAGUCAUUCAUUUAGUAAUACUAAGAGAGUUGAAAAAUAGUUUUCUUGCUGAGUUAUUCAUUUGCGAUGAUGAUGUUUAUGACCUAUGAUUGCUUCUGUACAUGAAUCAAUAUGUUUGAAAGGUUUCUGUAAAGAUUUGGGCCAAUUAUUAAUACAAAUUAAUUGAAUUAUAUUUUUAUGCACUUAUGGGAGAACAUAUGUUUGAAAGGCCUUUUUUUCUCACGUUCUUUUUCUUAUUCUUUUCGAAGAGGGCGGCAAAGGCGAAGGCGACCCACCUCGCCUCUACUCUGCACUCCCUCGCCCUCGCCAGCACUCACGCACCCUCUCCCGCGCCUGCACACAUGCCGCCCUCCUUGCUUCAGACCUCGCCGAAGCUGCGCUCGUCGUCGCCCUUCGAAACGUCUCGCCUUGCCUCCACCCCAUGCGCCCUCGUUUGCGCCUGCUCAUCCUGCCCUUCUUGUCUCUGACCCUGCUGAGCUUUUGUUUUUUUUCUUUCCGAACCUCCUGCAUCACCUCUGUGACCCCCAACGACGGUAACGAGGACGGCACCGCGUCUUCUUCCUCUGCCUUUGCCCUUCAUCUCCAAUGCAGCAGAUUUUUCACUCACCAAACCCAUUCUGGAAACCCGCGUCCUCACCACCACCACCGAUGACAAAGAGAAAGCACUUCUUAAUGCUGAAAAGUGCACCAGUGAAGGAGGGAGCACGUGGCCCACCACGCCCACCCGGAGUAGGCGAGGAGCGAGGUGGAGAUGGAUAAGAGAACGACGACGGGAGGCGGCAAGCGCGGCCUCAGUGUGGUCGGAGGCAAGGAAAGCAGGGAGUGCACAAGAGCAUCUCUGGUCAAGCACUUCUGUUUGCUUAAAACAAAAAACAAAAACUAAAGGCUAAAAAUUAGAGAAUAAUAAAAAAAGAACUAAAAAAGAAGAAAGAAGAAGAUGAAGUUGCAAUAUUUUAGAAGAACGUUGCACUAUUAUAAAUAUAAAUCGUACCUUUUAAAAUAAAAGUUAUACUCUUUAAAUAAAAAUUGCACUCUUUGGGAGAUAGUUAUACUGUUUUUUGAGAAAUUGUAUAGCCAUUUCUCAAAGAGUGCAAUUUUCGUUUAAAGUGUGUAAUUUUUAUUUUAAAGAAUACAACUUACGUUUAUAACAGUGCAUCGUUCUUCUAAAAUAGUAUAAUUUUAUCUUCUUUUUCCAAUUUCUCUUACUUCUUUUUUAUUUUUUUCUCUCUUUUUUUUCUCACGUUCUUUUUUUUAAAAUAAAUUUUCCUUAAAAAAGGCGACGGGGGCGAAGGCGGCCCCCGCCUGACCUCUGCCCCGUGUGCUCUCCCCCUCACCCUCGCCCUCCUCUACGCUAGGGGUGGCAAUCCAGCUCGCUGCUCGCGAGCCAGGUCGUGUUCGGCUCGAAAAAAGUUCGAAUACAUAUAUUUUAUAUUUAUAUAAUUUAUAUUUAUAUAAAUAAAUAAAUAAUUAUAUAUAUAAUAUAAAUUUUUAUUAUUUAAUUUUUAGUNACUGUUGGCCUAGUCGUUCUCCUCCAACUAUAGUAGAUGGGUCUCUACUAAAUAGAAUUCCUCGUGCGACAUGACGAUGAGGUUUUCCAAGAGACAUUAAUGUCACUUCUUUUCCACCCUAUAUACCAUGUUCAAGCAUUAUAAAUGACAUUUUAUGACAAAUAUGUAAUUAGUUAAACAUAGUUGAAAUGUUGUAAAAAGAUUCAAAAUUAUAACUUACUUCAUCUCGAGAUAUUUCUUAUUGCGAUCUCAUUUUCUUGUAAUGUAUCUAUAAUAUUGAGAGAAUUUAUUCAAAAUUAAGCAUUAGAAUACAUAUUUAUCACAAAUUAAAUCAUCAAAAAUGAAUUUGGAGAGUGUCUACAUAAUUUGCUAUGAAAUAAUCUAAAAACAAACCCUAUGAGUCGGAAUUGCAUGAGUGGAUGAUGACGACGAAGACCAUUCCUCUCUUUCAAGUUUGUUGAUACCGUCUUCAUUUGCAUUGGUAAAGUUCUAUAGAUUUAAUAGUUGAACAAAUUAAACAAAAAAAUUAAAAUUAUAUGUACAAAAUACAUAAGAAAUGGUAAAACUAUACCUGUCUAGUGUUCAUAGAAUUAGAUUGGUGAAAAUCAUUUGGGCUUCGUUGCCAAGCAUCCAUCUUCGCUUCCAUUUUUGCUAAAUUCUUAUAAAUAUAAAAAUAAAAUUAUAUAAAAUUAUAUAUAUAUAUAUAUAUAUAUAUAUAAUUUUAUAUAAUUUUAUUUUUAUAUUUAUAAGAAUUUAGCAAAAAUGGAAGCGAAGAUGGAUGCUUGGCAACGAAGCCCAAAUGAUUUUCACCAAUCUAAUUCUAUGAACACUAGACAGGUAUAGUUUUACCAUUUCUUAUGUAUUUUGUACAUAUAAUUUUAAUUUUUUUGUUUAAUUUGUUCAACUAUUAAAUCUAUAGAACUUUACCAAUGCAAAUGAAGACGGUAUCAACAAACUUGAAAGAGAGGAAUGGUCUUCGUCGUCAUCAUCCACUCAUGCAAUUCCGACUCAUAGGGUUUGUUUUUAGAUUAUUUCAUAGCAAAUUAUGUAGACACUCUCCAAAUUCAUUUUUGAUGAUUUAAUUUGUGAUAAAUAUGUAUUCUAAUGCUUAAUUUUGAAUAAAUUCUCUCAAUAUUAUAGAUACAUUACAAGAAAAUGAGAUCGCAAUAAGAAAUAUCUCGAGAUGAAGUAAGUUAUAAUUUUGAAUCUUUUUACAACAUUUCAACUAUGUUUAACUAAUUACAUAUUUGUCAUAAAAUGUCAUUUAUAAUGCUUGAACAUGGUAUAUAGGGUGGAAAAGAAGUGACAUUAAUGUCUCUUGGAAAACCUCAUCGUCAUGUCGCACGAGGAAUUCUAUUUAGUAGAGACCCAUCUACUAUAGUUGGAGGAGAACGACUAGGCCAACAGUAUUGGGAGGUCUAUGUUGAGGUUGCUAUAAUGCCCAAUGAGAGCCUGAUUCGUAAUUUCCAAAAUUUGAAGACAAUCGGUGAUGCUGCUCGAAAAUCAAUUGCUUGGCCUUCUUUUCUUGUAAGUUUUAUGUUUAUGUUUAUAUAUAUUAAUCAACUAUUCUUUUCAUACAAAAUAUGAACUAGAUAAUUGAAUACUAUCUUUUUUCCAUUGUGAUAGGUUAAAGAAGAUGGAAGAUGAAGAAGCUAUGUGAUCUUAAGAAUGUUUUGGAGAUAGCCGCUUUGAAGCCAAUUGAUUGGCAUGUUAUGCAAACAUUUUUUUUUUGUUUUGAGUGGCUUAUAGAUAUUGUAUUUGUUGUUUCAGACCUUUUGAGUUUCAAACAGUUUAUAUAAAAUUUUUUUUGAAGUCUUUUUUAUUGUAUGGCUCAAUUGUUAAUAGUUUAAAUCAAGUCUUGGCUUAAACUUAUUUUUAAAGUACCUGUGGCCUAUAGAUUAUAAUGUAAAACUUUUUAUAUCAAUGAAAUUUACUUAAUAUAUUGACCUGCUUGCUUCAGUAUAUAAAAUUGAUGAACUUCUAGUAUUGAAUGACUCUUUGACGCUAAAGAGAAAAUUGUGACAUUUAUUGGUGAAUAAUUAAAAAAAUAAAUUCUUUUUGUGAUUUUCUGAACUAGUGGAAAAUACUAUUUGCUAGCAUUUUAGAUUGUUUGAAAUAAUAUUUUUGUUGGUGAUUUUAGCUGUUGCCAAAUAAUAGUUUUGAUGGUAAUUUGGAUUGCCAGGAAAUAAUUAUUUGCUAGUUAUUGAAAAAGCCACCAGUUUCUCAUUUGAUGGCAUAUAAAUUGCCAAGAUAAAUAGUAUUUUUAGCACUUCAAAUUGCCAGUAAUUACUAUUUAUCAGCACUUCAAAUUGCCAGUAAAUAUUGCUUUGCCGGCAAUUUAUUUUUGCCGACAGUUGCAUUACUGGCAAUUUAGAAAAUGCCAAGAUUGAUCUUUAGUAGCAGUUUUGGCUACUUUUGCUGGCAGUUUUGACGGCCAAGAAAUAUGAUAUUUCUUGUAGUGGUCCUAUAGGGCGGCGACGAGUGCAGCCCUAAUGGGGUCGGAGGUGAGGAGGACGCGGGUUGCGAAGGCGCGGGUGAGGGCGAGGGCGCAUGGGGUAGAAGGCGAGGCGGGCCGCCUCCGCCUCCGCCUCCGCUACUUUCUUCGAAGAAAAUAAAAAAAAAAAAUGAGAAAAAAAAGAGAGAGAGAAAGAAAUAAGAAUAUUUUGAUCGAUUUUUUAAAAAUUUGAACCAAAUUUGCAAAAUCCAAAAUGGUGGCCUAAUUUUACAAAAUCUCAAAACUAUUGAAUAUUUUUUUGCAAAUUGGUCAAAAUAAAAUUAAAAUUAAAAUUCAAAUUAAAAUACAAAAUAUAAAAAUAAUUUACAAAUGAGUUUUCACCUCAAAAUAUAAAAUUAAAUUUAUAAUUUAAUUUCAAACUAAAAGUUAAAAUAUUAAAAUAAUAAGGCAAAAUUUUAAAUAUAAUGUUAAAAAAAUUUAAAAUUAGAAAUUUUUGUGAAUUCAAAAAAGCGACCCAUAUUUACAAAGUUGCAAAACUAAUAAUAUUUUUUAAUGCAAAAUCACUAUUUUAGUUUUAAAAUAUUGGCCAACAGAAAAAAAAAAAAAAUUUAAAUUUGGUUAAUUAAAAUUCAUUUUCAAGCUUAAAUUAAUUAAUGAUGAUGAUAAUAAUUACGGGGAAACAAACAUGUGAAUCAUCUGCGACUACGCCCUCGAUCGCGAAAGAGGCACCCAGCAGCAGCCUUCCCUCACUGAGGGACUCGUCCGCCAGUGGAAUGAUCCGGAAGGCGGAGGCAGACGGCGGCGAGGCCUCGGGAUCGGGGCCUCCGCCGGCGGGUGCGGACGGGGAGGAGUCGGCGGCGGCGGCGGCUGCGGCGGUGGGGGAUCUGGUGGCGGCGCUGAGCCGGCGGCGGGUCUACCGGGAGGUGACGCUGGCCCUCCGCUCCGGCCUCCGCGACGCCCAGGCGGACUUCUCCUUCCUCCGCACCCGCGGCCUCCGCCGCCUCCUCAAGUUCCUCCGCUCCUCCGCCGCGGCCGCCGCCUCCGACGAGUCCCUCCGCCUCUUCCGCCACUCCCAGUCCCUCCCCGACCUCCAAGGUUUCUCUCUUCCUCGCCUUUCCUUCUUCCAGUCUAGGGUUUCCAUAGUCCUCUCGAUUUCUCUCGCCCUUCCAAAUUGAUUUGUUAUUGGACCCUUUCAAUGCCCUCAUAGCCGUUUAAGGAUGUUUGCCGAACGAUGUAUGUUCAUGGAUCCUAAUAGGCCCUGGAAGAUUGGCGCGUGUAUUAUUGGGGGUGCCAGUGUGAAAUUCGUACGCCUGGCUGCUAAACAGGCAGAGCGCUUGAUCAGCUGAGACGCCCUGCUUCCCAGAGGGUCACUCAUUCUAAGACUACUCUAACCCUACCAUACUUAACCUUCAUAACUUUUUGGGCCUAGCCAACACUCAAAAUGCUACAACUGGAUUAAGAGGGUUAGUCCUAUUAUAUUUCAUAUAUAGGGCUAUUUAAAAUCCUGGGGGUGUCGCAAUCCUCCUCCUUCUUGUCAGGCUCAAGCAUCAGGCGAAGUGAGACUAAUCUCGUUAGCCUUUAGCCGACCUUAUGGGGAGCCGCGCGCCACCCACAAUGGUUAUCAGCUAGGGAGUCACGCUUUGCCUGUAUAACUCUGGUUCAGCCGAGACUCAUCUCACAUUUCCGGAUGGUGAUUGGUUGUGAUACCAAAUACGACGCCCGCUUCCUAGAGAGUUAUCUUUCUUUUGACUAGCUCUAGCGCGCUUAACCCUCUUAACCUCUUGGGACUAACCACCACCCAAAAUACUAUGGUCUGAUUAAAAUGGUUAGUCCUAUUAUAUCUCAUAAAUAGAACUAGGGUGUCAUAUCAGCGUUGCUGUAUAAGGCAGUAAAUCAAAAGUUGAAGAAGGCUCCAUGGAAUAAUUAUGACGGAUUUUGUGGUCCAGCUAGCGAUCAAUUUAAGAAUGAUUCUCUAGCAUUUUGUGUUGAGUAUAUGACCCCCAGCAAAAGACAUCUCUCCGAUGAACAUUGCAGUUAAAGGAUUGGCUACAGAGUGUUGCUCUAACUUGAAAUGCAUCAUCGGAGGUUAGUAGCUUGAAGCAAUCAUAGCUUUCGCUCAUCAUAACUUUGGAAUCUUCAGCUAGGGAGAUUCUUUGCAUGGGAAGUGUAAUGAGACUUGUGUGAACUGAUUCGAGCUCUGGGGUAUUGUCUUUCAAGGAGGACUCUAAACUAAGAAGGAAGAGAUAUUAGGUAGAUUGUUGUCCCCAUCUGUUUAACUGACCUUGCCCUGGAGAAUUUGUUGAUUAAUAGAAUUUUUUGGGUUAAUCACUUGUGAAGAGUAGUCCCAUAGUUGAAUUGCUUCUAAUGUGGGCUUGGCUUCCUUCUCUCCCUGCCAAUUGGUAUCAAAGCAGGCGGCCUAAAGGUACUCGACUGCUCUAGUAAGUGGUAAUAAUGUGGUAUGGUGCGGCCAAUUGGUGGCUCCUGUGGACAUACCGGCUGUUGGGGUGGAGUCAUGGUAACAACUAAUGUAGCAUAGCCGUAUGAUUUACUCAAUAGAGUAAGGCCCUAGGUUACGGCAUGCGUAUGUUGGUUUGGUGCACCAAAGCGUGAGUUAGGCACAUAGGCCUAGAUGAAUGUGUUUGUGAUGACUUGUGUAGAGCAGUGAUGGGGAUAAAAAGUUGAGUAAGUCGGUACAAAGCUUGGUGAGGAGUAGUGUAUGGGAAUCAGCGGGUAGUUGGCUAAUUCACAUGUUAGCAGGCGAUUAUUGGUGUUUCAUAGGCUAUGUAUCACGACACUUCUAUAAAUCUCGCGUGUCCGUGUCGAAUACGAUGCAGGUCCAUAGCGCAUGUUAUUAAAAAAUGCGUUUUUAUUUUACUUUCUUUUACGCAUAUAUAAUAUAAGAUGAUAAAUAUUUUGGCUUUUUGAUGAAUGCAUACAAUUUUUUUAUCGUGGAGAAUUUCUUUCCUUAAAAUAUAUGAACAAUCAAUGAGAAUUUUAUUAAUUUUCAUUCGUAUGAGAAAUAUAAUAAUAUUUUAGCAAAAUUAGUACUCUAUACAUAAUAAAUAUAUACUAUUAUAUUAAUAACAUUAUAAUUUAUUAGCGGUGUCCAUCCUAUGUUCAUGUCCUAAUUUUUCGGAAGCUGUCGAGUCGUCAUGUUCGAGUCGUGUCAUGUCGCAUGUCCCGUGUCUGUGUUCAUGACAUCUAGUUUAUAGGUGAAGAACAAUCCCAUAUAAAAAGAUGAGAAAACAAUUUAACGUUUGAUACAUUAGUACUGGAUACAUUGAUAUUGGACCCAAAGCUAAUAGCUCAACUUUUCGGUUAAAUAGCUUCUGAUGAUUAUGUAAUAUCAUUAAGUUUAAGUCGGUUUGGUCUUCCUUGUCUGCCUAACAGAAUUUGGUGCCUAACUACUGAGGGGUGUAAAUUUGUUGAGACUCGAGAAAGCAGUCUGUAAUGCUAGUUGGCGAGUAAUUUUUUUUGCUUUUUUGGUUAUGCAUUAUUUUGCCCUGAUUAAGCUGUAGAAUACACCAGUUAUUCUUGAGCUUCGAAGUUUAAUUCUUUAAUUUAGAUUAGCCUGCCUUGGCUGUUUCAGAUGUUACCUGAUGCUUAGCUUUAUACCUGGAAUGCUAGUUUCUCCUAUGAUAGAUUGUCAUAAUGUAUCCUUUUUACUCCUGACUAAGAUCUUUGGAAGAAGUUCUCCUACUAACAAGGUUAUGUUCUGUAACAGUGAUUCCUGUUCUAUUUCAGAAUACUUUGCAUCCGCGCAAAGAGAACCCCGAUGUGACUCUGAAUCACAUAUUUGGAGUGGAGCCGGUGAAGAUUACUAGUCCUCCGACAGACUCUGAAGUUGCACUUGCUCUUAGAGUUUUAGAAGGUUGUUGUCUUUUACAUAGUGGAAGUGCGGCUUUGGCCUACAAAUACAAGGCAGUUAAGGUACAGCUUGCUAGGUGUUAUAUGCUUAAUCCUGAAUGCAAAUGCUAGUAUAUCUCUAUGUCUUUGUUUUCUUUUCUUUUUUCAGAAAUCUAAAGGUCGGUUCACUUCUAGUUAGAGAGUCACGGAAUUAGUUUUAGUAUUGCCAGUUCUGUUGGUGAAGGAUUUUUUUUUUUCAUGUCCUGGUAGUUGAGAAUUUAAAAUUAAUGCUAAUAAUGAGAAUGAGAAACUAAUAUAAAUGAAAAAAAUAUAAGUUUGACAUUAUCAUAGCUUAUUUCAUUUUGUAGUUUGAAGUCUGGCAUACUCGGAAGAAAGAUUUCUAGGGUGAAAAUUCGACCGUGUUCUAGGGAAUGGUCAGUUUGACAAUUGAAAUAUCAGUGGGAAUCUAAAAUCUAGAUCAAACCUUUUGAAAGCUUAAUGAUAAAUUUAACUUAGCUGCAACAGGAUUAGGUGAUCAUGCACAGUGCUGAUGUUUUGACCAAACUAUUGAGAAAGGAAAUUCUUGUAGAUGUUUGACCAAACUAUUGAGAAAAAAAAAUGCUUGCAUGCACUUAUUUUGUCAUAUUAAAGCUUCUAAAUAGCAUUGAUGAAAUCAUGUGAAAUUCUGGACUCGUGCUUAAUUUCCUAUUCUAGUAAGAAGCUAAGAAUGUUCAUCUGGUGCAGGUACUUGUGAAUAUAUUAUCAAACCGAGGAAUACCUGAACAAGAGGCAUGCUUGGAUGCUCUAAUAGCAUUAAUGUUGGAGUCUUCCUCCAAUCAGAUGGUAUGCUACCAUUCUAACACUGUUAAUUAGAGAUUUCUUUUUUGGCUCACUAGUCCUCAGGGCAGACCAAUGUAUAUAUGACAUCCAUCAAGCUACUUUUCAUAGGAAAAGAUUACAGCAUUAUGAUCACAUUCACACAGAUUUUCCCUUCUCUAUCAAUUAGGGGCUGUUUAGUUCUACGGAAAACUGUGGAAUACUUUUUUUCGAAAAUCUCUUUUUAAGUUUUUCGUCCGUUUGGUUUAAAGGAAAACUAGCUUUUUCGGAAAACUUGUUUCCAGAUUUUAUGGAAAACUAGUGUUUUCGUUUUCCAAUUUUUUUAGGCCCCAAAAAUACUAGUUUUCCAUAAAAUCUGAAAAAUAAAAGCUUCCCAAAAAAGCUAAUUUUUCUUGGAAUCCAACGGACCGAAAACUGAAAAAGGAAUUGUCCACAGAAAACCUUUUUUAGAGGAACUUUUUCCAUACUUUUUUGAGGAACCAAACAGCGCCUUACUGCAAAUGAGGUGGUAGAUGCAACACCUUUCGAAGCAGAUUUGCUUGUUACCUUAAAAUGAAUGAGACGUGUGUGCAAAAAACAUUGAUUGAUUCUAAUUAUAACAUUUGCAGUUAUCAUUUUGAUAUUUCUUACUGGAUAAUCAUGUUUCAUUUUUUAUGUUUUGAUAUUUAAGCGGUUGUUUCUAAAGUGUAAUCCCUAUCCUAUCUUGUUACUUUGUAGUCAGUUGUGGUGAUAAACAUGUCCUAGCCUGUUCUAUAUGCUCGUGAUGAUCAAGCUUUUGAUGGACGAUUUAAUAUUCUUCCUUAUUGCUAACAAUUACACCCCUCCCAUCUUUUUAGAUUAUUUGCAACAUGGUUGGGCCUUAUUAACUUUCAAUUUAACAAAAGGUUUCUUGGUGGUAUAAUUAUCUCAUGGCGCUCGUACUAGGCAAUUUGAUUUGUCUUCUCAUGCUCUCAAAGAUAGGUGAUUAUUUGUGCCACCAAUAUGUAAACUGAAACUGGCUGAGUGGACAUAAUUGUUAAAUUCAACAAAAAAUGGUCGACUUUUUAGUUGACGUGCAUAAAAACCUAACAGAUGGAGCUUCUGAAAGUUUAGUAGUUUGCUUAUGAAACAAUGCUAAAUUUCCAAAUGGCACAGCCUUGAGAUUACAAGUUGUCUCACAUUUUGCCAAUAUCUGAAGCUGAUUAUAGGUCUCUUCGUUUAGUCUCUGUUAGUUGUCUCCUUUAAUAAGUAUUUCAAGUUGUAUCUUGAGAAAGAAACCCUAAUGGGCCUAUUUGGCACCCAAGAUUGGAUAGGAUAGGAUAAGACAAAUGCAAUCGGAGUGUGAGGUUCUUGUGCCAUGGAGGCAGGGAGAGUCCAGUCGGCUCCAAAGGUGUGCUUGAUUUCAAUCCUGUUCAAUUCCAACUUUUUAGGUGGGUUUUGAUAAUCCCAUCAAACAUUCUUGUUUGACCCUAUCAGAUUCGAUAAUCCGCUCUCAUGAAUGCGGACUUUGAAUCACUAAACCUUUAUUCUUUUUCAACACUGCUCACUCGUUUUAUCCUAUCCAUCUCAUCGUGGUUGACGAAGGAACCAACUAUGACUUAAUUGAUGAAUUAUCUGCCUAUGAGGCUCUACGAUUGAACUAUGCCUGUGAUAGAGGCAAUCUCUCUCUCUCUCUCUCUCUCUCUCUCAUAUUGGUGAAUGAAUUUCAUUUUGUAGGAUUUUGCGGAAUGCCAUGGGGUUGAAAAAAUUGCGGAGCUUAUAAAGGACGAGCAAGCAGACGAAAUUCUAAGGUCAGUUCUGAUUAUCUUUAAGUUAAGUUAUCUUUUUCCUUGUACUAUGUAAAAUCUUGUUUCCUUCUGUCUUCAUAUUUCAUUUUAUUUGUUUUGCCUAGUUGUUUUUGCUAUUGCGAUUAUAUCGAUGUUAAUUGAGAAAGUAUGACUUUUCUUGCCCAUAUAUACUUUCGAAGAAAAGAAGAAAUGAAAAGAAAAGUUUUUAUUUAGUCAGACAGAUCAGGGUCGUGUCCAAUUACAUAAAUAAGGGCAUCUCCUUAUAGUUAGUGCAAUUCAAAGUCGCCUCCUCCUUAUACUAAGUAAAUUUUAGUUUUUCUUUCUGAAAUGCAACUUUGAACUACUAGAAACAUGCAUUUUCAUGUUGCUAAAAAAAAUACUCAUAAGUCAUGAUAUACUUGCAAUUUGAAGGCUUAAAUGAGAGGGUCUAAGACUACAUGCAUCAGGCGAGUUAAUAGCUAGGAAAUGAAUAUUUGGUUCAGUUUGCAUAGUUGAAGAAGUCAAGGAGGUGAUGAAGAUGCGUCCAAAAGGAUGAAACAGAGAAGGAGGAAACAAAUAGAUGAAUAUAAGAAAUGAAAACGGAUGAUAGACAAGGGCAUGCAGAAACACUUCUAUUUUUAUUAAACAUACAUUUGAAAAUUACAGCACAUUAGACUCCAUAUUUGGAUUAAAUAUUCUGGACUCCUAUUAUUUCAUAAAUAUUUUGAGGACUUGCGCUUGGAAAUCGUGAGGAAGAAAGGGAUGACAUAUGGGCAAAAGAAAGACGUGUGGACUGCUCGUCUUAUUUCCAACUCUAUAGUCAUUGCCGUUCAUGGGCCCCACAAAGCGUCAUCUAUUAUUUUAUAUAUGGACUUAAAUGCGCUAGAGCCACUUGAACUUUUGCCCGUUUACACAGUCAUCCAAACUUGAAAAUUUCAGAUUCACUGCCUUUUUUUUUUGCAAAUUAACCACCUAAAUCUAUAACUCAUCAAUUUGAGGAGACUUGGACCAUGUUUGGCCUGGCGGUGCGGCCCGCUCGUGACCGCAUGGCAGAGCUUUCGAGAAAGCUCUGAAAUCGGAGCUUUCUCAAAAAGGCUUGGUCUUGCGGUUGCCUGCCACAAACACGGGCGCAUCUGCAAAGCGAAACAGGCGCUUAUAUUAGCCAAAUGGUGACGAAACAAUAAAGGACACACCUGCAGUUGGUAUAGAUGACUCUUCUUGAUGCCAGAAAUCGUUCAUUUGGAUAAAGUUGACCAUAAUUAUCACUUUGGAUUUUUAACAAAUUAAAUGAUAAAGAGUAAUUUCUUUACUGCAAGAUUAAAGUUUAACGCGAAAAAGACUCUUGCUAUAUUGCUGAUGUGCAUCCAUUGUUGUUUCUUAACCAUUUAGCGAUUGCUCCUCACUUUGAAUUGAUAAAAUACAGACUUAGGCAGCUAAANUACACAUCUUUGCAAAUAUAAAUUUUAUAUUUAUAAAUUUUAUAGGAUUAUUUGAGAAAAAAAAUAAUGAGGGAGCUAAAUGUAAAAAAAAAAAAAAAAAAAAAUUAGUAGUUUUGGUGGCAAAUUACAAAAUUUUUAAAGUUUAGUUGACUAUCUGCGAAUAGGCGCGAGUUCAGAACAAGUUCAGAUUGUUCUGGUGCAUUUAUCCCGUAAAAUAUGGAGAAAGAACCAUAUAUGGUCUCGCGACCCAAAAUUUAUUCGAACAUUUUCUUAUUAAUUUGAGACCUAUUUAUGCUCUCAAAAACAUCUGCGUGUGUCUGGGACCUAGCUUCUAAUUGCCUGUGGUUUUUUUUUUUUUUUUCCCUUUCUCUCGGGUGCAGAUUAAAAUGCGGUGAGUUCCUUUUGCUACUCAUCGGAAAUCUAAAUGGGAAGGAGAACUCUCCCUUGGCGAACAUACAGGAAGAUAUAAGGCGGCUUCUAGGAGAGAAGUGUGCAUCUCUUAUUUGGGCCGCGAGCCAGUUUGGUUCAACCCUAGAUGCAGAGCAGAGGCAGACGGCCCUUCGCAUCCAGGCCCGAAGAGUUGUCGAGUCCUUAGAGCUCUCUUGAUUGUGCGUAUUACCCUUUUCUUCUUUUCUGUAUUUAUAUUUUAAGUUGUUGUUGUUGUGUGGUAUAAUCCUCAUUUAUAGAUAUUAAAAGUUUUUUCCACUGCUUUUAUCUCUACAUGUACUGUUCCAGGGUUUAUAUCUAUAAUCUCCACAUGUACUAAAGAUUAUAGUAUUUUCGCUAUGUGAUUGGGUUUUCAUUUCUCAAUCUUAUUGUCUGCAAUGAACUGCAUAUAACCGGAGCCGUGUGUGCGAAAACAUCAGGAUCAUAGCUGGUCCCCAGCUUUCAUUUCAUCCUACUUUUAUUUUUGGUAUCCAUCUUUUCUUUUUUCUUUUUCUGGUAAUGUUUAUUCGUCGUCGCAAUCAAGUUUCUUUUGUUAAACAAGAUUAUUUGCUUGGACGGCGAAAAAUUGUCUGUGUCAGUAGCAAGCCUUAUCACCAGAUAACGUUGUUGUUCGACUUUAUAAAAUUUCAAUUACAAUUUAGUCCUCUCACAUCAUUCUCCUCAUCAAUGAGGGCCUGUAAUUGCUACUCUCUGUUUUAUGUAUGGCCAUCAAUAGAUUAUCCGGAUUUGCUUGGUUGACAAGAUAUGUAGAGGUCUUUGGACCAGAUCUUUUUUUGGUAAUUUAUUUAUUACGCAUAUUUCAAUUUCUUUCUGAUGCCACACAUUUAUUUUCGAUGAUAAUGGAGCCUUCAAAUCCACGAUCGGCACCGUUGAAUAUGAUUUAUACUAUUUGAAGCUUCUAGAAAUCAAAUUUCAUGCUUUAUCGACAUCGUUCAGUUGGCCAUCAAGUGGACACAAAAAUUAAAGGCUGAAAAUGAACAUCAUCUAAAAAGUGAUAAUAGGAAUCUUGUAAUCAAGAUCGACUUGUUCUAAGUAAUUUUAAAAAUUUUUUAAUCAAAAUUUAAUUGAUUUGGAUAUCUUUACACCGUUAAACAAAAAAACGUUUUAUAUCGAUUAUUAAAAAUUAUAAAUUUUGAAACCUUUUGGGUCAAUGAUGUCGAAAAGAUUUAAAAUUUAGUUUCCAAAUACUUCAAGUGGUAUAGAUCAUAUUCAACAGUGCCGGUCAUCGAUUCGGAGGCUCUAUCAUCGAAAAUAAAUAGGUGGCAACGGAGCUCGAUUGAAAGCCGGGGUGAAAAGGUAAAAAAAUGGGUAUUUAUAAUAAAAUAUUCUGUAUUUUAGUUAAUAUUUUAUUUCGAAGGUAGGUAAUCAUUUCUCUCGCGCGAUCCAGCUAAUCAUCCAUCAGAGCAUUCAUCCGUCAGAUUACCCGACGAUGCGAAACUUAUGUUCAUAAAAGUGCAAAAAAAAAAAAAAAUGAUAAUAAUAAUGCCAAACUAGCUUCUUGUAACAUAAUAAUAAGAUGUAAGUUAAUAAAUGAAGGGAAAACUUCAAAAAACCCCCUUGUGAUUUCGUAGUUUCUCACUUUGCCCCUCCUGUGGUUUAAAAUGUAUCAAUUUGUCUCCCUGUGGUUUCUUUUUUCUCUUUUUCUUAUCAAUUUCAUUAUUUUUUUUCUUAAAUCAGUGAUAAAGUUAAAAUUAAAGAGUACUAAAGUGAAUAUUUGAUAAAUCUAAAUAGGUAUCUGAAAUUUUUUGUAUAUAAUUUAAUGAAAUAUUAAUGAAAAAGCUACCGAAAAGAUAAAAACGAAACCAUAGGGGAACAAAUUGAUACAUUUUAAACUACAGGGGGGCAAACUGAGAAACUACGAAAUCACAGGGGGGGUUUUUGAAGUUUUCCCAUAAAUGAAAUAUAAAUAUGCUGUUCACUUGUAUAUGUAUCAAUCAUCAAAUAGAAGCAGAGCUACUACUCGUCUACUACUACUUUUGGCGAGAUAGUGAUAGCAGGAGUGGUCGGUUGCUUUAAGCCAACACGGGCAUAAUGUAAUUGAGACCCACUUGAAUAGCAACUUGCUUUAAAUAAUAAUUAGCCCUCCUUUGCAAAACAGGACAAAAGGGACACAAAAAAAAAAAAAAAAAAAAAAAUUAUCAGCAGCAGGGCAAAAAGAGAAAUCAAGAACGUCGGAAAGAGACCGGAAAAUUGCACUACAGUUCACCUGAAAAUGACUUCCAUAUUAAAAAAAAUACAAAAAAAAUGGAAUAGUUGCAUGCCACUUUCUAUAAUAAGAAUAUUAAGUAGUAAAUAAGUUUUUAUAAAAUUUAAGUUAUUAAAUUUAUUCUUUCAAAAGUUCUUCCGUAUGUAAAUAUACCUUUCUGUUGUUAUAAUUUAGAUAAUUAUGAAUAAAAAAAAAGCUAAUCACGGUUAGGUAAAUAGUAAAAUGACCUUUUUAUGCUUUAUAUAUAUUUAAUUGUAUUGUAAUAUUGAGACUCGUCAUCUUUUUCAUCCUCUUCUCUUUAUUUGUGGUGAUGCCGAGAUUGGCGGGGAUGGUGGCAUCGAAGGCGAGGCCCGAAGAUGAGGUAUGUUGUGGGCGAUAGCGAAGACAAGGAGAGAGGAGAGAGAAAAAAAGAAAGAUAUGUUUUUUCGGCCAGGAAUAAAUUUGUAACGGUAAAAUAGUUAUUCUACGCACCGAUUAUUAAAAAACUAAUGGCGAAUCAAACAAUACGAACAAAUAUGAAUAUAUCAGAACUUUUGGAGAGAUAUAUUCGCAAAUUAUAGAAUUUUUGGAGGAAUAAAUCUGAAUGCUUAAGCUUUGUAGUGAUUUAUUUGCUAUUCGACACUUUUACAGGGAGUUUUAUGAAAUUAACCCUAUUACCCUAUUAAAAAUGACUUAAGUUGAAUUAAAGUAAUUUAAAAAUAGGGUAAAAUGUACAGAGACCUUCUGAACUUUAGUUCUUUUUUGAGUAGGUCUCUAAACUAUUAAUUUGGACAAUUUCGUCUCAUAAACUUUAUCAAAUAGUUCACUAAGUCCCUCUUCUCAAUUAAAGUUAUUAAUUACACAAUAGUUUUAGUCAAACAUAGUCUUAUAAGGCUUUAAAGUACAAACAGAUAUAUUUUUGUAUUCUUUAUUAUAUAAAAAAUGCGAUAAAAAUUAAGCUUGGCUUAACUUAUUCUUUACUUGUCAUACCAAAUUAUCACAAUUGGAAGAAAUUUUUAUAUAUUAUAUAUACAUAUUUUAAAAUCUUACAGGAUUAUGUACAUGACGUCCAAUUAAAACAACUUGUAAUUAGUAAGUUCACUAAAAAAGUAAGACCUAUUGCACUAUUUGAUAAUGUUUCAGAGAUGUAAUUGUCAAAAUUAAAAGUUUAGGAGCCUACUUGUGAAGAACUAAAGUUCAGACCGUCUUAUAUAUUUUAUUCUUAAAAAUAUGAGUAAUGCUACUGAUAUACUCAAAAGGAGUGUAAAUCUUACACUCUAUUUAUCCAAGGGUCAAAAAUUGGUCAUUGUCUUGUCAACUUUUUUUUUUUUAUAAAUACUAAAAAUCCAAAGAAUAUUAUGAGCCUUAAUUUAAUCCGAACAAAUCUAUUCCGAACAGAUUCAAUUUCCAAUCCAAAAGUUAUUUUUCACCCUUAUUUGUUUGAUGGAAGUUAAUGACUUUGAUGCUAAGGUUUUUUCAAUUUUUUUGUUUGUUUCAUCUCAGUUCUCAUAUUAACAAAUUAACAAAAAGAUGAAAAAAAAAUAUAUAUAUCUUUAUUACUUUUUCAGUAAAAAUUUAUGAAACUUAUUCGAACUAUAAUGUAUUUUGAUUCAACCAUCUAACCUUUUAAAAUUUAAAAUUUGCUAUUUAAUCUUGUAAUUCAUUUUAUUCGUGCCAUUUAAUGACUAAUAUUUCAAAUUUUGAAUUAGUAAUUUACUUAUAGAAAGCUUGAUUAGCAUAUUUUUUAUAUAAUUCAUGCGACUAUAAUUCUAUUCAAAGUAUUUGUAGUAAAAGAAUCAUCAAAUGACUUAAAUUUAAUAAAUUUAACAAUUGGAUGCCAAAAUCAAACUUUUAAAAGAUUGGAUACUCAAAUAAAAAUGGAUGAAAGAAUUUCUUUUUAAUACUUAUAACACAUAAAAUAUAUUCCGAACAAAUCAUAUUGUGCCACGGCGAAUUGUAAAAUAUCUAAUUUGAGCAAUAUAGUAAUUUUGUAUUGAAAAUGUGUUUUAAAGAAUUUGUUUUUAUACUUUUAUGCAACAGAAAGGUAUUUGAUUAGAUACAAUUAUUUUUAUAUAAAAUAUAUAAAUGUGAUAGAAAAGAAUUUUACAUGUAAUUGUUAUUUGAUUCGUCUAUAUAUUUGUACAAUAUGUAUCUACUAAAUAAUUGUCUAACUUCUAAGUAAAAAAUGCCGUAACUCUGUAAAUUAUAAGAAUUAAAAAAUGAAGAUAAAAUACGUGUGCGUUAAACUCCUUAAGGCACCGGGUGCAUGAUAUUGUAUUUUUUUUUUAUCUUUUAAAGUUUAAAAUAAAAUAUGAAAUGACCAACUGAGAAAUCAAAAGUAUAAGGAUCAACAGUGCAAGGAAAAUAUUUAUGAUAUUUUCAUAAAAUGUUCUUAAAUAUUGAGGACUUGUUGGUAAAUUUUCAUAACAUUUUCGUUUGAGUCCAUAAAAGUACAGUAAAGUGACCCCAAUUAUUUAACUUAUUCACAUCCACCGCACAUGCACGAAACUUCGAGUUGCGAAUGAUCUUACGCCUCAUCGUUAUUUGGGAAAAAAAAAAUUCUGAAUAUUAAAGCAUGAUUAUAUUAAAUAAAUAAAUUAUUACAACUAUAUUAAUAUAAGGUCACAAAUAUAUAGGCUAGAAUUAUCAGGUGAUCUAAAAUUCUAAAAGUGGUUCACUUUUAUACUUUCGACUGAUAUUCGUCUCUGAUACUAAAUAUAACGAUGAUCCACUAACAAUAAUAACUUGUUAGAUCCAAACCACUAGACCAAAAUAUUUUAGCUCAUUUAUUAGGCUAAAAUUUUAUGUAUAAGAUAAUUCUAUAUAUAAGAUACAAUUAGGCUAAAAUCCUUAAUUCGACUAUAACAUUUUGGACGAUAGUUAAGCCCAAGAGCUUAACAGAGUUCAGCAUACUAGAAUUAUAGCAGUCGUAGGGUGGUGAUCCCAUAGAAAGUGGGGCGUCACAGUUGGUGUUAAAGUCAAUCAUCAACCGAAAGUGUGAGAUGAGUCGCGGUAGGACGAGUAAUUUUAGGAUGGAUGACUCUCAGGAAAGUGGGGUGUUGAUUAUUAGUAUUGAAUCUGACGAGAACGUCAGGACUUAAAAAAGAAGAGAAUGUGAAACCCCAAUUAAUUAAUUCUAUAUAUAAGAUAUUAUAGAGUUAAAACUCUUAAUCUAGCUAUAACUUUUUAGACAAUAAUUACGCCCAAGAGGGUAAAAGAGUUAAGUAUUUUUAUUUUUUUAUUUUUUUUUUUUGAGAGAGAUAGGUAGCACGUUAUCCGCUUCGUUUAUUUUAUUUAGAAAUAAACUUAGCUGGAAAUGUGAAUCAACUAGGAUUCGAACUUGGAUCUCGGGUACCAACCACCAAGUCUUUUACCACUUGCUCUAGAGACGGUCGGUAAGAGUUAAGUAUAUUAGGAGUAAAAUAGCUAUAAAAUGAAUGAUCUUCUGAAAAUUAAGUUAGGCCCCAUAUAUUGUUAUCAUCUGAUGCGCGACUAAAUUAACCUGAUUCUGUAUAGACGAAUAAGGUUAGGGACAAACGGUGGCUGCAAUAGUAGCAGAAACAGUGGCUCAGCCGAGAGUGAUGAUCCCCAUCUAUCUCUUUAAAUAGAGUUUUGUCCCCAUCUGAAGUAACAGUGUAAUGCAAAUGUAGUAGCUCAAAGUAUCAGUUGAAACUGGAGGAGCUUAAAGCAAAGCGUGGAGUGUGGUGAAGUGUGCCUUUUGCUUCCACCCAAUCAUUUAUUGGUGAACUCUGACUGAUGAGGAGAAAGCUACUACUGUCCACGUACACCAGGUGUGUACCCACACAUUUUACUAAGGAAUGUGGGUGGAUACGGAUAUCCAAAAUUUUUUUCAAAUCUAAAUCCAAAUAAAAUAGAUUUAUAUAAAACGAAACGAAUAUAAUUUUAGAUACAGAUAUAAAAUCGACGAAUUUGGGUCCCGAUACAAAAUUUGAUUGAUGAGAAAUAAUUCGGUACUUUUUUUAAAAAAAAAAUAAAAAAAAUCUUAACCGUUGAUUAAUAGAGGGUAAAAAUGUAACUUUAAUACUUAUCAGAUAAAAGGAUUAUUUUAUUCAAGGUUAGUUUGGUAAUUAAAUAAUACAAUAUUUAAAGAAACUUUUAAUUGAGGUCCUAAAUUUAUGCAUUAAUUAGCACUAAUUUAGGAAAUUAAUGGAUUAACCAAAUUUAUGCAAUUAUUAGGCAUUAAUUUAGGAAUCUACUUUAAAUGUUUUAGUGCUUCUCAAAUUAUGCAUUAAUUUAAAUUAUAGAAAUUUUAGAAAUAAUUUUAUUUCUAAAUACGACGACUUUAAAUUUUAAAAAUUAAAUACUUAAAAUUUAAAAGUGAAAUUUAAAUUAGAGGAAUUUCAUAUUACUAUUUAAAAACUAAAUUUCUACCAAGAUUUAAAGUACAGUUUAUUCACACCAGUUUAAAACGUAAUGCAUAAAAAAUUUAGAGAGUAAGAUUUAUACAACUAGAUUUCUCUAGAGGAAUUUUAUAUUACUAUUUAAAUUUUAAUUCAAUGAUUUAAAAACUAGAUUGAGCCGAUUGAUUUGACUGAUCAGACUUUGACCUAUUGUAUCAAGAAUCUGAUUUUAACCUAUUGAACCGAAACCGGUAAAGAUAAUAAAUAUUUUAAACAGAAUGAUAAUUUAACUGUUAGAGCUAAUAAAUAUUUUAAAUAUAAUUUUAAACAUAUAAAUUAAAAAGAUUAGAAUUAUUGGUCGAGUAAAAAUAAAAUAGUUAGGAAUGUGGAUUUCGAAUCUGACUAACAUCACAAAACUUAUCUUCGAUACGUCGACGGUAUCAAAAAUGCCUAUAUCCUAUAAAUUCAAACUGGACACAAUUUUCGAACUCAACCAAACCUAAACCAGAUAGACUAAAUCACAACAAUUAUUCCUGUUACCAUAUCUUCAAAGUUAGUUUAUAUGAAUACUUAAAUUUUUAAUAUAAGUAAAUUUGAAUAUAAUAUUCAAAUUUAAAAUUUAAAAAGUGAUGAAUUUAUAAUUAGAGGGAUUUUAUAUUACUAUUUACUAAAGUUUGAAUCAAUGAUUAUAUGGAUCUAAAUCAUUUGAAAUUUUCACUUAUAUGAAAUACCAAAUUAUGAAAAGUAAUAGAGAGAGAAAAAAAGAAUAAAGAAAAAAUAAAAAUUCUUCAAAAAUAAUAGUAAGACUGUAAAAUGACUAAAUGGCCCAUUGUUAUUAAAUAGACAAAAUAUUUAUUUUUUUUGAGGUACGGUGUGAACACUAUAGUCGCUUCUCCACUAUAAGUGACUCUGGUGACUUAUUGCAGUCACAAUUUUAAAAAAAUUUAUAAUUUUGAGCCGGUUGAAUACACAUCAAUUGCAACGGUAAAAAAAAAAAAACAAGUAUAGAAGCAUUUACUCUUGAUUGAUAUACAUAUAGAAUGAGGUUACUAUACUAUCUAUAAUACCGAGACUCCGGUACUAUAUUCUUAUUUUCGAUCUUAGGGUGCUCAAAUCAAUGAUCCACAUUAUUAAAUAUAAUUUAGAGUAUAUAAAGUUGUUAGAAAUAAAAUUUUAAUUUUUUUCGAUAUCGUUGACUUAAUAAGUAAAUUAAGGCAAAUUGAAUGGUGGAAAUUGAACGAUCUUUAAAAUUUAAGAAUAGGACUUUUGAAUUCAAGAUCAAAGAUGAUGCCCUUGAUUUAGAUAAUUUAAAGUAUUUUCUAUCAAAAUUUGAAUAAAUUUAUAUUUUUCUAUACCGUUAAAUUACAAACUCACCAUAGCAACCAUUGAAAAUUAACGGUUUUGAAAUUGUUUGAUCAUAAAGUAACCUAUAUUGAAAAAGUAUAAAAUUUGUUUUCUAAAAAUUUUAAAUACUCUAGAUCAGUUUUAACGGUAUGGAUUGUUGAUUUGAACACUCUAAGAUCAAAAAUAAGAAUAUAGUACCGGAGUCCCGGUAUUUUAUAGAUAUUAUAGGAGCAUAGCUUAUAUUUAUAUGCUUGAAGUUACAUUUAAAUUUGUAUUUUAAAAUUAUAGAUUUAAUGUAAUAUAUUUUGAAAUAUGGCAAAGAAAAAUAAUUGUUUCGGUUAGGUUUUCAAGUUAGGGUUUCAGGUUUUUGGUUGGGUUCAGGCUUGGAUAUGGAUAUUUAAAACUCAUCAGAUUCGAGUUCAGAUUCAGAUUUUGAAUUGAGAGUACCGUUCGGUUUUGGAAAAUCCGCGCCAAAUUCGAUCCACUGACAUCCCUAUUUUUUACUCACCAUGAUUGGUAUAUGAUGAUGUUCAGUUACUGACCUGACCCAAUAUACAAACAUGAUCGUAAAAAGUUAUUACUUAGAUAUCAAGUAGUUCUAAAAUUAUCUGCACAGAAAAAAGUUUUAGGUUGAUUUAUAAGAAAUAGGCAUUUGAAAUUUAUAUUUUAGAUCAUAGAGCACAUUUUAGUUAUCACAUUCAGAUUUGUAGGGUCUGUGUUGUAGAGGAAGUUUUUUUUGAUGUUUUGUGUUAAAAAAAAAGAAGAAAAUCUGUAAAUGGAACAAUCUUAGCAUGCAAUUAAAGCAUUCAAAACUUCAAAUCCUACUUCGCUCAUAAUCUCUCAUUUAAUCUCCUCUCAAUUUACUCGUGUCCAAGCCUUGGACGGACCGUUAAAAAGUAUCUUAGUAGUUUCGAGUUCAGACUUGAUAAAUAUUUAGCAAUACGUGUUGUCUGUAGUAAAAUUUUAUGUAGUUAUUAAAACUCAGAAAUAAGAAUUUAAGUGUCGUGGCAUGGGUUCGUACCGGAAACUUACUAGCACGAUACGGUACGGUGCAUGCCGGACCGUACCGAUGCGUGCUGGUGACAUAAAAUUCGUGUGUGCCAAUACAUAAUAAUAUGAAAUAUUUAUCUUCUUUAGCAGCAAAAUAUUUUAACUAUUUAUUAUUUAUUUUUAUCAAAUCUUUUGAAUUUUAUUGAGAAAAUUAUUUAUUAAUUAAAUAAUAGAGAAUUUUGAGCUGUACCAUCGGCACGAGGUCUGUAUCGUGCCGAUAUUUUAUUGGCACGAUACGACAUGGUAGAUACGAUCCGUGUCGAUGGACACUUAAAUUCUUGCUUAGAAAUUUAAUUUUUCACUCUAUAAAAAUCUUGGCAAUAUAUAAUUUAAUUAAAUAACAUAUUUAAUAUAUUAGAUAAUUUAUUUUAUUCUAAAAAAAAACCUAACAAGAUGAUGAUGAUAGAUAUUAAUUACACAUGCCGAUAGAAUACUUAUAUAUUUUUUAAAACAGUAAUUGCAUAUAUAUCUCUCAAAACUUCAAAAAUAUCUAAUUUAUUCAUAUCUUUUUUUUAGUUUCAAAUAUACCCUUAUAUGUUCCUCCAUUAUUCUAAAAUUUUCUUGCAGUUAUUAUUCGUUAAGUUAUCUCGGAUUAAAUGUGAGUUGAAUAUUUACAAGAGUUAAAAAAAAAAAUCAAAAUACAUCUUUUGCCCUUAACUUAAGGGUAAAUAAGAAAAGUGGGCGAUAAUAAAAAGGUAUAUUUAAAAGGACAAAAAAGCAAAAUAUUUUUUUUGUUCUUAACUUAAGGACAAAUAAGAAAAAUUGGUAAAGUAGAAGAAUAUAUUUAAAAGGAUAAAAUAGUAAUUUUACAGAAAUAACGAUCGUAGCUAAUAAUAUACUAACAGAAUUUAACUCUACGAAUAUACUUAGAAAUAAUUUGAAACGUUAAAAGAAUAUUUUUAAUAUUAACUUUCUUAAAAGGGUAAAUCAAAAAUCAAAAAUCAAAAUUUCUUUUAGGGAUAUACAAGUAAUUACAUUUUUUUUUUUUUAAUUUAAAAGAUAUAUAUAUAGAGUAAAAUGCUCAUAUGUCCAAAUAGGGUCUCCAGGGUACACUUUGGCAUGUAAUAAUUUCUCCACAGGAGUCCAAGUAUAUGUAUAUCCCCCUUUUUACUUUUCUUCACCCUCUCUCUCUCUCUCUCUCUCUCUCUCUCUCUAAAGCGGAGGCCUCUUCUCUCUCCUCUUUCCCUUUCUCUCUCUCUCUCUCUCUCUCUCUCUCUCUCUCUCCUCCAGUUUCCAUGGUGGUAGUGUAGGUGAAGGAGAGGAGCGAGGCGAGAGCUUCUUCUAUUGUGGACUCUUUCUCGCUCUACAUCCAUCGAUCUCACUUGGGUAUGAAUCCGUUCGCUUCUUUCCUCCUCAUUUGAUCGUUUCGAGCACUAAAACUCGCUCCUUUGUGCGCUAAUCUCAAUCUUUUCCGCCUAUUUCGGCUUUUUUUUGAAGCUAUUUGAGUGCCUUUUUCUUGGGUUUCUCACUCUCUCUUUUGAUAGACCAUGGGUUCAUUAAAAAAAAUUGGUGAAUUGUGGUGUAAUGGUGUUNCAUAUCUUUUUUUUAGUUUCAAAUAUACCCUUAUAUGUUCCUCCAUUAUUCUAAAAUUUUCUUGCAGUUAUUAUUCGUUAAGUUAUCUCGGAUUAAAAGUGAGUUGAAUAUUUACAAGAGUUAAAAAAAAAAAUCAAAAUAUAUAUUUUGCCCUUAACUUAAGGAUAAAUAAGAAAAGUGGGCGAUAAUAAAAAGGUAUAUUUAAAAAGAUAAAAAAGCAAAAUAUUUUUUUUGUUCUUAACUUAAAGACAAAUAAAAAAAAUUGGUAAAGUAGAAGAAUGUAUUUAAAAGGAUAAAAUAAUAAUUUCACAGAAAUAACGAUCGUAGUUAAUAGUAUGCUAACAAAAUUUAACUCUACAAAUAUAUUUGAAAUAAUUUGAUACGUUAAAAGAAUAUUUUUAAUAUUAACUUUCUUAAAAGGGUAAAUCAAAAAUCAAAAAUCAAAAAUCAAAAUUUUUUUUAGGGAUAUACAAGUAAUUACAUUUUUUUUUAAAUUAAAAAGAUAUAUGUAUAGAGUAAAAUGCUCAUAUGUCCAAAUAGGGUCUCCAGGGUACACUUUGGCAUGUAAUAAUUUCUCCACAGGAGUCCAAGUAUAUGUAUAUCCCCCUUUUUACUUUUCUUCACCCUUCUCUCUCUCUCUCUCUCUCUCUCUCUCUAGAGCGGAGGCCUCUUCUCUCUCCUCUUUCCCUUUCUCUCUCUCUCUCUCUCUCUCUCUCUCUCUCUCUCUCUCUCUCUCUCUCUCUCUCUCCUCCAGUUUCCAUGGUGGUAGUGUAGGUGAAGGAGAGGAGCGAGGCGAGAGCUUCUUCUAUUGUGGACUCUUUCUCGCUCUACAUCCAUCGAUCUCACUUGGGUAUGAAUCCGUUCGCAUCUUUCCUCCUCAUUUGAUCGUUUCGAGCACUAAAACUCGCUCCUUUGUGCGCUAAUCUCAAUCUUUUCCGCCUAUUUCGGCUUUUUUUUGAAGCUAUUUGAGUGCCUUUUUCUUGGGUUUCUCACUCUCUCUUUUGAUAGAUCAUGGGUUCAUUAAAAAAAAUUGGUGAAUUGUGGUGUAAUGGUGUUUUUUUUUUAGGUAAAUUGCGCAGUGGGAGUCAUUUGAGCCUACUUUUGGGUAUUUGGUGAGAUUGUUUAGAGAUUCUUGUAGUAUUUUGAGCCUACUUUUGCCUACUUUAUAGUCAAAGCAGUAAUUCUUGCUCAAGAAAGGAAAAUAGUCUAAUUGUUGGAUUGAGUGUAGUAGAUCAAAUAACUUUGUUUUGGGCUGAGCUUGCUAAUAUUGUUGAUUGUUAUUUGUUGAAUAUGGACAAUCAAUCAAUGCGAAUAUCAUCGGUUAUUAUAAAAGCUUGUUGAAUUUCUCUACCAAAAUGAUGGUCCUCUUUAAGAGGUCCAUAAGCUAAGGAAAUGGAAAUUGUGGAUUGGUUACAAUGCCUCUACUUGCAAACUUUCAUUUUGUUGGAGAAAAAGAAGUUAGAAUAAUUGUUAGUUUGGCAAGUAAUAAGAGGCGCAAGAUUUCUUGUAUGAAAACUUUUAAAACCAUGUGAUCUAACUCAAGAAAGAUGAUCCAUUUUUGUCCAAAUCAUAAUAAUAUCGUAUACAAGGUUCUUUGGUGACAAUGAUCGACUCCAUAUACUUGGACCCUCACUAUUCAGCCCUUUAAGGUCUUUAAACUCCUUUUGUUAUACCCCAUAAUGGAUCUAAUUUACUCUUCUAGCUUUACCUUAAACACUUGUCAUUUUGUGUUGUGUGUGAACUGACUAUGUGGUACAAUUGGGAAUAAUUUGGUGUAGAGCUAAUAGUUCAUGAGCAAAACGAACAAUUCGACGCUCUUUGGUAUGGAAUUCGCAGAUUGAUGCAAAACAUGUUGGAAGAUAUUAUUUUCAUUGAUAGUUUGUUAGAGAUAAGAUUUAUCCACGUAAUUGACGUUAUGUAGAGUUUGUAAUAUUUAAGGAUUUAAUAGUGAUAGGAUUCAAAGUCUUCGAAGUAGACUCCGGGUGUAGCAGAGAAAUUACUAUAACGAAUAAAGUUUAGUUUUCCUCCUCUAAUAUUUUCUUCUCCAUUUUGCUUAGUAAAUUAUUGAUGGGUUACAUAACUUGUAUAAAUGUAAAGCCGGUUCGAUAAAUUGAUAUCAGAGUGAUAUCCAUUCCAACAAAAUGGAUUGGUUAGGAGAGAGUCGGACCAGUUGGUGCUGAUGGGUUGAUGGAAUUGACUUCGAGUUGGUAGGAUAAAGAUGUGUUGUUUCUGGUCUAGGUUUAGAACUUCGAAAGGAAUAUGGUAGUCUUUCAUAAUUCAAAUUAAAGCUAGGGUUUGUGGAUCAUGAAAGAGAGCAGAGGAGUGCCGUCAUGAGAGAGUCAAGGAAGUGCUCUUAGAAGAGAAAUAGCACCUUGAUGGAGACGACAAGGAAAAGCACCUACAGGGACGUAUAUAGAGGGUGAGAGUGAUCUAGAUCGGAGCAGUGCAGUAGGAGUAGAAAUAGAGUGGGAAGAAGAAGAUUAGGGGAAAAGCCUUCUAGUUUAGGCAACGGAGAGAGAAGUCAUAGGGAACUUCCUAAUAACAUAAAUGAUUUUCAUACAAUCAUGAGCUGACUGCAAAGUACCCCGCUUAGGCUUGUUUAAAGAUUUUGGAAAGUAAUACUGCCUAGAAAGUUAGUUAUUGUUAUUGUAGAACGCAGCGAAAGAUUGGAUCAUCCUCUUUGGUGAAAGCUAAUUGUGUUGCUCUUUCUUCGCAUACGAUUGGUUCCAAUCAUAGAGGUUGAUUCGCGCGUCCUUUGAUUAUCCAUGAAGGUCCUCCAACAUUCAAAACCUGCGGUAGACUAAGCUGCUAAUGAGCUAAGUCUAUAUUUGACUAUUCAAGACCCUAUAGACUCAAUGAGUUAAUGGAGGAACUGGUUUUUCUUUCUCUCAAAAGGUCACGGGCACGCGAAUUUCACACUAAUUUCUCUUGAUUUUCAAAUUAUUUUUCUACUGUAAUUUACCAGAGAAAAGCACGUAUUUGUUUGUUACCUUAAUAUAAUUAGAAAAAUGAGAUAAAGGUAAUCCUAGUCCAAUUGGAUAACCAUUGGAUAGAGACUGACCAUGGGCGCGCUUAAUUUGGUCCAGCCGAAUGCCAACAGUUAUCUAUACGCUAACAACGAUUUUCAAAAUUUAAAAGUUCAAAGUAAGUCAUAGCUGUUAACAAGCUAAUUUAAAAUUCCAAAAUUCAAAAACUUAAAAUUAAAAAUUAAUUUUUAAUCUCAAAAUUCAAACAUAAGAAGACCUAAUCUAAUGCAAGUUACAUUAUAGAGUGAUUCAAAAGAAGGUUUGGACUUGAAGCUGCUUCUGGAAGAAGAGAACCCAAGUGUAUUCUUGCCUUGGUCAGUGAAUAUUUCCUCUCCAAUCUUGUAGUUUUUCUUCGUUCUUUAGUUUGCUUGCAUCGCUCUACACAAAGCUCCUUCCUUCCUCUGCCGUCUUUGAGGGAAAAGCCAUCCCAAUCUACAACCCUGUCAGUUUCCUCAACCCCAAGUGAUCCCUUUCGGCGCAUGUUUUCAUCUAUCAAGAAACUACAUAUUCGGUAAAGCUUACUUAGAGAGCCUGCCCUAAGCCUAUUGAUUUGACUGUCUUUGAAUAUAUAUAUAUAUAGAAGAAAAANUAUAUAUAUAUAUAUAUAUAUAUAUAUAUAGAAGAAAAACUGAGAGAUUAGAUUCAAGAGUCACCAAAAAUUGCAAUCAAUCGUUACCUUUUAUAGUUUGAGAAUCAGAAAUUGGCACAAUUUCAGGAGGGCAAUCAUCUCAUGAUGACAAUAUUUCAUCUUGUGAGAAAUGUAAUGCAAACAAACUGAACAUAAAAGGUUUUUUCUUCGUGUGUAGAAGCUUAAAAAAUGCACCUUAUUAUCCAAAAAGAAAUGGCAAAUUAAUGGGCAUAAAUUCAGAGCAUGGCAGCCAAGAGAACCAUCUCUGAUGGUAUAGAAGACUAUAUGUGAUAGAACAGAAGCAAUCUAGUAUUUACACAAGAGUCUCCUUAAGGGGAUUUUUCAGAUUAUUCAAGUGUAUUGCAAGAUUUUUAGACUUUCAAAUCUUUGUCUUUGUUAUUUCUAGUUAGAGAAGUGGAGUAUGGCAUUAGUGCUUGGCAUAUAGUUCUACUUCUCAUCCUAUUUCAACUAGGAAUUCUCCUCUUUGUUUGUUAAUUAAAACCUACGAAUGCCUCUCAUUAAAUUCAUCUAAGUUUCAGACUUUGUUGUCUUAUAAAUUCUCCUUUGCAGCCAUGCUAUAUGUUUUUAGGCAGUUGUGUAUGCACAAGACAAGAGAACAGAACUUCAUUGGGGAGCUCCCCAGUGGGGAGGGCAGGUGUGAAUUGUUGGAUUAUAUUUUUGUGAAUCUCAAAGCAAAUUAAAGAAGCAAUUUUCCCUUUGUACUGUUGUUUACUAAUGCAGUCCAAUUUUUAGUGUAUUUAUUGACAAGUAUUAUUCAUUCCUUUUAUCUGAAGAGGCAUAAUGUUAAAAUCACUUGCUAGUUCAAUACUUCAACAUUAAAUAUACCUAGUAAUUUUUGCCUAAACCACUAUUAUUGUGAUGCACUUUCCGAAAUGAUGUGCUUUGAUGUCCUUCUUGAAUCUAAAUGAAGUAGUCGUUGUUCCAGGAACUGCAGCAUAGAGGGAUAAUAUGUUCCCGGAAACUUUUAAAUUUGUUGGUGCACGGACGAGAUCUUUGUUUGAGCAUGAGAAAAGUAUUAGUAGUUACAUAUACAUCGCGUUCAAAUCUGCAGUCGAAAAUUGUUUUUUCCUUUGCAGAGAUGUAGCAUUUUGUGGAGCAUUCCCUGGAGUUCACCAGGAAUGAACUUAGAUAUUCUAUCCAGCUAUGGACCAGGCAAGUGUUUCUGAGGCAUAUAUAUUUGGUGACCAGGCUACGAGUGACAUCACUAUUUGCUUACAAAACAAAGAUGAUCGGCCAGAAUGGUUCCACUGCCACUCACCUAUUUUGAUAAAAAAGAGCAGGUUUUUCUCCGAUCAGCUUGUUAACCACAAUAACACUUCCCUUACUCUCGAAUUUAAUAGAUGCAUUGAAGUUCAGUGCCCAAAAUCUGAUUAUGACCACUAUGUCAAGCUCUUGAACCUUCUCUAUCUCUCAGAAGAAUCACUUCUAGGCUCAUUUGAUUCAGUCAAAUCCACACUUGGUAUUCUCCGAGCCUCAAUUUCCCUUCAGUGUGAAUCAAUCAUCCAAAACUGCAUCGAGUACUUGGAAGCUGUGCCUUGGGAUGAAAAAGAGGAGGAAGAUAUAUUAAGUUUAGUUCCAUCCCUCGGCCCACGGGCCUUCCCUAUUUUGGCUCGCGUCAAUCCCGUUAAUAACAAUUCUGUGAAGAAUGUUUUCCUCUCCGCUAUUCGCUUCGCCACGAAUAUGGAAAGCCCACCCCCUCCCUUCUUAGAAGAACUCAAGACUUCGGCUCAAGAACAAAUAGAGUAUAUGCUUCUAGAAGAUGAAGACACUCCUUUGGUUGUUACAGAUGAAGAUGUGAAGUCUGAGGUGCAAGCGGGCCUAGAGAAGAUGUUCACCACUUUCAAGAACGGGCUCGAGUCACUGCCUUUUGAGUUCGAUCGGUCGCCCGAGCAAGCCGAACAGAGAGUCCUGUAUGACCUAGCCGACCUCGAGUGGAUAUCUAAUGUGCUUCCCAAGAUUGAAAUGAUGAAGGAUUUUGUUUCGAGUUGGAUCGAGAUCUCUCAAUAUGUAAUUGCAGUUGUCCAAGGUGAGAAGUAUAAUUCCAACUUGUGGGCCGUGAAAGCCAAGCUGAUAGAAGUGACUGGAAAGGCUCUGGAUGCUGUUGGUUAUGGCUCGGUGGUACUUCCAACUUCUUCUAGGGUUGAAUUCAUUAACACUUGGCUUCCGUAUUUAAGGAAGAUGAAGCCUCUGCUAGAUUCAAAGAGUGAAGAAGAUGAGGGAUUUUGUCAUAAAAUUGAUGGAGAUGUUUGUCAGAAUAUCGAAGGAGCGAUUGUUUCGCUCGUCCUGGCACUGCCGUCGAGCGAUCAAGCAGAAAUUCUUGCUGAGUGGAUGAGCAAGACGGAACAGUUGAAAUAUCCGGAUCUGAGUGAGGCAUUUGAAGUUUGGUGCUAUAGGACCAAAACGGCGAAGAGGAGGUUAAUGGUGGGCCUUGAUGGAGCCGGAAAUAACCCGGUCAGUUUCUAAUUUGCUCACUGCUACGUCUUUUUCUUUUGCUAUUGCUAAGUUAACUUGCGGUGAUUUUGCUAAUUUUCACAUUGUUGUAACCUGUAAUAGAGCCUUUUAACUUUCUAUUCAAGCAAUUUUUCCUACUCUCUCUUCUAAUCUAUUACGUAGUUUUGCAUACACCGUAUAUAAAUUUGAUGGCAGGGUUCUCAUGUUUGGAUUCCAGAUUUUGACUCCGCCAAGUUUUUUCUUUCUUUUUUCUUACAUUUCUUUUCCUUAAGAUGGUCAGUGAUGCUUCUUCGAUGAUUCAAAUGUGUUGUGUUUAGAUGUCUUGUAUGAUCAAGAUGCUCAAAGGCCAUGGCUUGUGGUUUAUCGAAGCACACAAUAUCUUCUUUAAAUUCUGUGUUAAUGUGUUCCCCUUUUGGUUUUCUGCUCUGCUUCAUUCCCUGUUGUUUCAAAUUUUGAUGAUGACAUUUCUGAGUUGGAAAAAAAUGGGAUAUGCAAUGUUUCAAGAACUGGGUGUUAGAUGUUCUCUGCUCCUUAGGAUCCAAAUUGAGUAUGCAAUUUUUAUCCCGGUUUGCCUUUUGGUUUUCAUGCUAUAUAAAUAUAUUACUGUAAGGCUUAAUUACGCUUUUUGGUUCUCAAACUAUGAAGGAAAUGAUACUUUGGCCCUCGAAUUUUAAUUUAUUGUAAUUUCUCCUUUAAAACCUUUUGAAUUAUUGCAGUUAAGUAUUACAAAUCAAUUUAGUUGGCUGAAUGUUUAUGUGUCACUAAUAUAGAAGUAAUAUAGUAAUGGUAUGAUUGGUGACGUGACUAUGAUUAAGAUACUAUAUUACUUUUACAGUAGCGACAUGUCAAUAUUUAAUCAACUAAAUUAUGUUGUGGCACUUAAUUAAAAUAUCAAUUAGUAUUGAAUUUUGUUCUCAACAAUGUGACUACCAUGUGUCUCAUCAAUUAGCUUCAACUCUUUUGUUAAAUUCUCAAGUUCGUUUUAAAUUCAUUAUUUUGAGUAACUAAUAAAGAAUUUUCCUUAAAAUCUCUAAAUCAUGAAAAUUUGUUUUCAAACUAUCAAGCUUAGUUCUAGGCAAAGAGUUUUCUUUCUUCAAAAACAAGUUUUCUAAAGUAAUGUUUCUAUUCUUGAGGAACACUUUUAGAACCCUAACUACUAUUCAAAAUUUUCAUGUUUUUCCUUCUAUUCCCAAAAAGGGUCCUUCUAAACCCCAAAUCCCAUUGGUAAACCUAGGGCUAUGGGGAUAUUUGAAGGAAUUUUUGGAAAUCAAUAGGGGCAAUUUUGGUCAACAGAUAUUUUUGAAGUUUGAACGACAUAUCAGAUAUCAUCCUUCAUUUUGAUUCUCUAAUAAAUUUUCGGUUAUUCCGGAAUAGCAAGAAAUUUGCUAUUCCACUAUUUUGGUGGAAUAGUACUAUUUCAAUGCUUAAUUUCAAACUUAAUUAAAAUUAUAAAUUGAAUUAAAACUAAAUUAUAUAAAUAUAAUAUGUUAUAUAUUAUAAUACAUUAUUUUUAUUAUAAAAUUAUUAAUUGUACUAUAUUAAUACAUAUUAUUUAUAUUUAAAUAUUAUAAUAAAAUUUAUAAUAAAUUAUAUUUAAAUAUUAUAAUAAAUUCUUUUUAUUAAAUUUAAGUUUAAGUAGAAUUUUUAAAAAAUUUAUAAAUUUAUUAUAAUAAAUAGUUUUUAUUAAUUGUUCCCACCCCUAUUCUUAUUUUAAAAAUUUAAAAAUUAAAAAUUUAAUUUUUUAAAAUUUAUAUAUUAUAAUACAUUAUUUUUAUUAUAAAAUUAUUAAUUGUACUAUAUUAAUAAUUAUUAUUUAUAUUUAAAUAUUAUAAUAAAAUUUAUAGUAAAUUAUAUUUAAAUAUUAUAAUAAAUUCUUUUUAUUAAAUUUAAGUUUAAGUAGAAUUUUUAAAAAAAUUAUAAAUUUAUUAUAAUAAAUUAUUUUUAUUAAUUGUUCUCACCGCUAUUCUUAUUUUAAAAAUUUAAAAAUUUAAAUUUAAAUUUUUAAAAUUUAUAAUUUGUAAUCUCAAAAUUAAAGUUUAUAAUUAUAAAUUAUAAAUUAUAAAUUAUAAAUUUUAAUUUUGAUAUUUUAAAUUUUGAAAUUUAAAAUUUGAUAUUUUAUAUUUUUUAAAUUUAAAUUUGAUCUUAAAUUUAAAGUUUGAAAUUUAAAAUUUAAAAUUUUGAAUUUAAAAUUUGAGAUUUUAAAUUUCAAAUUUUGAAAUUUCAAAGUUAAAAUUUUAAAUUUAAAAAUGUAAAUUUAAAAUUUUAAAAAUUCAAAUUCAAAUAUAAUAAGAGGGUAAUAUUAUUAUUUUUUAUUUAUAAAAAUCUACUGUCCUUCUUAUUCCAUCUUACUUAACCAAACGCUAUUUUUUUUAUUCCCAGAAAUAACCUAAUUUUCAUCCAAACGCAAAAUUGAUUUAAUCCCCGCUUAUACCUCAAUUUAUACCUAUCCUUUAUUUAUCCCCGAACCAAACAAUACCAAAUCAUAUAUAUAUAUAUAUAUAUAUAUAUAUAUAUAUAUAUAUCCAUAUCAUAACAUAAUUGGACUAUUUCUAUCCGGAUGCAGAUAAUAUUAGAGAGGAUGCAGAUAUUUUCGGAUAAUUUUCUAUCCGUUUUCACCCAUACUUUUGUGUUAGGUAGAAGUCUAAAUUCUAUUUUCAGCCUCAAACUUUAAUUUGAUGUAAGUUUUGAUUUUCACAGUUUAAUUCAAUUGGUUAAAUAAUAAUAUAUCGUAAAUAUGGCAGUGAGGUAGUAAUACUGUUUUGAUGAUAUGAUAAUUAUUAAGAUGUCACAUCAUUAUCAUAUAAACAAAUUAUUAGUAUCUAUCAAUUGAAUUGGAUUGUAGGGCUUAGUUGUAUAAAAAGUUUGAACAAAAAAAUUAUCAUAAAUUAAAAUUUGAGAACCAAAGUGCUAUGUGUCUUGAAGUUUGAGGACCGAAGUGCAAUUUUCCCUAGUCCUCCUACUGAUGAAAAUAAAGUAUCAGGAUAGCAGAAUAGGGUGAACACAUCUUCGAUUUUUAUUGCUUUUUUUCAAGCACUAAAAUACUAGACAGGAUUUGCUGAUUUUUAGAUCACCACAAGAUCACAUAGAACAAAUAAAUUUAGGGCCAUUGAUGUUAUAACUUUCUAUAAUCUAUGCCAUUUUUAUAAUCCAAAGAGUCGGGAGGUGGAGCUCCAAUUUUAAAUGUCUAUGGAAGGGAUCGAAAUUCCUGGCUGUUAAAACAAGAAAAAUUUUAGAAUGCAUCAGUUAUAUUAAUGACGUGGCGUUUCAAAAAAAAAAAGUUCUUUUUGGAUUCAUCCGUCCCAUCAUAAUUAUAAAAAAGAUAUUUUUGUUGCAUAUUUUUUUUCAUAAGAAGAUAUGUAAUUGACUUAUUAUUGAUGUUGUGGUGCAAGUGUGACAAAGUAAACUUUCUUGUUAAAAUAAUAACAUAGGUAAUAACUACUUUGCACUUUCUUUAAACAUAUAUUAAGCUCCAGUUUCAAGUGCCUAUUUCAAUGGUCAAAAUUUUGAUCUCUUAAGAUAGCAACCUUGGUAACAACCAUUAUGCAAUUACACGAUUGUUUUGAGGUAAAAAUAUACAAAAUUUAUGUGAACUACUGAUUAUUUUGAAUUGGCUAUCCAAUUUUUAGAAAUUUUGAUUUUACUAUCUAGUUUUUCAAUUUAUUUGAUUUAAGUCGGUCAAUGGUUUAACUUCAAAAUUUGAAUGCAUCGUUUAUUUUUUACAUAUCCAGUUAGUAUACUUAAUCCAAUCUACGUUGAUUUUAAAAGAUUAGAAAAUAGAUUCAAAAUGGCCUAUACUUCAGAUAAGUUCUAUACAUUUUUAUCUUGUUUUUUUACCAAAAGUUCACUACUUAACCUCCUAUAUUAUUUGAAGAUUUGCAUCUUAGAACCCUCAAGCACAUCACAUCAGACAUCAUCCAAUUACCUAUUUAGGGUGCCUGCAUUUGGUUCAGCAUAAAACAAACCGAAAAUUUUUUCCGUAUUAAAAAUACGUUUUCGCUUGUUUGGUUUGACGCAGAAACUCCCACAAAAAUGUUUUUACGGAUUUGGAGAAAAAUUGAAGUUUUCAUUUUUUGCUGUUUUCUGGCGAAAAACGAAAACUCAAGCUUCGUAAAGAUUUUUUCAUUCAUUUUUUUCCACCGAACCGAAGAAAUGUGAAUUAUUUUUCUUUCAACCAAACAAAUAUUGAUAGAAAACUUUUUUUUUUUCCAAUAAACUAAACACUAAAAAACAUAAAACAUUUCUUCCAUCAAAUUUUUUUUCUCGGAAAAUUAUUUUUCACGGUUUUACGUUAAACCAAAAGGCCCCUUAAUAUAGGUGGAGUUCAUCACAAAGUGUGCAGUAACAUUUGAUUUGUUUCGAUAGUAAUGCCAUUAGUCAAAUAAUCCACAAUCUUUAAAUCUCAAAAAGAAAAAGGCAUGAUUUGAUAAACACAACAAUUAAAUCAGAUACAACUGGUUAAAGCUAACAAUUGCAUGCUUUGUACAGAUCCCCUUCUUAUUGUAUUAAAUUUCAUCUGGUAUCAAUUUGAAGGCCAUCUCAUUCAACUUCUUUACCUCCUUUACACAUCAAAUUACUUUAAUGCCAUAAAUCACAAAUUAAUUGAAAUGAACAAUCGGUGAAGUUCGAAUACACGAAGCACGAAGAGCAUACAUAUUUCGCCUUAUUGCCGUCGAACUUGGUUAAAUUGAAGACAUAAUCAUAGUGUUUCUUCUUCAGCAUGCUGCAGAGUCCCGACUUCAGCACAACCUUUUUCAGAUGCAUUCUCCUCUUGCGACUCCCGCCAGCAAAGAACCGAAGCCAAAUCCUCCACUGCGACCUUCACGACAUCCUUCCUAACCCCAAUGUCGGUAAUAUAUCUCCCUGCACAGUACAUUCCCGCGGUCACAGUUGCCAUCCCGACAGGGCCCGCCACCAAAAGCUUGAAUGGCGUAGACAAAAGAGCCGCCAACGGUACACCGAUUGCCGAUGACGCCUGACCGCUCCUUCCUAUGCCAGGCUCAUCAAGCGGCAGUAGACCAGUCUUGCAGUACAAUGCAAAGUCCUCGCAGUUAUUCUCAAAUACAUCGUAGUUGCCAAAUCCGUUCUGAAGGAGAUACAUUGCUCUGUUGAUUACUAUUUCCGACGGAUCAGAAUCAGCUGUUGUGCACGUGCCGCCCCGAAUCUUGGCUAGGAAGACGGGCGGCGGGACGCCGUACUCAAAUGAGUAGAGGGAGCCAUUUUGAAGGAAGCAGUCUAAGCAGGAGAGUACGACACCACUGUCGGGCUGUUGGAAUCCACAGUCAGGGAAGGUAGGGCAGCUCAACGGAGAGUCCGAGCUCAGAUUGGACUUGAGUGAGUUAGGCUCGGAAGAUGAGGUUUCUUUCUUUCUUGUGAAAUGCACAACUUUGCUUCCUCCCACGUAGAUACCUAUAAACGAGUUCCCAAAGGCAAAUACAAUGUGAUGGUUCGUAGGAUGGACGAUAUUGAACUUACUUUACAAGAUGAUGUUUGUCAUUCUGUCACUUUUCGAAAAGACGGAAAAAUUUAGGGUUCAACUAUAUAGUUCGAUACUUUUAGGCUUUCAUGUAAUCUACUAUAUUGAAGCAAAAGAUCAGCACUUUUAUAUGAGUAAAAUGAGAAGCACAUAAUUACAAAGAGUUCCCCUUUAAAGCAACAACAUGAGCACAAGUUUGUGAAUAUAGAAACCAACUGAAUAUGCAGACUACGUAAAUAAAAAUUUAAAUGGGCAAUGUUGCACUUCUUGAAAGACUAGAGAACCAAAUUAGGUAGAAGGGGCAUUUAGCAACUAAGAGGUGUCGCGAAGGAAUUGGGGUUGGUGACAUGUUGGGAUCAUUUGAUCCACUCAGAUCUAAUAAUUCUGUUGGGAUGGGGUUAUUGUCUUAUUGAAUACCGCCGUCAUAAAAUUCUAUAGUAUUCCACUGACCUCCUAGUCAUUGUGAACCCCCAAUGCCUCCAAGUCGCUAAAUUCUCCCUCCCUCUCAAUAUUGCUUUUGUCGUUUUGUCCAAUCCAAUCCAAUCCAAUCCAAUCCAAUCCAAUAUUGGAUGCCAAAGGGGUCAAAAAUGUAAAUGCUUAAUUGUAGGAACCAUGGUUAUUGUUGCCAAAGAAGACACAAUUGUAUGAGGAAACCCAAAAAGGCAAAUUGCAAAGCUAGCACGCCACAAUGAAAACAACAAAAAAUUAAAAUGAACCAACCAAGAAGUCAAACACCAAGAAUUAGGUGGGAACCCUUAAAAAAAAAAAGAGCAACCAACUCUAAACAUGCACUUAUUUAAAUAGGAUGAAUACAAGUCCUCUCUAGUCACUAGUAAAGGCAGAAAACACAAAAGGAUAAAGCUAGGGCAACGAACAAAAUAAGUGUUGGAAAGGGUUUGCCAUCACCAUGUUGCUAGCGAACACCUCUCAAGAAACCUCCCGGCAAGGCAAUGAACCGGCAAGGCAAUGAAACUCUUCUGGAGUUUCUGCCAACCCAAUUUCAAAAGCCUCUAGCACGGAAGCAAUAAUAGUCUUUAAUAGCAGCGUCUUCACUAUUCUUCUCCUUUUCUCUAACAAGGAAAAUAGAGCCUCAUUUUUCACUAAUCGUAAGUACUAGCUUUUUUAAGAAACACAAGAUAAACAUAAGAAAGGACAUAAUGUGCUUAGUCACCCAACUUAGCUGACUUGAACCCAAUUCUCUACCAUAGUUAGUUAAUUCGGAUACGGUAAAAAUUUAGUAUGGAUAAAAUACGAAUAAAAUUCGUACCUGGAUUUUUAAAUUCGUUGAAAAAUACGGUUUAAAAAUCGAAUUCGUCAAUAAUUCGUAUACGUGAUUUAUACGAGAAUUUUAUGCUUAUUAUUUAAAAAUUCGGAAUAAAAAUUCGUCUAUUGAAUUAAAAUUUUUCUUUAGAUUUAUGCUAUUAUCAUAAAUAAUUAUAAUUCUUAUAAAUAUAAAAAUAAAAUAAUAUAAAAUACUGUGUAUAUUUAUAUAUAUAUCUAUACAACUAUAUUAAUCCGCAAUGUUUAAGAUGACGUGGCGCUUCCUCCUUAGUUUAGGGCUUUUCUAUUUUUUUUUUCUUUUCUUUCUGUUAUAUUAUAUAAAGUAAUAAACACAAAGGGGGAGUGAGAGGUCCACGGUGGACCUCUCACUCCAAGCAGUCCACGAGGCUGAGUGCAGCCACGUGGACCGCGCCUUUUCCCAAGAAUCCCAACGCGGUGUGCCGCGCCCUCGCCGCUCCUCUUUUCUUCUUCCCUCGCUCCGUCUCCAUGGUUUCUUCAAAAUAGGACAAGCAAAAUUGCUCGACUGCUCGGAAGAGAUGCACGGAUCUGCGGAGCGGCGGUCGCGCGAUGUAGGUCCGAGAAAUUUUAUCUUUCCACGGCCGCCCAAAUCCAAAUUUUUUUGAAAAAUUUUAUCUUCCACUCUGCUCAAUCCGAAUUUUUCGAAAUAUAAUUCAGAAAAACCGUUUUAAUUGCAAAUAUUUUGAGCAAGGAGAAAAAAUGCGUUUUAUUCCGAUUUUUUCGAAAAAAUUCGUAGACGGAGCGUUUUAUACAUUUUUCUAAUUGUUAGCAAAUAAUUCGUGUAUUACACGUGAAUUAACUAACUAAGUUCUCUACUAUAACCCACCAAAAUAGGUUCAAGCUGAGUGCAAUUUUGCACUUAAGCCCCUCAUGAGAAGGGACACCACAAGAAAAAGAGAAUGAGAUGUGGACGGAUAGAUAAUAGGAGUCUGAGAUGACAAAGCUAAUGUAUGUCAUCAAAAUAAGGUGUGCCACCACGCUAGAGGCCUGCACCACCUCCUUAUCAUGUUGUAUAUCUUAAGUCAGUACCUAUAUUGCCCCACUAAAUCCUUUAUCUUUGCCAACUAGCUUUUGUGUAACUGCUUUCUUAUCCCUCUUAUUACUUCCUACUAAAGUGGUUACCUCUCUAUCCCAAAUUCACCCACUACUUCCUUUCCCUCCUCGAUUAUCUCACCGUCCCAGGUUCUCCCACUACGUUCUUUCCCUUCUUUGCCCUCGACCUGGGUUCAAUUUCUCCAAAUUGUUUUUUGAAAGUAUGUAGCAUCCCACCAUCUAGUACCAACGGGACUAGUUCGGCUAGCCAAAUUGACCAAACUGUUUGAUCUGGUCAGAUCGAUCCCGCCAAUGUUAAACGAAUAUUGGCAGGAGUAGAAUACUAUGUCCUUUCAGAAAAGUAAUCGAGAGAAACCGAGCCCAAGUCAAAGGCUAAAUAAGGGAAAGGAGGUGGUAGGCAAACUGGUGACGAUAAAAUAACCGCUUCAUUGAGGAGUGGGAGGAGGUUUAGAUGGGUAAGCAGGUGGUUGAGGAACAAGAGGUCAGUGGAGUUAAAUUGAUUAGACUGAGAACAUUUUAGUCUUUCUUCCCGCUCUCUUUCGUCCAUUAAACAAAAAUGGUAGGAUCUAGAAAAAAAAAGUAGGAACUUUGUUUAUCUAUUUAGAGAAGAGGAUAAGAGAGGUAUAGAAGCAAAAACUAUUGGACGCUAAUAUUGCUUGGAUUGCAUAGGGCUUUUGAAGCUGGGUUGGUGGCAAUGCCAAAGGAACCCGAUUGCAUUACUGUGUGGUUUCUUAGGAGGUGUUUGCAAACACUCAUCUAUUACCGUAGCAUCCUUUAUGUAGUAUCAAACUGAGAUAAUGCCAGAUGAAGCAUAUUUAGAAGAAUAGCAAGAUGAAAAUAUUUAGAAAAGCAUGAAAUACCAAAAGAGAUGAUUUAUAAUUUAAUUUAUACCAAUAAAUCGCCCAGCUUGGUUCCUCCAACAAGAAUCUCCACAAUAAAUGUGAUUACAGAAUUAGCAGGAGCUUUUCAAGGCAUAACUCACAUGCAUAAAGGCACAUAGACAUCAAAAGUAUACCAAAGGGAAAGGGUAGUCAUUAUUAUAACAACCAGUAAAAUGAAGGCAAAGAUGCUCUUCGAAAAGUGAAUUGUAGGCCUUAUGUGACAAAAGUUAAAACAUGAUAUCACAAGUGUAAAAGAGAACAUAGAUUUAGUUCCCCUUUUUCUUUUCCUCUUUAAACAUGAUUGCUUCAACAAAAAAAAAAAAAAAAAAAAAAAAAAAAGAAAAGAAAAAGAAGAUUAGCUCCAAAGUAUUCAGCAAUGCUGAUAUCAGAAAUUGGAAAAAGUACUUCCAAUCUUAACAGUUUCAUGGAUUUUGAUAGGAGAAUAAGGUUCUCACAUAUAUUAUGAACUUAUACUAAAGUAAAAAUAAUAAUUUUUAAAUAAGGAUUAACUAUUUCUUCUUCUUUUUUUUUGUACAAUUGAUCAACUAUUUCUUGUUUUUUCUUAUUGUUAUCUUCCCUGUUAUUUUCUUUAAGUUAUGGCAGCAUGCUUGUUUUUUUCUUUGACAUGAAAAAGAAUUCAAUUAGUACCAAGUAUAGCCAACACACAAAUAUGACUAUAGCCUGUAAGACUUCCCUGAUUUCCUCGAAAGCAGAGAAAAUCACGUUAAUUAUGAUUUCUUACAAUCAUCAACUUUUGAUUACAUUCAAUUAUGCAUUAUCUGAUAAAUAAAGGUGCCAUCAAGAUGCAAUUGCAAUUAUCAAAUAAAGAUUGCUUACAUCAGUGGAUCAGUAACCCAAUGCUGAGUACCAAGAAAAGAAUACUGUGGAUUUAGUAAUACCACAUCAACUGAAGAAACUGGGAUUCCUUGGUCUCCUAGGAGGUUUAUUCCUUCGUCAUAAUGUUGAAUAAGUUAAUCAAAUUUAAAGACAAAGUUGAUUACAGUCAGGUUGGAAUUUACGAAUGAGUUCAACCCAGAAUAAAAGAUUGAAAGGAAGUGGGGAAAAGAAAGAAGGAGCUAAAAUAUGAUCAGGAGAUUUUUUGGUCAUCCUACCUCUCAUUAGAUCAAAUGCAUCUAAGCUAAUCUACAAUUUACAUCCGGACAAAGAACACCUAAUAAAUGGAAAAAUUUUAGAAACAAAAAAUAGAAAAAGAAAAAACCUAUUCAUGGGCACCUCUCCGAAUCGAGGAAUAUGACAUAAUCCACUCCCCAAAACUGAAAUAGGCAUGAAAACGAACUCCAAACAACAAAACCAUUUCCCCGACUCUUAAAGAGCUGCAGAUUCCUAUAACUGAAAUUAGCUAAAGAAGCGCAAAUUUCUCUGCAAAUUCUGAUCUUUUCGAGUUGUGCUAUAACAAUCCAAUCCAAGAACAAAAUUCAAUGCCUGCACAGAUAAGAUUUCGCUACGACGCAUGCAUCAACAGAACCCGACGGAGCUCAGUGAAGCUUCAAUACUACAUUAGGGACUUGAAAUUUGAUACGAAGUUUGGAAAGAGUCUCCGAACAACAAAACCAUUCUCCUAAACUCCCAAAUCCACAGAUUUUCCUGGAAAUUCCGGUUUUUCGAGUCAUUCGACGACCACAAUCCAAUUCAAGAACAGAAUCCAAUGCCAACCCAGAUAAGAAUUCGCUGCAACGCACCCCUCAAUAGAACCCAAGGGAUGUUAAAUUAUAUCAAACAACAACAUCGCAGAACUCGGGACCUCCUGCUCUGAUUCAUAACAUGAAGCUUAAGCUACUAAAGAAAAUGGUGUUUUUAUAUUUUGUAUUCAAUAAGGAAAUUAGAAUAUGACACAAAAUUUGAAGAGUCUCCAAACCAAACAAAAUCAUUUUUUUUUAGCACGCAAAUCUACAAAUCCCUAUUACCCACAAAAAAACAUAACAAUCCAACUCAAGAACAAAAUCCAGCGCCUACCCAGAUGAGAAUUCGCCAUGAUGAACACACCAACCAAAAUCAAAUACCAUUUCUAAAUAGCAUCAAUGCUACAUUAGCAUUAGCAACUCAAAAUUAGUUUAAAAAAAAGAAAAAAAAAAAGUACCGUGGUGGGAGUAUGUGUACACGGCCCUCCAAGUGUAGAUGUGGUCUCCGGGAUUAAUCUCAGAUCUCUCCACCCGGUUUGAGAGAAGCCCCAUUUCUCUCCCCCCCCUCUCUCUCUCUCUCUCCUCUUUCUCUCUUGUUCUUGGUCUUAUAAUUUUGACUCACCACCUCCGAAGCAAUUGCUAAAAACAUAAUAAUAAUAAUAAUAAUAAGAAAAAAAAACUUCAAAUACCACCACUGAGUUUCAUAUUUUUUUAUUUUAGUAUUUUAUAAUUUAAAGUGUAUUAAUUUAAUACUUCGUAAUUUUAUUUUUCUAUUUUUAUUAUGCCAUCCACUAAUUUUUUUCAUUAAAUCAGUAACAAAGUUAAAACUAAAAAUGCUAAAGUGAAUAUUUGAUAAACCUAGAUAGAGUAUUUGAAGUUUUUUUGUAUAUAAUUUAUCAAAAUAUUAAUGGGGGAGUUAACGGAAAGAGAAAUAUAAAAUCAAAGGGUACUAAAUGAAUACACUUUAAACCAUAUGAUACUAAAGUGAGAACGUAUGAAACCACAAGGGUGGUUUUUGAAGCUUACCAUAAUAAUAAUAAUGUAGUUAAGAGUCUAUUGUUGGUAAAAAUGUAUGGAGACACCUCAACUAUAUGAACUUUUGAUAUGCCUCCCUCAAUUUUUUUUUUUUUUGGAUUGAGACUUUUUAAGUUUUUAACUGUUUGAAAUCAAAUAAUCUCAGUGAAAAAAAAGUUAGGAAUUUCGUCAAAUUCAACGGCAAUUACAUCAAAAUUUAAUAACCUUAAAUUACUUUUUAAGAAAUAGGACUAGAGAAAUAGUAAUUAAUAGCUAAUAGAAUAAUCAUUUUUAGUAAGCUUUUAAUUUAUCCGAGUACAAAAAUUCAAGGCUAAAAUACGAAAUUUAUAAAUAUCUGUUUUUUUUCUUUUUUCUCCUGACUUUUAAAAAAUCUAUAUUUUGCCCCUUAAAAUUUUAGAAAUAUUUUUGAAUAUUACGACGUUAAUGGAGAAGAUAAAACAACCAAACUAUCCUUAUUUGUUCUACAAGAAAAAAAAAUAUUUUUUAAUAAUUUUUUUGUUAUUUUCAAGAGUAUUUUCGAUAUAAAGAAGAGGGACUAAAAAUUUUGAGGGGAUAAUUUAUAGAUUUUUAAAAAUUAGAAAGAAAAGGUGAAAAAAAUAGGUGUUUACCCGAAGAUUUUCUACAUUUUAGAAAAAAUUCAAAUUAAAAAAAAAACAAAAGAAUAAGAAAUAAAAGUUGAGGGGGUCUCCAUGCAAUUUUACGUAGUAAUGAUAGUGACGUCACCAUCAUCACGUAUACAUCGGUAGCCGUUACACCUGAUCGUUACAUAAGACUACGUGUAGUACCAUCGUUAAUUAGGAUAAUAAUGAGAAAGAGCCACUUAAUAUUAUAAUAAAGCUAAAUAGAGUUGUGAACUUGUGAUAGAACUAAUACCUUAAUAAGAAAAUAAAUAUAAUACCUUUUUAUUUUAUUAUAAUUUUUCACCUCACAAAACGCAAUUUAUCUUUAUAAUAUUUUUUUAUUUUUAGUUAAAUUAUAAAAAAUUUUCUUAUAAAUAAACACUUUUCACUUUUUUUUCUAUCUUCUAAAAAUUUAUAUUUUUAUCCACUUAACAUUCAAGUUGCUAUAUUUAGUGUGCGUUUGAUUUGAAGUCGAAAUCGGUAUUGGAAACAGAAUGAGAAGAAGGGUGUGUUUGGUUCCUCUCAAAAUCAUGCCGAAAAUUUUUUUUCGGUUGAAAAGUGAAAUUUUCUUUUUUUGGUGGCUUGUAAAAAAAUUUUUUGGAAAUUUUUUUUUUACAGAUUUUUAGGAAAACGAAGGUUUUCGUUUUCCGCCGGUAGAAAACGAAAAUGCGUGCGUGUUGUGCACGUUGUGUGGGAGAAGAAAGGGCGCGGUCCACGAGAUCCGCUCCACCUCGUGGACUAUGUGAGGAGAGGUCCAUGAUGGACCUCGCGCGGCGUUGCACACGUCGCGGGGAGAAAAAAAGGCAUGGUUCACGAGGUCCUCUCCACUUUGUAGACCGCGUGAGGAGAGGUCCACUGUCCCACUUUUAUAUAUAUAUAUAUAUAUAUAUAUAUAUAUAUACUAUGAUGAUAUAUUAUAUACUUAUUUUACAAUAUAUUUUAAAUAUAUUUUAUUUACAAAUAUAAUUAUAAUAUUAAUAUAUGUAAUAUAAUAAUUAUUAUAUAUUAAUAAUAUAUAAUAUAUAAAAUAUAAUAUAUAUAUAUAUAUAAUAAUAAUUUUUUAUUUAUAACUAAUUUUUUCUUUUUUUUUCUUUUCUUUUCAACCAAACAAUCUUAAUGGAAACCUACUUUUCUUUUCCUACAAACAAAAUGCUAAAGCGUAAAAUUUAUUUUCCUCCAAAAAAAUUAUUUUUUUUUUAUCGAAAAUAUUUUUUUUCCGCAGUUCUACGAGGAACCAAACAGCCCCUGAGUUGGAAAAAAUCGGAAUGAGAAUAAGCUGAAAACGGAAUCGUAAUAAUUCAUUACUUCAUUCUGUUUGGUUUACCACCUGAAUCAGAAUCGGAAUGAAUCAUUUCCAUUAUCACCGUUUGGUUCAAAUACAUAUAAAAAACAUAAUCAAAUUAAUAUGCUAAUUUUAUUUAUAAUAUAUUAGUUUAAAUUUAAACUGAAAAUUAAAUAUUAAAAAUUUACAUCAAAAUUUUAAAACGGUGUCAAAAUUUAAAAUAUAUUUUUUUAAUAAAUUAAAAUUUUAAAUUGCAUGAAUAAUUCAAAAUAUAAAACUAAAUUUCGAUUUAUUCAAAUUCAAACAUAAAAUUAUAAUUUUAAUUUCAAUUUGAAUCCAUAAAUUUAAUUUAAAUUUUAAAUAAACUUUUAAUAAAACUUUAGAUUUAGAUUUAAAUUUAAAUUUAUAAAUUAGAUUCGAAAUGCUUGAUUGAAUUUUAAGUUUUAAUUUACAUUCAGAUUAAAAUUAAAAUUUAUAAAUAUAAUUUUUAAACUUAAACUUAUGUUUCAAUUAAAAAAUAAGUUUAAAAAAGUUAAAUUUAAUCCCAACAAAUCCAUUCCGUCCGGAUUCAAUUUUUAAUCUGACCUCCUAAGUCAGAUUGCAAAAAAUAGUAAUUGGAGAGAUUCCCACUCAUCCGAGAAUCGGAAUCGAAAUAAAAAUCUCACAUACUAAAUAAGGACAAACAUAUUUGUUCAGGUUGAAAAAAGGGCGAACCAAAUACGCUCUUAGUUUUCCUCCGUUAGCGUUUAAUUACUAUUCCGUUCAUUUCUUAUAAUUUAUACUAAAAAUAUCCUUUAAAAUAACAAAAAUAUAUUAAAAAUUUAUUUUUUUUUAUAGAAGAAGUAAAAGGCAAUUUGGUCACUCUACCCUCUUCAUUAACGCCGUACUCCUCUGAAAACAUUUCUAAAAUUUUAAAGAGGCAAAAUAUAAAUUUUUUAAAGUCAGAGAAGAAAAGCGAAAAAGCGAAUAUUUAUAGGAGAAUUUUUUGUAAUUUAGCUUUUUUUUUUUUUAUUGUGUUCUCGAACUUUUUAAUUUUUAUACUGGAUGUACGUUAUACAUCCACUCAUUCAAGAAUUCUUAUUUCCUACUCGUAUUAUCAACUUUUUUUUUUUUUGAAAAUUCAUGAAACUUUUUGAGCAUUGGAAUAUAUCGGGAUAAGAUUAACACCUAUUAAUAGUUAUAUAUGUAGUAUUUAUUUUUAACAAUCAGGUUAAUUUCUAACUAAUAUUUUUUUUAUUGCACAUGAUCAUAAUUGCAGCCGGUGUAAAAUUUCUAUUAAAAUUAAUUAAAUCGUUUUACUUAGAAAGACCUUUUAUAUAAAAUUUGGUAUUCGACAUAAAUUUGUAAGAAUAAAUUUAUAGUAUAAAUAAGCAAAAGAAACAUAAAAUGCCUCAAAAUUGUAUUAAAUAUUAUAAAAAAAUGAUUAUACAUAAAAAUAAUAAGUCAAUUACCAUGUAUUGAACAUAAAAUGAUGACACUUAUACAUGCAAAUUAAACUUUAAAAAUUACUAGUGCUUUAAUUGAAGGAAAUAUUAUUUCUCUUUAGAAUAUAAUAAAUAGAUUUAUCAGACAUUAUUUUAGCCAUGUUAAUAAAAGAAGUAAAAGAAAACUUAAUUAUGUUAAAGUGGAAGCAGCUUUUACUUUGUAUAUAAUGUCAAAGCAAUAUGAAAGCAUUUUUUCCUAAUCGCAUAUGAUAAAAUUAAUUAAUUAAUAUAGUCCAUAACAAAAAAAAUGCAAAAGAAAUGCUUCAAAAAAAAUGCAAAAGAAAAAAAAAAGACUAUAUAUAUAUAACUAAUGAUUCAUACAUAGUUGUUGAAACAACAAUUGCAAAAUAAAUGCUCCCAAAUUUUACUCUCUGCAACUUUUAUCAUUAAAGAACAAAUUAUUAUAAAAUGUAAAAGAGAAUGCAAAUUUUACACUUUUUCAUCUAAGGGCUAACUUUUGAACUUUGUCUAGGAAUAACACGUUAACCUAAAAACUUGUGUUGCCGUGGGGACUGACCCUUGUCUAUAGCAAGUUUUUUUCUUAAAAAUAAAGGCAAAAUAUAAAACAUAGAAACUAUACAAAAAAUAUCUACACAUCAAAAAUCUAAGAUUAUGAAAGUAAAAUAACCAAGGCAAACUUUAUAGAGAAAGUAUAAAUAAAAUCUAGUGAAAAAUGAUACAGCCUUUUUGCAUAAAGAAUUCACUAGUUUUGUAUUUUUGCAUAAGCGGGCCAUUUUUUUUUAUUUUUUAAGAUUUUUAUCGAAAUUUUUUCAAUUUGAUCAAAAUACCCUUGGGCCCAUAAUACGUAGACUAUGCAUGUACGUACAAGUAGAGUGCGAUUAUACAUGCAGCUUACGACGUGUGAAAAGCAAACGUACGCCGUGAGUAUUUAUCCUAAUGCACAAAAUAUAAGCCUCUUAUUCACUCUCAUGCUGUUUGCUGUGGGAUAUAUUUUUUCAAAAAUAAUUGCAAUAAAGAUAAAAAAUUAAAUAAUGCAGCACAGAUAAAAUGUUGCAUAAUUUAUACAAAUUUGUAGUAUUAGAGAAAACAAAAAUGGUUGCAAUAUUUGAAAAUAUUGUUGCACUAUAUAUUUGAUAGAGUAUUGCAAAAGUUAAAGUAUGCUGUACAAUUUUAAACUGUAGCGCACAAUUCAUCUUUGCUUAUUAUAUUCAUUUUUUUAUUUUUGUGUUAGAUGAGGAUUCUGGUAUCUUGAUUAAAAGUACAAGCAAUAAUAACUUGUUAGUCAUGCAAUAAUAACUUUGAUUGUCAAUCUUUUAAUUUUUCACAAUAGAUUCCUAACAUUUUUUGCAGUCAUAUCAAUUAAAUUCCUUCUAUUAAAACAACUAUUACUUUUUGUACAACAUUUAUUGGAGUUGAGCUAUGAAAUUAUUAAUAGUCGAUAAUUAAUAUUUACUAUUAAUUUUUUUAGUCUUUGGAUUUAUAAUAGUACUACCGUUAAAUAAUAAAUUCUAUGCAUACAAAUGAUAUAUAAAAAGUAAUUAAAUAUAGCCAACACUAUUUCUCUACUAUUAAUAGUAUUCUAGUUUUUCUCCAUUUAGUACUUGUUUCAAUUAAAUUUCUUUUAUGGAAAGAGAUAACACCAUUUGUUCCUCACCUUUGUCCCUUUUCCUUUGACUCCCUUUUUUUAUUUUCUUUGUUUUCUUUUUUUUUGCUAUUAGAUUCCUAACCUGUAUAUUCUAUUAAUUUCAAUCCAUAAUAUCUUGCUUCUUUAUAUAGAUCACAGUUAUACUCCGAUAGUCACCGAUUAAUCUUAGCCCUAAUUCUCUUUAGUCUCUAAAAUAGCUAGAUAGUACUAUUGGCUCAAUGUUGAGAACGUCGAUACUUCAAAAAAGCCAAUAGGUGUCAUAUGCAAAGUUAAGAUGGUUAUAGGCCUAUAGAAAAAUAUUGAAGAUGAUGAAAUUCGACUUUAACACCGUAGCCAUGCAUAUGGAAGAGAAGUUAGGGGCCAAAGUAAAAAAAAAAGAAAAAAGAAAAGUUUAUGGACCAAUAGUAAAAUUAAUUUUGAAGAUUAAAAAUUCGAUUCAGAGAAUAAAAAGUUGGGGACGAUCGAAGAGUAUAAUGGUUGGGGACCAACAGUGCAAUUAAACCUCGUCAAAAUGACUGCAAAUAUUAAUAUGGAUAGAAAUGCCAUAUUGGGAACUUGAUUGUCAAAACCAAACUAAAAAGCAAAACUUGGAAAAGUUUAUGGACCAAUAGUAGAAUUAAUUCUGAAGAUUAAAAAUCUGAUUCAAAGAUAAAAAUAUGUAAUGGGUGGGGACAAAUGGUGCAAUUAAUCCUUGUCAAAAUGAUCGUAAAUAUUUGGACAGAAAUGUUAUAUCGGCAGCUUGACUAUCAAGACCAAACUAAAAAAAUUUGAAAAAAAAUUAUGGACAACUAGUAAAUUUAAUUCUAAAGAUUAAAAAUCUAAUUGCAAGAAAUAAAAAAGUUGGGGACCAAGAUAAAAAGUAUGUAAUGAUUGGGGACCAUCGGUGCAAUUAACUCUUGUCAAAAUGACCGUAAAUAUUUGGACAAGAAUGUCAUAUUGGCAGCUUGACUAUCAAGACCAAACUAAAAAAAGUUGAAAAAAAAAUUAUGAACCAAUUGUAAAUUUAAUUCGAAAGAUUAAUAAUCUAAUUGCAAGAAAUAAAAAAGUUGAGGACCAAGAUAAAGAGUAUGUAAUGAUUGGGGACCAUCGGUGCAAUUAACCCUUGUCAAAAUGAUCGUAAAUAUUUGGACAGGAAUGCCAUAUCGGCAGCUUGACUAUCAAGACCAAACUAAAAAAAUUUGAAAAAAAAUUAUAAACCAAUAGUAAAUUUAAUUCUAAAGAUUAAAAAUCUAAUUGCAAGAAAUAAAAUAGUUGGGGGCCAAGAUAAAAUGUAUGUAAUGAUUGGGGACCAUAUGUGCAAUUAACCCUUGUCAAAAUGAUCGCAAAUAUUUGGACAUGAAUGUCAUAUCGGCAGCUUGACUAUCAAGACCAAACUAAAAAAAUUUGAAAAAAAAAAUUAUGGACCAAUAGUAAAUUUAAUUCUAAAGAUUAAAAAUCUAGUUGCAAGAAAUAAAAAAGUUGGGGACCAAGAUAAAAAGUAUGUAAUGAUUGGGGACCAUCGGUGCAAUUAACUCUUGUCAAAAUGAUCGUAAAUAUUUGGACAGGAAUGUCAUAUCGGCAGCUUGACUAUCAAGACCAAACUAAAAAAAUUGGAAAAAAAAUUAUGGACCAAUAGGAAAUUUAAUUCUAAAUAUUAAAAAUCUAAUUGCAAGAAAAAAAAUAGUUGGGGACCAAGAUAAAAUGUAUGCAAUGAUUGGGGACCAUCUGUGCAAUUAACCCUUGUCAAAAUGAUCGCAAAUAUUUGGACAUGAAUGUCAUUUCGGCAGCUUGACUAUCAAGACCAAACUAAAAAAAUUUGAAAAAAAAAUUAUGGACCAAUAGUAAAUUUAAUUCUAAAGAUUAAAAAUCUAGUUGCAAGAAAUAAAAAAGUUGGGUAUCAAGAUAAAAAGUAUGUUAUGAUUGGGGACCAUCGGUGCAAUUAACCCUUGUCAAAAUGAUCGUAAAUAUUUGGACAGGAAUGUCAUAUCGGCAGCUUGACUAUCAAGACCAAACUAAAAAAGUUUGAAAAAAAAAUUAUGGACCAAUAGUAAAUUUAAUUCUAAAGAUUAAAAAUCUAGUUGCAAGAAAUAAAAAAGUUGGGGACCAAGAUAAAAAGUAUGUAAUGAUUGGGGACCAUUGGUGCAAUUAACCCUUGUCAAAAUGAUCACAAAUAUUUGGGCAGGAAUGUCAUAUUGGCAGCUUGUCUAUUAAGACCAAACUAAAAAAUUUUGGAAAAGUUUAUGGGCCAAUAGUAAAAUUAAUUCUGAAGAUUAAAAAUGUCACGCUUCGGAUUACAAUGUCUUUCCGGGCACGCCAACAGACCCGUCGUAUACAUAAAAUUUUUUUCUGUAUACGAAAUGAUAGCUGCACCUGUAAACAAAAUCAAGCUACAACCACAAGGUAAAGAGCUGCUAAACUGAAUAUAAACAUAUAUAUAAAAAGCUCGAGGGGUUCCUGUACAUACAAAAUGUCUACAAUCCACCUUGCUCCAGCAACUGCAACGACAACAUCGCAGUAUGUACAAAAAAGCCCAAAACUACCUCUGGAUAGGUGCUCCUCUAGUUGGCAAUCAGGGAAGGGAUGGCUCUAACUCGCGACUCUCUUGCCUUGGUCGAAAUCCACAACAGCAGCAGUCACGGACGAAGGCUCUGCAAAAACGGGUCAACAACUGAGUGUGAGAACUAUUAUAAAACAAGUAGUCCUCAGUGGGUAUCGCCACCGACCUCAAUGGCUUACCCACUAAGUCUACAGAAAUAUGUGUAAGGGAUAGUAAUGCAAAUUGGAAAGAACUGUACAGCUACAUGCUACUAUACUACCGCUAAUCACUACGAGCUAUCUGUAGAUAUAGAAAUACAUCCUCUGACCCAAUCUCACUAGGGACUGCGAUACGCCCAUCCCGCUUGUCGAAACUAUCCUGUACACCACCCCGAGGGUAGCCGGUGGAGAAAAUCUCUCUGGGGACUGCGGUACGUUCGUCCCGCCUGUCUAGGCUACACUGUACACCACCUUGAGAAUAGCCGGUGGAGAAAUCUCUCCAGGGACUGCGAUACGCCCGUCCCGCCUGUCUAGGCUACACCGUACACCACCUCGAGAAUAGCCGGUGGAGAAAACUCUCUAGGGACUGCGAUACGCCCGUCCCGCUUGUCUAGGCUACACCGUACACCACGUCGAGAGUAGCCGGUGGAGAAAACUCUCUAGGGACUGCAAUAUGCCCGUGCCGCCUGUCUAGGCUACACCGUACACCAUCUCGAGAGUAGCCGGUGGAGAAAACUCUCUAGGUACUGCGAUACGCCUGUCCCGCCUGUCUAGGCUAUACCAUACACCAUCUCGAGAGUAGUCUGUCUAAGUAACAGGUUCGACAGGACUGUUGCGACUUAACACACGUCACAACCUCACUGAGGGUAGAGAAUCACUAACUAUCACUGACCCAACCUUACACGGGCUGCCCAAACGGACCCACCCUGCUUGUAUCCAGCUCAAGAACCAUCCAAACAAAAACUGCGACCUCAUCGCAUGAAACCUCAUUCCGGAAUGGCAUUCGUGAGUGCGACCCAACUGAGUUUACAAGUGUCUCUGCCGAGUUCAACCAGGCUCUCACAAACUGUAAUCACUGUAACUGGGUCAAACUAAUCUAUCCACUAGAACUCACGUGCCUUGGUAUAAUCUGAUGCAAAAUACAGAAAUCCGGGUUCACCGUCAACCACGACGGCACCCAACAGUACGAAACAGUCUACACCCUACUGUAAAACAAACUCGGCAUCCCAGCACGAGCAUAAACUCAUCCUACCCUAAUCUGGGUAUCCACCGCAUACGAAUAGCGGCGAUACAAAAGAAUCACAGCUCCUAAAGCUAAAUCUGGUAAUUUUUCAGAAAAAAUGACAGUGAAGGAUUUAGAGUGUUUUCUCUUAAGUCAAUUCCAAGUCCAACAUGUAUACAAACACUAGUUUAACUCCAAAUUCAGAUUUUUUAGGCUCUAACAAACAAAUUCCAUGAAUUCGAGUACUAGCAAAGAAAUAAAACCAAUGAAACAUAUCGAUGAUGCUAGAACUUAGGAGGAAAUUCGACGAUUUCGGUAAACAUUAACCCACCUCGAAAAGCUUGUCCAACAACAACGAGAAAUCAAAAGGAGAGAAUCCACGCGCUCGCCUGGCCUCCAACGGCGCAACCACAAUGCCCACGCGCUCGAACGGCCCUUCGGAUCAACAUCAACAACCUCUCGGGCUCGAGCCGCGACCUCCACCACGAGCACGUCCAAAAACUAGAGAGAGAGUGGGAGCAGCAAACAAACCCUCUUCUCAGAGCUCUAUACAAAUACAUAGAGGCUGAGAAUAAGGUUGAGAUUAUCGACACUUCAAAAGACCAAACUAUCCCUUAUCUACUCAAAAAUUCAGCUGGUGUACCGAUACUCUAUUUGAAUACCGGUACUUAGGCCUUCAGCCCGCAGGUUUGCACACUAGGUACCGGUACCAGCCCGAUACAGUACCGGUACCUGAGCUCGAUACCGGUACUCAAAGACAGGUACCAGUACUCAGCAUCAGCCUCGCGCGAACCCAAGAGCAUCCUAUUUUGUAAUUCCACCGGGGUACUAGUACACCUCUUUGAUACCGGUACUCAACACUAAAAUCCUGCACUUUGCGGAUUUCAGUGUCAGAACUCCACCCUCGCUUCCCGUUGAGUUCGUUUUGCGUCCAUUCCGCGUCAAAACGACUCCGACUUGUCCCGACACUCUCCAGAUGUGUCGACAAGUAUCAGAUGCUAAAAUCUCACAAGCAUCCAAACACCAUGGACACUACAAAAAAAAUCUAAUUGCAAGAAAUAAAAAAGUUGGGGACUAAGAUAAAAGUAUGUAAUGGAUGGGGACCUUCGGUGCAAUUAACUCUUGUCAAAAUGAUCGCAAAUAUUUGAACAGAAAUAUGAUAUCGGCAGCUUGGUUAUCAAAAUUACCCUAUUUAUCCCCUAAGUUUUGCGCAAUAUUUUAAUUUAAUCACAUCCUUUUAAUUUUUACAAUGGCUUUCUAAAAUUUAUUAUUUGUUUCAAUCAAAUCCUUUCUGUCAAAAUAACUAUUAAUUUGAAUCAAAAUUGUCACUUCACUAUAUACCAAUUUUUAUUUAUCAUGUUGGUGCCAAAACCUUUCCACGCGGUGAUAUAAUCUCUGUUACUUUUUGACAAAAAGAUCUUGAUUGAGACAAGUGACUCAAUUAUAAAAAUUGGAAGAUUGAGAUCUGAGGGUGAAAAGAAAAAAAAAUCAAGUAAAAUUUAGGAUUCACUGAUGUAAUUGAUCCUAUAAUUAUUGACAUGGAUGAAUUAACCGAUUGAUCCCUGAAUAUUAGUUAUGCUUUAAUUUUGUCUCUAAAUUUGAUUUGUUGUAUCAGAGUUAUAAAAAAAAUCAAAUAAUUUUGCAUUUAGACCUUUGAUUAUCAAUUUUCAUUGUGUACAGAAAUUUAAUAUGGUUUGUAUAAAUUACUUUUUCGUAGUCCCUAAAUCCAUUAAAAAGAAGAAGAAGAAGAAAAUGGAGCAUUAUGUGUCCUUUUUCACAUGCAUGGUGUGGAAUACUUAGUUGACAUGUGACAUUUUUUUUUUUUUUUUUUGUUUCUUAAGAUGAAAAUCUACAGGUACUUUUAUUGAUCCGUAAAUAAAAAUGUACACGAAAAAAAAUAUAGGAAGGCAAAGUAGAUCGUUAACUAAAUACAUAUAGAAAAGUGUCCUAAAAAAUUAAAGAGAUAUGCAGAGACAAAUGCACGACUCUAUUAACCUCUAAAGAAAAUUCAAUGCAACUAUAACCAAUUAGCGCAAAUCAAAAAUUUAGAUGAGGGAGAAAGAGAAAGGGAAAGGCGGUAUGGUCAAUUAAACUUGGAUUAGAGCAAUUUGCUCAUUUUUCACCCUUGUAAUAUAGCAAAGAUUAAACCUCAAAGUAAAACAUAAAAAAUAGAUUGGGUACCAAUAGUGUGAAUUUAACUAAUUUUUUUUGCCUAAUGGAGCAGUUUAAUUUUGAUAAAUUCUUUAGUUAAACGGGAAAAAGUUAUUCAAAUCAAAUUUCAAAAAAAAAUUGCCAUAAUUUUGGUAAGGGCGGUUUCUAGAGUAAGACCGUUUCAUUUUCAUCAGCUGCUUUCUGUUAUGCAAAUAUCAUGAGUCUCAAUAUUGCGUGAAGAAAUGAAUAAAAAGGGGGGGUCAUAUUGGAUGAGUCCGACUACUGCUAUAUUUUUAUGAGUACGAUCACCUUUAUACUCAUAAGUCAUUUUUAAGAAUAAAGCUUUUGAAUCGACGAUCCAUACCGCUAAACAUUACUAGAGCAUUUAAAACUUUUAGAAAUCAAAUUUUAUAAUUUUUUUAUAUUAUUUUUCUUACGAUCAAAAGUUCUUAAAAUUGACAAUUUUUAAUGGCCGGUACGAAAUACUUGCUAGUUUAACGGCAUAAAAGAAUGAAAAUCGGUUGAAUUUUUGACAAAAAAAUUUAUUGACUAUUUAGAUAAAGAUCAAUAACUUUGAUUUUAAAUUAAAGUAUCCGAUCAUCAAUUUUUAGGAUGUCGUUCAAUUUUGACCAUUUAUUUUAUGCCCGCUAAAAUUUCGAAAAAUUACGAAAUUUAUUUUCUAAAAUUUUUAAAUAAUUUUGAUCAUAUUUAACAGUGUGGAUUAUCGAUUUGGAAGCUUCAUUAUUGAAAACAACUUAUGAGUAUGAAGGAUUUUUUUUUUCAUAAGAGUACAGUAGCCCCACUCCAUAUUGGAAAUCAUCUUCUCCGAAUUUUCUUUUUCAGAUUGCCUUGGGAGUAUUUACCUAUGCUCGGGAGGAAAUAGGUCUAUUCAUGUUCAACAAGUACCUUCUAUUUCAACUUUGUAUGAUCUCAAUUAUUUGAUGGCUCUUUUAUUACAAUAUCAUUUAUUUAAAUAUAACGCUCGUCUUAAUAAGAAUCUAGUUAUAUUAGUCACGUAAGGUACUGUAAUUAAGCCCGUUAAAAUAAACAAACAAUAUAUCCAACUUGCAAAGUGGUUGGAAAAUAAACAAUACUUCAAUUGAGCUGAAACAAGUUCUAAGCUUUUGCAAUGUUGGAGAACUAAAACGAGACUAUAGGCCGGAAAAAGUAGAAGCUCUAAUUUUGCGAUUCUGCUUAUACAUCAAUAGAAAGCUAGUGAGAAGACCUUUUUUUUUUUUUUUUUCAAAUUCAACUUUGAAUACUUUUUUGAACAAUUCUCCUUCAACAGCACUCCUGCAAAGCUCUAAUGGGGGCCAAACAAGUAUACAGACUGUUUCUAUCAAAUUCUACUCAGGUCACCGACCGUCCCUAGUGCAAGUGGUAAAGGGAUUGGUGGUUGGUACCCGAGACCCAAGUUCGAAUCCUAGUUGAUUCACAUUUCCAGCUAAGUUUAUUUUUAAAUGAAAUAAACGAAGCGGGUAGCGUGCUACCUAUCUGUCUCUCAAAAAAAAAAAAAAAAAAAUUUCUACUCAGGUCCAGGCAUACUUUGCUGCUCUCAUUAAACCACUGCCACAAACCCAGGAAUCCCUCUGUACAAAAAGAAAGCAACCAAACACCUGCUCCUGCAUAAGAUCCCACUAGACAAUAAUCCAAAUUCUAUGUGUGGUGUGGAAAAGCAAGAGGACAGUGUUAGUUGGCUUGUGUACUGCAGAAAAAGCCUAUUAUUGUGUGUUCCCACACCCUCUUUUGUCUCUCAUCUUUGGUGGGUCUCCCUUAAUAAUUGGAUUGGGGGUUAACCUACCUUUGCUGAUUCUGCAUUUCAUGUUGCACCAAACCCACCAAACAAUAGAGAUUAAUUUACUGUUCACCAGUUGAUCAUCAUUCACAACCACUAAUGCUUCAAUUGUUUAAUGCAGUGGAUGCUGCAAUGCUGAUCUACAUAUAUUCCCUAGAAAAUGCUUAGUUUUCAUCUUAAAGUAUAUAUCCCUUCAGCAAUUGAGUGACAUUAAAAUGGCUUUUUAAGAUCAUAUUGUUUCCCAUCUAAAUAACCAUUUGCUCUUAAAUAUUCCCAAACCUCUUUUAUGAGAUCAAUAAUUCGAAUUUGUGGAAAAUGGUAGUCCUAUCCUAGCAGAAGUAUUUUAUCCGACCGAAUUCCAGUAUGAUUUUCUUAUUUCAUUCUAUCCGAUCCAUAUCAUACGGACCCUUUAAGGUGCUAAAAACCCAUUUGAAACCCAAGAGAGAAAACAAAAUAAAACUAUCAAAAGCCCAUUUCUCUUCAAGAUGAAGAGCUUACAAUCUUGGAGGUGGUUAUUCAAUAAUCUCAUCCUUGUUGUGGGAUUAUUUUACUUAACUAGAUUCCUCUCACAACUAGGGUGGGCAAUCCAGCUCCUUGUUCACGUUCGACUCGAAAUGAGCUCGAAAUCGGUCGAACCAAACACGAGUUAAAUUUUGUAGCUUGAAAUCUUAACGAGCUGAACAAGAGUUGGUGUCAGUUUGCUAGUGUUCGGCUCGAUAUUUCUCGAAAUCGAUCGAGCCGAACAUGAGUUAAAUUUUUCAACUUGAAAUCUUAAACAAACCGAACAAGAGCUGGAGUCACUUCGCUCGUGUUCGGCUCAAUAUAGCUCGUGUGUGUGUGUGUGUGUGUGUGUGUGUGUAAAGAGAGAGAGAGAGAGAGAGAGAGAGAGUUCGGCUAUUAUACUCUUAUGAAUACGAUCACCUUCGUACUUAUAAAUUAUUUUCGAUGAUAGAGCUUCCGAAUCCACGAUCCAUAUCAUUGAGCAAUAUCUAGAGCAUUUAAAACUUUUAGAAAUUAAAUUUCAUAAUUUUUUGACAUCAUUUAUUUUACGAUCAAAAGAUUUCAAAAUUGACAAUUUUUAAUGAUUGGUAUGAGAUACUUGCUAGUUUAACUGUGUAAAAAAAUCGAAAUUGAUUUAAUUUUUGAUAGAAAAUUCCAUUCACUAUUUAGAAAAAGAUUAAUAACUCCGAUCUUAAAUUGAAGGAUUCGAUCAUCCAUUUUUAGGACGUCGUUCAAUUUUGACCGUUUAUUUUAUGCUUGCUUGAUGGACUUUAUUAUGAUUUCGAAAAAUUACGAAAUUUAUUUUUUAGAAGUUUCAAAUACUCUAGAUCAUAUUUAAUGGUGUGGAUCGUCGAUUUGAAAGUUCUAUCAUAAAAAAUAACUUAUGAGUACGAAAGGCUCUAUAUUUAUAAGAGUAUAGGAGCCCUACCCCCCCGCUCUCUCUCUCUCUCUCUCUCUCUCUCUCUCUCUCUCUCUCUCUCUCUCUCUAUAUAUAUAUAGAGUGAGGCUACUAUGCUAUCGGAAGCACGGAGCCUUCUGUGCUUCCACCUCGUUUUCGAUGUUGCGACUUUCAAAUCGUCGAUCGGCUCCAUUAAACUUGAUCUAGAGUAUUUGAAGUACCUAGAAAAUAAAUUUUAUGAUUUUACGAUAUCAUUUGCCUAGUGAACGAAGGGGCUCAAAAUCAACGGCUGAAAAUAAAAAUCUUACAAAAUGUGAUAAUAUGACAUUAAAAUUUUAAAUCAAAAAUAUUGAUCUUAUUUUAUAUAGUAUGAAGAAUUUUCUAUCAAAAUUUUAUGUGAUUUGGAUAUUUCUACACCGUUAAACUUGCAAACGGCUCACUACGGCCAUUGAAAUUUGUUGAUUUGUGAGCCAUUCCAUUAUAGGCAAAUGACUAUCGAACAAAUCAUAAAACUUGAUUUCUAGGUUAGCUCCAAAAUACUCCUAGAUCUAGUUUAACCGGAACCGAUCGACGAUUCGAAAGUCGCCACAGCGAAACACGACGGUGGAAGGCACGGAAGGCGUCUGCUUCGAUAGCAUGAUAGCGCCUCACCUAUAUACUAUAUAUAAUAUACUGAUAUAGCUUAUAUGAUAGUAUAUAGGCCGAUGGCUAUUAUACUAAUUCUGAGUAUUGGAACCCAUCGUACGUCAUAUAAGUUGUUUCCAUGAUGGAGCUUCCGAAUCGACGAUUUCACUCAUUAAAUAUGAUCUCAGACGUAUUUGAUACCUUCAGAAAAUAAAUUUCGUAUUUUCGAAAUAUAAUAGAUCCUAUCAAGUGGCGUAUAAAAUGAACUGGUCAAAUCGAUACCGUCCUAAAAGAGGACUGAUUCGAUUCCUUCAAUUCAAGAUCGUGAGUUAUUGAUCUAUCUAUAGUAUGAAUAGAAUUUUUCUAUCAAAAUUCAACAAAUUUCGAAUUCUUUUUUUACACGUUAAACUUAGCAAGUAAGUCUCAUAUCGCCGGUUAAAAAUUGUCAAAUUUGUGACCUCUUGAUCUGUAAGAUAGAAUGAUGUCGAAAAAUUAUAAAAUUGAUUUCUAAAAGUUUUAAAUGCUUAAAUAACGUUUAACAGGUGAGAUCGUCAAUUCGGAAGCUCUAUCAUCAGAAACAACAAUUAUGAGUACGAGGGCGAGUCGUACUCAUAAUAGUAUAGUAGCCGGACCUCUAUAUAUAUAUAUAUAUAUAUAUAUAUAUAUAUAUAUAUAUAUAUAUAUAUAUAUAUAUAUAUACUACUUAGAAUUUAAGCCAACUUAAAUAAUUAAGAUUCCAAUUUUCUAAUUUUUUUUUCAACUAUUCACCCAAUAGUAGGCUGACAAUCUACCUUGCUAUUGAUGAGCCAGCUCGUGUUCGGCUUGUUAAUAAAUAAGCCGAGCACGAGCUGAAUUUUUCAACUCGAUAUUUUAACAAGUCAAUUCGUAUUUGGCUCGUUUAAUAAAUAAACGAAUACAAGCCAUUCCCAGCUCGCUCUCGUCUGGUUCGUUGACAGCACUACUCACAACCCUCUCCACCUCUAAGUUUCUAAAAUCCCCUCAUCCCCAAAAAUUACUUGGUCGUCUUUUUCUACACAAUCCAAUUCUCAUUCGCCGAAAUAGGCCUUAAACAGCCCAACCAUGUGCAAUUUGAACAUAUCAUGAGAAAAUAAAAGUUACUGCUCAAUGGAAUAGUAAGGCAAGAGAUCCUGUGCAAUAAUCAAAGUUCUAAGAAAUUGAUUAUUAAUUGAAUGAUGGUGAAAGGUCAAAAUGUAUGCCUUACAGGACUACAUUUCAAAACAAAACUUUGUAAAUAGAAAGAUGGCAGUUAUUCUAGCAAUGCAUUGAAAUGAAUUCUUGGUAGAGUUUUUACUCUUUCACCCUCAAAUACCAAAAUUGGUGAUAAAAAAACAAAACAAAUAACAAGCAACAAAUCUUUUAGUCCUAAACAUUUGAGAAAUCUUUUAGUCCUAAACAUUUGAGACAAACUACAGUGAUCAUACUGGAAAAAUCAUAACAUAGCAGCAAAACCAAAUCAAACUUCAAAAUGAACUUACAAGAAUUAACACUGCUGAAAAUUCACAAAACACUUCACAACAACAAUCAAACCAUCCAUUAAUCAGAGGUCGGAGAGUCUGUCUCUAGCAUCGCAACCGAAAUAAACUUGGGAUUUAAGAACUUUGCAUUAUUCCCUCAACAAUAAAAGCAGAAAUAAUAACAGAAACUAGAAGUCUUAUUUGUCUCCAACAUAUAUUAUGCUUCACCAUUCAGCUCUAUCUAACAACAUUCUACCAAUUUGAAGUGUUAUCCAAGUCUUCUUUUACUUGUAAAAAGAUCGUAAACCCAAAUUUUGUCCUGCUCUUUUUCUUUGGCACUUCCGCAAUCACCCUACAUUAGAUCACUCUUAUGUUCUUGCACAGAAGAGCAGAAAUAAUUAUAUCCAACAGUUGGUAAAUCUUUGAAGAUCAAAUUGUUUAGGUGUCUCCUUGAUAUAAAUAAACUGAGAAGGGAUAACAAGACAUCAACUCGAAAAAUGCCAAAACUGAAGACCAGCAAUUUUACUGAAGAACCAUAACAAAGAACUCAACUAUAGCUAAAGAUUCAUGAAGCACAUUCAUAUUACAGUUCCAUACUUCUCAUGCCAUUUGUUAUUGAAAUUUUAACUAAAUUCGCACAUCAAACGAAAUAAUUGAGUUAUGUAGUGUUUCUACUCCCUUUAAUUUUGACUCUCCCCAUCAGAUACUCGUCUCAUUUUAUCCGCUCUUACUUGUUCAUAGGUAGGAAGCAAGUUUAAGAUCAUUGAGAAUCAGUCUUAAUCUUAAUACUGCAGCCAGCAGAUACAGGUGUUCUUUUUUUGGCAAUUGGCUACACAAACAGCACCUAAGAACACGACUUAGAACAGUAGGACAACUAAUAAGAAGGUCCUCCCUUAUAUGUUUCAACCUCAUGCACCUAGUUAAGAUAAAGAAGUUUGCGUCCAACCAGAAUACGUCAGAAUUUUAAAUAUUCAUAAUUCCAUUGUUGGCCUCGUAGUUUAAAUGGUUAUCAUGAUUUCAUCAACUCAAAUCAGUUCAACAUAAAUGGCCAGUUUCAACGAUGAAAAAUGAGAAAAAUGUUGAAUGCCCAAUUGGCACUCGCCAGCAAUGUCUCUUAAGAAGCUAAUCGAAGCUCGACGUCACUGGCCACUGCUGACAGCUCAUGUUAGACAGACAACAAUGAAGAAUAUAUACCUUUAUAAUGACUCUCAAUGAGUCUCAAGACCAGAAGCAGCUAUACAAACCAAUAUAAUUCUAGCUAUUACCUGCAUAACACAUAUUUGAAUAAUCUUUACACUAUCAUGGCGGCAACAGUCUAAAAGCAGAUAGUAGUUAAAAGGUAAGGGGAGGGGAGAUCAUCAAGUCAAAAUUUCAGAAAGUAUAUAGCAGAGAUACCAAGGGUGAAGCAAUAUUUUAACUCAUUUACUUACUUUGCCUCUGAAGUGUCGGAUUAUAUACUCUACACAGAAGUAGAUGUAGACAAAAUUCAAAAAGGUUCUUUCAAUUCUUGAGCUAUUCGAAAGAAAAUGCUCUACCAUUAUGGACCUCAAAAGCACUGAAUUCAUUAUUUUAUACUCGUAGGUUGAAGAGUAAGAUUUUCUUUUUCCUUUUUGGGAAAUCUUGCUAUGCAUUUUGAUAUUGAAGUGAAGUCAACCAUCUAAAAAUUGAACCUACUAACUACAGAAGCUUCUGAAAAGAGUCUGAACUUUUUGUUGUGGCAGGAACCUCGAAAGAUCUUUCAGGGCCAAAAACAGAAGACGCUCCAAUUUAAAGCUAGUUGAAUUUGUUGGGAGGAUUUUAAGAAACAAGCUUAUGAUGCAGAGAGCUAUGUUUGGUUAUGCAAUAUAACAAUUAAUUCUAUUUAUAUAUACACAAGAUAUUUAUUAAAGAUCUUGGCCAAAGAAUACAGUAUCAAAGAUCAAAGAGUCGUCAAAAUGCACUCCAAGUCAUUUAAAGGACAAUAUACUAGCAUGUUGAAGUACGUAGUUUUAACAAAAUCAUAAGAACAAAAAACACGCCAGAUGAAUUAGAGGAAUCGAAGUGCAACACCAUAAAAUGUUCAGAAGAAACAUAAACUUUCACAGAAUAGAAAUACCAUUACAAAAUUUUGACAGAGUUAAAAAAAAUUAACAAAGCUAACUAAAAUACAAAGAAUGUAACAUGCGUAUGCUAAGAAUGCGUCAUGUGUACAAAAUUUCAAUCUUUGUAAGAAAAUAGUCAUUUCUAAAUUUCACUCCAAGGGAGAUGUCACCGGUAGUACAAAUUAGGCGUAGCCGGUAUCACUUUUUUAAGAAACAGGCAAUCAGUCAAAACUUUUAUUUAAAGAAGAAAAGAGGAGAAAGAAGAAGAACAGGAGACAAUAGUACGCACUGCAAAUAAUAAAAAAUUCAAAGUUGCAAAAAGCUGAGGCAAUAGAUAUUCUCAAGAGGCCCCAAAUCCAACAAACUAAUUGUUACAAAUAAAGGAAGAUUCUAGUUGAGCUUUUUCUUUUGGGUGGAAGAAAAACCAAGAGGAAAAAGAAUCAUAAAAGUCAAUGACUCAAGGAACAAAGAAGCUAAUUUUGAGGGUCAAAACUGUAAUCCUACAAAAAUGUUAUCUUUUGAGUCUCUGGUACAGGAUUAUCUGUUUCCGAAUUUGCCUAUGGGUUCAUAAAAACACAAGCUGCGAGAAAGAACCAACUCUUUGUUCUCAUAAUCAAGGGUUGAAUUUUCUGGUAGUUCCUGCCUACACAGCUAAACACAAGCUUGCAAAAAAAACAUAAAGUUUGGAUAUUUGCUCCAAAUAUCACGAUCAUAGAAUCAAGCAGUACUAUUUACGCAUACCCAAUUAUAGACAAUUGAACAAUAUCCACAAGAUGUAUCUUAUUCACAAAGAAAUCAUCAGUCACCAGUACACCUUUACAAAUAACACGAAAGCAAGAACGUGCAACAGGUCGAGACCAGAACUUACAGUUAAGCUGCUAUCUACAGGAACAGAUGGAUUCAGAACACAACAGAUGGAUUCAGAACACACAGAAGUUUUCAUCACACCAAGUCAUAUUCAUCUGAAUUGAAUUUUCAACACUUGUCUUGGCUACCAGUUCUCCUUCGUGAUCUUCGACUUCUCAAAUAUGAACUUCCCUUCCUUGUACUUCUGGGUCUCCUCGUAAGCCCUUUCAUACUUCCAUCCCAACACCUCGCGGCAAUCGCCGCAAUAUAUAUCGGCGACGGUGUGCAGUCCCGUCAUGAGCUGCCUAUCUUCCUUUGGGCCGACAACUAUGUUCAUCGCAUGUGAAAAUAGAAAGGCACGACCAUGUCUCCCCUACGCCAAAUCAAAAAAAAAAAAAAAAAGGUGCUAUUAUUGAGAGAGUGUUAUUCAUCAAGACAAGGAGCAAGCACUACGAUGCACCCAAGAUGUCCUUUGCUAACAACCAAUUGAAUCUACUUCAUCAGAAUAGGUUCGCCUUUUGUUCUUGUUUGGCCCGGCUACAGGAUAGCUUCUCUAGUAGCUUUCAAAUCUACUCUACUUGGGAAAAACAUAAGAGAUUUUAGAUGACAGGGCUAUUAGUGCUUCCUCGAAUAGCUCUACUCAAACAACAGUUUUGCUGAUACUCCAGCAAGGCCAAACAAGGCCAUACAAAGUACAAACCCAAGUUCAUAUAUACAACGGAAUUUUUACAAAAAUAAAGUUUCAUCGACAGGAUUGAUAAAUUCAGCUUCCAGUUUCCUCUUGAUAUUACUCGAGAAAUAAAAAUUGCAGAUAAACUUAAACUGAAAACAGAACAACUACAAUAUUAGUACCCAAAAUUGGGAAAGCUCUACAAAGUGCUUCACCUGAAAUGCUUUGGAUAUGAUAUCGUCGUGAAGACAGACAUGGUUUCUGCAGUUGUAGCAGCUGUAAAUACGAGGCCCGACGACUUCAGCCAUCAACUCGCCGAAAAUUCCUAAUCCUUACUUGCCCUAAUUAGCAAAAACAAAAAAAAAAAAACAGACACACANAAAAAAAAAAAAAAAAAACACACACACACACACACAAAAUUAAUAAAGAAACCCACCAUAUUACAAAUAAAAGAUCAAAGCAAAAACCCCCAAAUCACAAAACCACAAACCCUUAAGAUCAAACCAAAAAAAAAAAAAAACCCUACUAAAGAAACUCAAAAUAGAAAGGAAUAGAUUAAAAGUCCAUUACAAAUAAUGAAAAAAGUAAAAGGCACUUCUUUUGCCUCCCCCUCCUCCUACACACAACCUUUGAUCCUGGUAACAAAAACUUGUCUCAAAAUAGAGGUUAGAAAUGAUUGAAAUGAAGAAGAAUUAGGCCAUGAAAAAAAUAAUAAAAUAAUUGGAGAAGCAAAGAUUGGGUAAACAAGCAAGAAAAUAAUGAGAAAAAAGAAAACCUGAGGGUGAAAGCGACCGAGGGGUUUGGUAGGAUAGGAUAAUCAAAGACACGAAUUCAGGAAAAAUUUGAUUUUGAUUUCAAACUUGUCAAUGUUUAAAUGGAAAGACCCAAAUUUAGGGCAAAUUUGGAAUCAAAAUCAAAUUUUGAACAAUCCCCAACACAUUUUUUUGGCUCAAUAUUUGGAUGGAAAGGAUGAUCAUUGAGCCAAAGAGGAGGAUGAAGUACUAGUGCUGGGAAUAUCUCUGAUUCCUUGCUUAAACACCACCAUUAAUGGGGAAAAAAAUAAAAUAAAAUAAAACAAUAAGUGGGUAAUUUAAAAAGAGGGGAAUUUUAUAAUAAUUACUUUUCUUUACCUUUUUUUUUAUUUCAUAAAGCAAGGCCUUGGAAUAUUUUUUCCUGGAGAUAUAAUAGAAGAGUAAGGGCUCAGUUGUCUCAAAGAGGAAGAGGAGUGAGGGCUUUGUAGGGCUUUAUUUCUUAUUUCUUAUCAAUUUUCUUAGCAUUUUUUUCUUUUUUAUUUAUUUAUUUAUUUAUUUAUAUUUUAGGAGCUUUUAUAUUUUAGUGACUGUAAGAUGACUAGAGUACAAGCCAAACACAAACAAACCUGUUUGGACAUCAACAUAAAUUAUUGGGUUCAUUUUAUAAGAAGUCCCACCACCAACCAAAAAGUACUUAGAAACUGUUACAACGAACGUAUAAAUAGAAAUAAAAAAUAAUAAUUAUAAAAUAGAUAAUCAUAAAACACUAAAAAAUAGAACAUAAAAAUUUACAUGAAAAGUAAUUUACAGAAAAAAAAAUCACGGGUAAAAAAGAAAUGGUGCAAAAUUUAUAUAUCAACUAGUGCAAUUUUUAUUAAAACAGUACAAAUUUAUUUUAAAACGGUGUAAUCUUAUUUUAAGAAUACAAUUUCAUCAUCUUAUUUCUUCUUAUAUAAUUUUUUAUCUUUAUUUUUUUCUUUUUUCUCUUCUAUAAUUUUUUUUUGUUACGCCUCUCCACCAACGGCCACGGCGCCGGCGACGACGCCACUAAAGACCCUCCGCUCCAAGGCUGCGGCACCGCAGCGACCUCCGCGGCGCCAAUGUCGGCGGAGAGACGUCGUCGUUGGAGGCGGCGGAGGAGACGAAGGAGGAGAGAGAGGGAAAGGGUGAGAAGGGCGAGAGAGGGUGAGAUAGGCGUCGUCGUCGGAGGCGGUGGAGGAGGGUCGGAGAGAAAGAAAAAAAGAACGAGAGAGAAAAAAAUAGGAGAGAGAAAAAGAUAUAAGGGUAUUUUGGUCAAUUUGCUGAAAAAUAGGACCGAAUCUGCAAAAGCGAAAAAGGUGACCGACUUUUGUAAAAGCCCAAAACUAGUGAAUUUUUUAUGCAAAUUGGCCAUAUAGUAUUGAUAUUAACAACAUUAAAAAAGCAUAUGUGGUACCAACCGUCCCUAGAGCAAGUGGCAAAAGACUUAAUGGUUGGUACCUGAGACCCGAGUUCGAAUCCUAGUUGAUUCAUAUUUUCAGCUAAAUUUAUUUCUAAAUAAAAUAAACGAAGCGGGUAGCGUGCUACCGCCUACCUAUCUCUCUCCAAAAAAUAUAUAUAAUCUCUAAUUUAAUUAAUUAAAAUAACUAAAAUCGAAAAAAAUGAAAAGUGUAGUCCAAGUGUAGUCCAAUUUAAACUUGCCCCUAAGUUAUGUAUAUUCACCAACUCGACCAGCGGAGGGACGGCUUUUAUAGCAUGGGGCCCCUUCGACAGCAGCAAGUCAAUUCAACUUGCCAAAGUUAGAAAUGUAAAAGUUUGAAUGUGCCACAAUGUAUACCAUUGAUUCGAGUGUUAUACCAUCAAAAAUAAGAUAACAGUAAAAGUAUCUUUUGUUUCUAAAGGUACUCCAUCUUGAUUCAAACUACAAAGAGUUACCUCUACCUAAUUAUCUUGCUUAUGUUUGGUAAUUCGUGAUGUUACUAAAGAGUGAUUUUUUGUGUUGGCCAAUAAACUUAUGAUUCCAAGUAUUAUUUACUAAUGAAACUUAACCAUAUCUAAUGAAUUUGAUUUUACCUUUUUUCCACAGAAACCAACCGUUUCCAGCACAAUUAGCAAAGAAUUUGACGAUUGGUAUCCGAAAUCUUAAGUUCGAAAUUUGUUUGCUCUACAGUUUUAACUAAAUUUAUACUUUUAAAAAAUAAAUAAAACAGAUAACAUGCUAUUUUUCUCUCUAAACGAAUAUACUUUUAGUGGUAUAAAAAUUCACGUAUCGUAUCCGAAUCUCUCUCUCUUAAAUAUUUUUAUGCUGUAUCAUUUUUCAUUAAUGAAAUAUCACAUUAGCAUGGAUAAAUUUUCCAGGUACAAUUAUAUAAUUGUCAUAAUUACCCUUUGUUAUCUUGUUCAGAUGAAACUGUGCCAAAUAUUUCCAAGGGUCAACAUAAACAAAAAUAAUGAUAUCUUAGUCACAAAUUCAUGGUAAUUCACUUGGUUCAUUGACAAAGAUAGAUGCAAUCAUAUGAUAUGAUGCUUAUAAAUAGUGUGACCAUCUCUCACACUUAUCCAUAUUGGCCCCAUGCAGGAUAAUUCUUCUGUUUACGAAAAUGCGAAGCGGCAUGUCGCAGUAAAAUAUUCAAUAAUAAUUUAUCCAGUAAUACAAAAAUUAUUUAUAUGAUUGAAAAUUAGAAAUUUGAUUUAUACUUCUUAAAAAAUCUCGAGAUCCACAAUUUACAACGAUGGUUAGAAUAGUAGUUCCCAAAUUAUUUUUGCCACAAAAGGAUUUAAGGGAAAAAAAGUGUUACCAAACUUACCCUGUGAACUACUAUUGUUGUGAAAAACUGAAAAUAGGGUAGUUCAAUUACCCCUUUUUUUGGGUAAACUUCAAAUACCACCCUGUGGUUGCGCACUUUCUCAUUUUAGUAUCACGUGGUUUCAUUUUUUUUUCUUGUCGUCAGAUUUUUUUUUCGUUAAAUCAUUGACAAAGUUAAAACUAAAAAAUAUUAAAGUGAAUAUUCCAUGAAUCUAUGUGGGGUAUCUGAAGUUUUUUGUAUAUAAUUUAACUAAAGGAAAAUGAAAUCAAAGGGUACUAAAUUGAUAAACUUUAAACAACAGGGCAUUAAAGUGAGAAAUUGUCAAAGUUUUUUUUUUUUUUUUUUUUUUUUUUUCAAUAGUUCCUGAGGAUGUGCACUACAAUUUGGAGAAUAAAUUUUAGAAGGAAUAUUUCUCUGUCCCCACUACCGCAGAAAAUAAACUCAGGAGGAAAGUUAAUUGGGUUUGCAUUUUACAUCAGAGGAAAUGGCAUAAGAAUAUGUAGGGGACAAACUUUGGUGAAGAGAGAAAGUGCAUGAAAUACUACGACCACAAGCAAUUAUUGAGACCAAAAGCAAUUAUUGAGCGGUCGUAGGUUUUUUUUUCAAGGUCAGAGAUUUGAUACUCUGUUUGUAAUUUCACAAGUUAAGCUUAAAAAUCGUGUAUACUAAUUAUUAGAGGGAUAUAAUUAUAGAUAAAGAAAUGGUAUUGUAAGGUACUGGACUUCUAAAAUUAUGAAGUUACGGUGUGCAUUUGAUUGGAAAGCCAUUUGAAUCGUCCCGGCAAAGUUUGGUGAAGUUCGGAAGCCUUCAGGCGUUUCGGCGCGCGUAGGAGUGGAAACGAAAUCCGAAAGGCUAUAUUGGGCCGUGAGCUAAAAUCGGCAUUAGCGUAGAUGAAAAGAUGAUGAAAAUACGCUCGAAAAUAUGUUUGAAGAGUCUCGGUUCGAUUUGAAAUGAAUCGGAGGUCAAACGAGUGAAAACGGAGCGAAAACGGAUGAAGCUGAAAUUUGACUAAGUCUGGGCUGGAGGUCCCUCUGGGACCGGUCCCUGGCAGUGAGGGACCGGUCCCCGAACGCGAAAAUGCCCAUUUUGGACUGUUUGAGAGGCUAAGAGUUGUGGGGGCUUAUUGCACUUGUUACAUGAGUUGGAGACAAAGAGAGGAGAUGGCUCUCUUCCUUUCUCAUUUCCCCUCAACCGUAGCCCUCUCUCUCUCUAAAACUCUCUCUUUCUCUCUCUAAGAAGUGGAGCAAGGAAGGAGAAGGUGGAGGAGAAGGCUUGAAGAAGGAGUUCUACUUCUUCUUCUUCCUCUUUUGGCCAUUGGAGAGCAAGCUUUGAAGGUAAGCUUUAAGAGCUUUAAUAGCAUAUUUCUGUAGAUUCGGUUUUAAACUCUAAGAAUGGAUUUAGUAGCUUUCCUAAGUGCUAAUUAGAUGGAUUAUGCUUGAAUCCAAAGCUCAAAUGGUGGAUUCUUGCCUAGUUGUAAACCUAGGGCUUGAAAUGGAUUUCUUGGUAGAUCAUGGGUUUUGAUCUCUAGAAAUGGUAUUUUUGGAAUUCUAGGAUGCUAAUAAGAUAACUAGUACCUAAAUCUUGAAUUGAUUUGGAGUAUUUAGCAUCAAUGGCAUCUAGGGCUUCAAAAAUGGGGUUUUUGUAAAUAGUUGGGUUUGAUCUCUAUUAACCCUCUGUAAACCUAAUUGCUAGGUCUCCGAACGCGUUUGUACACUUGGUUUGAGCAUUCGUCGAGUCUACGUGAAGAUAUUGAAGAAACGAACCUUCCGGCAUUCGUUUCCGCUUGGAGGGCCGAGGCGGCGUCCAUAAAUUGUGGGAUCGGAUUCCGAGUGUCGAAACCGAAGACCUAUAAUUUCUGGAUCGCAGAUCGGAGAUCGUUCGGUGGUCGCGCGUGAAUUGGGUCGAGCCGAGCGGCGUGCGCCGCGGGAGGCCGAUUGCGAGUGACGACGAGCAAUCGGAACGCGAUAAAAGGUGGGGGGUGUUCAUCUCGAAGCAACCGAGCUUCUUCCUAUGUCUUAGUGCUUUAUCGAUUUGCAUAUAGCAUAUUGUAUAUUGUUAUGCAUUAUAGGGUGAUGAUACAUGCAUUCCUUCUCCUUGUAUGAUGUCUAUAAUUAAUAUAGUUUUAUGAUAUAGAUACUUGAUGUAAUGGACAUAAGGAUUAGGAGAUGACAUUAGUGGUGUUAAAUGAAAGAGGAACCUAGUAUUGUAUCUAAAGACAUAGUUUACUAGUGGCAUUGGACUUAGUGUGAUAGAAACACAUAUAACUUGAACUUAGUAUUGGAUUGGUUAUUGUACUAGAAACUCUAGUUAACGUUGAUCAAGUUGCAUAUUAGGAUAUUGCAUUAUAGGGUGCUAGAUGGCAAUUGUUAUAUGUCAUGGCAUGCUAGUGAUAGUGUAGUGUUGAUUGUUUAAUACUUGUACCUAGUAUGCAUGAGAUUGGGACAUAGUGUUGUGAAACCCUAUAAUGGCAUGAUUCAUGUGGAUUAAACUCUAGUUGAGUGAUCACCUAGUGAAUAUGUGCAAGUAGUGUAUCGAGAACAUUAAAAUAUGACGAGUGGCAUCUAGUUAAUGUUAACCCAUGACGAGUGGCACAUGAGAAUUGAGUUUAGUUGACACUACGGCAUCGAACAUAGGGAUAGGUGAAUUCCCCAGUUGCGAUUUGGGUAGAGAACCUAAAGUGUGAUAUUGUUAACCCUAGAUGAUAGGGUGUUCCUAGUUGAUGAUACUAUCCUUAGUUGAUAGGAUGUUCCCAGUUUAUGAGGAUUUGGAUCGAACUCACAUAGCUUGUCUGCGCCUGGUGUGGUAACUCCACACAGGUAGUGCACUCCGGAGUUGUCAUCCGAUGAGGGCUAAGAUAUUUGCCCUUGGACUAAAGUAUCUGUCCGUAUGCGGUCUCGGGGGUAGUUGAGCAGUAGGACUCCUCCUCUAUGAGACUUACACGCGUGAGAUUGUGAGAGAGCCUCGAGUUCGCCGAGAGAUUGGGUAAUCUGAUGAGUUACAUUGUUAUUGUGUAUAGUCGCUUGGUAGUUAGCCUGGUGGAUUUGCCUUCAUACCGUGAGUGAACAUACUAUUCCUUUACCUAUGAGAUUUGAGCGGGACAGCCUUGCACCUAGUAGAGCGAGAUUGAGUCGGGCGAGGAGCGGGGUAGCUCUUUGCCUAGGACCUUCGAGAUUGAGUCGGACCUUCGAGAUGUGAGUCGGGCCAGGAGCGGGGUAGCUCUUUGCCUAGGACCUUUGAGAUAUGAGUUAGGCGAGAAAAGAGCGGGGUAGCUCUUCACCUACUGGAUUUGAGAUCUUAGGCAAGUUGGCCUAGUCGAUUGGGUAGUAACAUGAAUAGCAUAAGUGGAUUACAUUCAUACCAUGAUUAGACAUAGUAGACUGCAUAACUAUGUUGUAGUUGUAUUCAUUACACUGUUGAAGCAUACUAGCAUGAUAAUUGGUUAUUGCUAGAUGAUGUUCCAUGCAUUCUUUGAAUUUGAUGGCAUAGUAGAUAUAGUAGCAGUUUAUUUCUAUCUACCUUUUUAUCUAUCUAUCUGUGCCAGCUUAGACCUAGUGGGAAGAUCGGCGGAGUCGGCGGCCGAACCCACUGGAAACUAUAUUUAUAUAGUUCUCACCCCGUGUAAUUUUGGGGUACAGGUACACACGAGAGCGGACCAGCAGAUGAUCGCGGUAAGGGCUUAGCGCCCUAGUUGCAUUAGUCUACUUUCCUAUUUCUGCAUUAGAGUCACCUUUUAUGCUUUGAGAGUAGAUGAUGUAUAGGUUGUGAGGUAUUUUGGAAGAUUGUAAACUCAAAGUUUAUGUUUUGGAUGGAUGUAAAGUUAAUCAAAUGUUCUACGUUGAAUGGAUGUAAUAGCUUAGUAUCUUUCUCUCUCUUUUGUUUCACUUGUAUGUUUAUUACUCGUGACACUUGCUCUUGUAAUGUUCAGUACUGGUUGUGCUCUUGCUAUUGUUGUAUGAUCGUGUAUGUAUUCAAGAUGAUUUUCUGAAGAUUUGUUGUAUAUGAUCUCGUCGCUUUAGCCUGGGGCAGACAGGAAAGGUGCUGUCCAUCCGGCGUCUGUCCGACGUGCCCAAACCGGACCCAAAUGGGUAGCGGUAGUUCGGGGCGUGACAGGUAUUGUUUCCAAGAAUUGACCAAAAUAAUUUAUGAUUUAUGCUUUGUUUAUGAUUUAUGCUUCGGUAAAUUGCACUAUUAGCCAUUAAGAAUUGCUUGAAAUGUUGUUGGUGAUAGCACGCAUUGUAGGUAGAUUGCACGCGAAACAAGACUAAGCGUUCAUUUGGAAUGGUAGGUAGAUAUGUAGCGGGUGUAAAUUUUAAAUUUAUAAUUAUUAUAUUAUAGGUUAUGUAAAAUCACUUAAUAAAAUCAAAUAUAAGUACUAAUAUAUAUAUAAUAUAUAGUUAUAGUAUAUAUAUAUAGUAUAUAUAUAUAUAGUAAUAUAUAUUAUAUAUAUAUCUUAUUUGGAAAGAGAAGAAAAGAGAAUAUUAAAUAAAAAUUAAAGGCAGAAGAGUGAGCACAUCAAACUUUAAAUAUAAUAUAUUUACUCAUAAUAUAAAAAAGUAAAAAGUAAGCAUUUUAAAAAUUAUAUAAUUAUUAAAUUCAAAUUUAAUUUUUUUAAAAAAUAAGACGUGUCUUUUCCUUUGAGAAAGACAGAAAUAAGAGUAUUAAAUUAAAAAUUAAACUGUGAAAGAGAGAGAGAGGGAGAGAGUCCGUAAGAGAGGGAGAGGAGAGAGAAAAUAUAUAAAUAUUAAAUUAAAUAAAAAUUAAAGUAAGAGAGCACAUACACCGUGAGAGAAAAAAAAAAUAUAAGGAAAAAACAUGUCACAUUGAGAGAAUACUUCCUGGAUAGAUCAAAUCAAAAUAGAAUAGGUUCAUGAUCUACACUGCACCGGAUGCACCCAAUAUUUUUAUUGCCCAGUCAUAGUGCAUUGAAUGCAAUUUACAAAUAUUAUACGUGAUACUCCUUAAAAAUUAAUUAUAAACAAUUCAAAAAUUAGGAUUUAAUUUAUUGAGUAUAUGACAUUCGAAUGUAUUAAUAUGCAGUAAGAUAAUAUGAGGAGAGAAUACCCUCUCUUCCUCCAUCUAUAAAAUGGCCUGAUGAAUUUCGCAAUAAAUUAUUUAUGAUAUAUUUUUCACAAUACUACCAAAUGAAGAAGCAUAUUUCUAUAUACUUUCACUCCAACUCCUUUAUGGCAAUAGCUAAAUGUGCCCCCAAAGUAAAAAUAUAUAGAACAGCUAGAUCUGAAACAUAUUGCCUGCAAAUUUGCACACCUAUAUGCUGGGACCAAAUACUACUGAAAGAUUAAGUACCAAUUAAUGGGUCGAAGUAAACAGCUAAACAGAUAAGCAGAAAUUAGCAAUCCGUAUCUGAAAACAAUGAAGCAACCACCAAUUGCAAGCACAGUGGCAGUAACAACUAGGGGUGUAAACGAGCCGAACACGAGCUGGCUCGCAAACAGCGAGCUGGAUUGCCACCCCUAGUAACAACACGGCUGCGCAGGGAAUCACCGAGGACAGAGAAACUGCAACUCCAAAACAAAUCACUCAAAAAAUUCUGAGGCCCAUGAUCGCCAAAAGAGGGAAUAAAAUGAUCGACAGUGGUAAGCUAUUGGAGAGAUUUUAGUGACAAGCAAGUUGAGCUUCAAACAGCUGUUUUUUUUUUUUUUUUUUUUUGGAAGCUCUCGACGGGCCUGACAAGCGAUACGCGUCAGUUCUACGAGUCUGCUGUUGAUGCAGGGUAUGACAAGCAGGGAGAACAAAUGGAAACAGGUCAUGUCAAUGGAGGAUUAAUUUUGGUUUUCAAAAUCAACAAUGACAAUACCGAAUCAAAUUACCAGCUGACACUAGCCUAAAUCAUCACAUAAAAAUGCCAAGGAUGAGUGAACCCAGCAGCUCAAACUAUAAAUGAUGUAGUUAGAUCUGCUCAUUCAAAAGUUAAUGGAGCUAAAGACCACAACACGAGAAAUCCAAAAAUACUACAGCAGACUAAACAAGUAAUUGAAUGCCAAGAAACAAUCUGAAUGUAGGGGGGAUUAGGUUAUUGUGAAGCAAAUUAAAUUUAUAAUAAUAAUAAUAAUAAUAAUAAUAAUAAUAAUAAGGAACUGGAUCUGCACUUGGCCACAGUUAUACAAAUAGAAUACUUUUAUAUCCUCUCGAAUCCAUAAUUUGUAUGACUAAACAAGCAUACAGUGCUAUAAAAUUUAACAAAAAAAGCCACAUAUGUAGAACCAUUUGCUUUACAAUAAGAGAAGUAACAUGGACUUUACACAAAUCACAAGAUAUUUCUCAGGCUUGAAAAACAAUCCAACAAAACCAAAGAGGCCAAUAUCACCAAAUAGGUUAGAUUAAUACCUAGAGGUGAGAAACUAAAACUACAAAACAGUUUAUCCUAGGAACCUCAGAAUCAAAUUAAACCAGCAAGUGCUGAACACCAUUUCAAAAGCAUAGUAAAACAAUCAUAUCUCAUCUUCACCUUACAUGAAUUUACAUAGAGUAAACAGUGAAGAAUGACUAGCCAUAGAAACCAAGAGAUUAGAGCUCUUCAUUACUCUGAGAAAUCUUACUGUCAACAAGAAAAGAUAUGAUUUGAAAUAUGAGAUCAAUGAUUAACCAUGUAGUAAUCCAUCGGCCAUAAAAAUAACAUCAAUAGACUACUCAUGUUCAGAUCAGAUUACUAAUCAACUAGAUAUCUAUUUCAAUGCUUCUUUCAAGCAUCCAUACAUGCAGAAUGUUUAGCACAUUUUUAUAUUAAGAGUUAGCACGAGCAGAAUUUGGUUUAUACAAAAUAGAAAAGAAGGAUAUCACAGUAUCAUUGUGUAUAUUCAAUUUGUUUAUUCAUCUACGAUCAUAAGAUGGCCAUGAAUUAAAUUUCAAUUCUUUUCGACCAAUAAAUAUAUGUUUAUGCAACUACUAUUUGAAAACAUUCAAUUGUUUACCAAAUAGCUGCAGGGGCAGUUACCUUUUUGUGUGUAAAGAAAAACAUUUCCAUACAUUACAAGGAUGUAACUAUGUCCAUCGUCUAAAAGCCUGAAUAAAGAAGCAAGGAUGAAACAGAUAGCUAGGCAGUCGGCAUAGAACUUUUCGAAAGAAAACUAUCAAAAUGGAUGCUGAGAAAAGUAAUACAUACGUAACAAAUAACCUUCAAAUACAUAACAAAUAACCUUCAAAAAAGUAGAAACAAUGGAAAGAAAAAAAUCCAUAUAACCUGUUACAACUCGUUGAAUUAAAGGCUUAGUAGUUGUUGCUGUUAGAUGAUACCAGAGCGGUAUGCAAGGAAACUGCCUACCUACAAUAAGUAAACUAAACCGGCAGGUUUUCCAAGAAUAGUUUAGUUUCAGAUUUGAUACACAAAAUUAAUAUGAUUUGGUCUCAGUACUAUGUACAAAAACAAAUCUUCAAUUGAAGCUAACCAAUCAAUUACUGUUAAGCAUUUGAGUUCUUAUAUUAAUAAUACAUAGAAUAUACGUUUUCAUUUUUUUUUAAAAAAAAAAGAAGAGAUACACGGUUAUAUCUUAAUUGGGUGGACAUGGCGCACCCACAGACUGAACCCAGAUGGACAGAAUUAUGCAAUUUCUGGUCAGCCUUUCUGCCCUAAACAAUUUAGUUUUUGGUUCAUACUUGUGUUGAACCAAUUAAUUCCUUAAGUUUAUCUUCCAAAACUGCUACCAUCCACACCACUAGAAGCAGCAUAUGUUAACCAGAAACAAAAUACCUAACCCAACAAGCAUAAAACCUUACUCAACCCAAGCCAGAUUGACACGAAAAGACAAUGAUCUGGACCUAAAGCAACCUUCAGUGAGAGAACCCCGAAGGACCUAAUUGAUAUUAAAACGUGAAACCGAAACAACGUGAAACCUGAUACAGCCUAAAAGGAAGGAGGCCGGAACGUGAAAUGACCUGAACCAGAUAAUUCAAACCCCAAAGCAACCUAGGACAAUCAAUAGCACCUAAACUCAGAAAAAAAAGAAAAAAGAAAAAAAAACUGUCUUCCUCCUUUAUCUGCUGCUACUCGUGUCCUUAAGGUAGACCUCCAUUCGUCCCCUCCCCCCAAAAAAAAAAAAAAAAAAAAAAAAAAAAAAAAAAAAACUCUAGCCAUAUUUUGGCGAAUUUGAUGUUUUAUACAUCAUGAAUAUAAAUUACUAUAUUUGAUUAGUGGUGUCCUUCGGUCCUUCCCAUGUUCAUGUCCUAGUUUUUAGGGGUGGCCAAGCCUUGCAGUGUCCAUGUCCUGUGUUCAUGUCAAUGUAACCCAAGUCCAAACAGAUCAAAACUAGACAAAACAUAAACGAGUGCUCCAAACUCGAAAUAAUUCAAACCUGCCCCGAACCUGAAAUGAUUUGAUUCGAAUAUGAUUUAACCUACCUGAGUAAGACCUCUCAGCACUGACGGACAAAUCUAAAUGGAAUUGUACAAAUAUGGUCUACAGCAUUGACUGAAGCCAAUAGAAAAGCAGAUUGCUCAAGUGUUUUCAUAACAACUUCAACAAGCCUUCUAAAUGAAAGUCCAUCAUUGUUGACUAAUAAAUGAGAGUUUGGUUGCUUUAGGUAAAGGAAUUAAUUAUAUUUUUACUGCCGGAAAUUUGACGAUAAUUCAAUUCCGUUCUCCUACUUACAGUUUCAGCAAUUUAAUUUCUGACGUUAACACAGUGCUACUUGCGAUAACUUCUGUCGCCAGUCUGCAGUCCCAAAAGACACCACAUCAGUACUGUUGCUAGAAUAUGCUUUGUGCAAAUCAAAAGUCUGAUAGCAAAAUUAAAAGUCGUGGCCAAUUUAAAAUGGCUAGAAUUUGAACUCUAAAAUUUAAAAACCAUGGUCAAGACUGUAUAAGUUAAAACUGUAUAUUUGAAAGCCAACGGAUGAAACUCGGAUCAGGGUCUCCAAAGGAUUAGAUUUGCAAUCAACCCAAAAAAUGAUAGGAUUGAGUAAAAGCCAAAGUAAAUUGCAUAUAAAACUAUUGAGUGCUGUACCCAUUUAAAUGACCUUUACAACUUGCCUUAUUAGUGUAACCUUACAUGCCUUGUAAGCUCUAUACAAGUAUACAACAGAUGACCAUCUACUUUUCUAUAGAUUAAAGCUGGAUAAGAUAUUUCUCAAAGACUACCACAAAGAAAGGCAGUUUAAGUACGUAGUUAUUCAAAAAGGCUGCAAUAAUUGCCCUUAUAAUUAUGGUUACAAGUUCUACUCUUAAAAAAAAGAGGUUGAAAACUUAAGGAUAUCCUCUAUUAUAGAUUAAAUUACCGGGAGUUAACAACUAGCUACAAUCACAAAAUUAACUGGUGCAUCUGGCUACUUGAAGACCAGAAAUCCAACCAGCUGCACAAACAUAGAUCGCAAGAAAGAGCACCUUAAAUUUAGGUAUCACAUUUGGUAUUAAAUCGCCACCUAGAAAGCUAAUGUCACACAUACAUUUUUCGCACACUUAAAACGCGAUCAACUGAAAGCCACGAUGUCUACAUCAUCCAACACUCACUGUUAAUUAGUUAAUACAGUACGAAAUUAUGUCAAGAAAUAGCGGAUACAGCAUUCUGGACUAACUAUAGAGUCCAAAUAUAUGAUUAUGCCUACGAUGAUAGUAAUCUAGCGGAUCGAAUUCCCAGUCGGAUAAUCGGCUACAUCCCCGCAAACUUUUGGCCACAUGAAACGACCGAGCCUACAAGAAAGCGUUCGUCAAUGAUGAUUUAGUGCACUUUACAACUACAACAUGAUGCCUCUAUCCUCAAGUAGAUUUGACAGACAUGUAAAACGCACAGACUUCGCAAAUCACCUGUAAAUGGAAUCGGACCAUUUAACGCCUACCACGGGGCCCACCAGAUGACCUCGGUCCAGGAUGGCGAGCAAACUGCAGCCUCAGAUUGGCUGAUUCACGAUCAUGCUCGUCAAACUUAUAACCUGCAAAAUGAACCGUGACUAUUUACGCGUCGAAUGAGACUGCUUCGUGCGAGGAGCAGCGUACCUUCAAGGAUGACACAGUUACUUACAACGUUACGCAUAUUAAGUAAUCGGCUUACAUCAGGAUGCCAAACAAGGCAGAAGAGGUAAGACAGGAAGGCGUUAUACAGGCCCAAUUCUCAUAUAAACAGUAGCUCUUUGUAAGUUAGAACCUAACAUGUAUUAAUUGGUCAAUCUUCUUGCUCUGGCAGAUCUUCAGGGAAACCCCAUAACUAAUGUUCAGGGACUCUUAUAAUAGUGAUAUAACUGGUCAAAAAGGUCUGCCAAGAAACACCAAGAUAACGUAUAGACAAUAGCUACGCGUACAAGAAAAAAAUAAUCUACUAGCACCUGAAAGUAAUUGAGAAAACAUGAUGAUUUUUCCAUGCACUUACCGUGUCUUGUAGCAGAUAACGUCAUCAGAUAGUAUAAGAUAGUUGUCAGAUUAUUAUUUAAUAUAUAACUUACAAAUGUGAUUUAUUAAUGUUCAUAUGCCUAGAAUACUUUUACGAUAUUCCACAAAAGCUCGUGCCCCACAAUUUAAAACAUUCACCAAUGAUGAAAGUUUGUGAAAAUAAUCUGAAUUUUGUAAUAAAUGUCUACUGAUUUUCUUAGAGAAAAAUUGAAGAUUGAAAGGUAUCAUAAGUUGCAAAAGUAAUUUCUUGACCGACAGAAAUAACACAUACAAGUAGAUUUCCAGAUUACACGCAUAUAUGUUCACGCACCAUAUUUGUAUCACAUCAUGUCCGUACCCGCAUCCAUAUCCAUGGAUCAGAGGUAGAACAUACAGGAAACAUGGAUAGUCUUAUUAAAAGAAAUGCUAAAAGGAAAUAGAAAGAACUAUGGUUUAUAUAAGAAAAUCUAUUUGCUUAGUAAAAGUACAUAUUUCUUGACCUCAAUUGUGUGAAAACAUUUCAAAAGAAGGUUCCCAUUGGCUCUAAAGAUGUUAGAACCCAAAAAUGACACGUUGAACCCGACAUGAUGCGGAACCAGAUUCAAAGAGGAUUCGGUCUGAGUCAUCUUUUAUUUAUUUGAGUCAAUUUUGUAUUAGGGUUAAUUGAGUCGUUUAGGUUUUAAUUAUUUUUUCUAAUUUUCAGAAUUAUUUUGGUUGUUAAUUUGUUUUAGUCGGUUUUAAAGAUUUUUUAGGAUUUAUCAUACAGAAUAAAUCUCUAAAAAUUAAAAUUCGGGAUAUAGUUUAGGUUUUUUUAUAGAUAUAUUUGAAUUAGGAAAGAUCCCUAAAAUAAUAGAAUUUGAAUUAGAUUAGGAUUAUGCUUUGAAGGUUAUAAAUAUAGCCUAUGCAUUGUAAUUUAGGAGAUGAGUCAUCAUGGAAUAAAUUUGGGUUUUUGUUUUCUAAGGAAGUGAAUUCUCGAAAUUCGAGGAUUAGAUUUCGUCUAGAAACGACUAAUUGUCGAGAGUAUAAGCUUCGAAAAACCCGAAGAUAAUUAGAAUGCAUUAAGGGCAUUAAGGAAGAGUCCGCGAGAGCAACAGUGCAAAAUCUGCACUGGAGCAGAAUUUGCUCUCGGGGACCGGUCCCUGGCAGGGAGGGACCGGUCCCAUCAGGCUGGGCUGGCGGGGACCCAUGAGGCAACCAGUCUCUGGCAGGUAAGGACCGGUCCCCGAACGUUAACCCAGCGAGAGAAGCCAAAAUUUGGCUAAGUCUCGGAAAUCCAACUCUCGGGAACCGGUCUCUCGAACAAGGACCGGUCUCCCGGGGACUGGUCUCUCAAGCAAGAACAGGUUCCCGAACGCGAAAUCCCCUCUGCCCGAAUGUGCAGCUCUCGGGGACCGGUCUCCCCGACCUGGGAUAGGUCCCUCACUACGAAAUAAGCCAGUGAAGGCUAUUUAAUAGGUGGAAAGUUGAGGGGCUUAUUUACAAAAUAGCCUAUAUAAGGGCUUGGGGGACCACUCCUCUCCCUCACUCUCUCAUUUCCCUCUCCCACACUCUCACUCUUUCCCUCUCUCUCUCUCUCUAGAAAGAAAAGAAGGAGAAGAAGAAGGAGAGGAAGGAAAAGAAGAGAAAGAGGAAAGAGAAGACUAAUUAGAAGGAGGAGGUCAUCUUCUUCUCUCCCUCCCUCAAGCUUGGAGCUUGGUUUUGAGGUAAGCCCUCAACCCUACCAUGGUGGAUUUCUUGGGUUAGGGUUUUGUUGCUUAGAAAUGGUUCGAGUGGAACCUAUUGAGGUUAAGGAGAUGGCUCGAGCUCGAAAUGGAAGCUCGCGCCACGGAUUUCCUCACCGUUGCUAAUCUAGGGCACGGAUUUGGGAUUUUUGAAAAGUUAGGGUUUUGAUCUCGUUUAAUGGGUCGCAAACCUAAUUGCUAGGUCUCUAAACGCAUAGGCGAAGACGGUUCGUCGAUCCGACGAGCGAGCGCGAAGAUAUCGCCGAAACUGAUACUUGAGGGUUCGCUUUGCCCCGAGAAGUUGAAGCGACGCAAAAGGACCGUGACGUCGAGUUUGCUAACUACGCGGCACUACCAAAAGGUGGGGGAGUGCCAUCCCGAAGCAGUCGAACUGCUUUCUAUGUCUGAGUUCUAUCGUUGAUCAAUUACAUAUUGUAAUAUAGCAUUAUAGGGUGUUAUAUGCAGUUGUUACAUAUUGUGGCAUGCUAGGGCUAGUUUGGUUUCGCGGAUAUAGUGAAUGAGAACCUAGUAUGCAUGAGCUGAAUAUGAGAUAGUUAACCCUGUAUGUGAUGAAUGUGCUAUGUGAAUAUGAACCUAGUAUAUUGCAAACUAGUGUAUUGAGAACGAGUGGCAUCUAGUUAACAAUGAACACAGAACGAGUGGCAUCUAGUUGAUAUGAAAACCUUAGUGUAGGGAACACUAUGAGAUUGAGUACCAGGACACUUGGGUUCUAUGAUGAGAUAUGAGAUCAUCCCAGUUGGUAGGAUGUUUACAGUUCGUGAGAUUGGAACGAGCUCACAUUGCCUGUCUGCGUCUGGUGUGGUAGCUCCACACAGGUAGUGCACUCCAAAGUUGUCACCCGAGGAGGGUUAACGUAUCUACCCUUGGACUAACGUAUCUGUCCGCAAGCGGUUUCAGGGGUAGUUGAGCUUGAGCUCCUCCUCUAUGGAACUUACUUAUGUGAGAUUUCGAGCGACUCUCGAGUUCGCUAAGAGAUUGGGUAACCUGAUGUGUCACAUUGCUGUUGGGCAUAGUAGUUGGUACUUAGCUUUACCCUAUGACACAUGCAUGCAUCAUUUCAGAUUGAGGCAUAGUUAGAUGUUCAUUUUAUAUACUCGCCUGUUAUUAUAGAUGAUUUCAAUUCAGCAAAAUAUCUAUCUAUUUGCAUGUCUAUCUGUGCCUGCUUAGACCUAGUAGGAAGAUCGGCGGAGUCGGCGGCCGAACCCACUGGAAACUAUUCGUAGUUCUCAUCCCACUUUGUUGCAGGUCCGAGUUCGAGCGUCCCCGGUGAGCGCGAGGAUUGUGGCAAGGGCAUAGCGCCCUAGCGGUAUAUGUACAUAGCUAGCCUUACUACCUUUUGCAUUAGCCCUACCCUGUACUUAUGUAUUGAGAGCAGAUGAUGUAUAGGGUGAGGUUUGAGAGUGAUUGUGCUUAUGUUUUGGAAGAUUGUAUGAGAUGAAUUAAUUGUAUAAAGUUAAAUGAGUUUAAUGGUUAAGUAUCUCUCUUUUAGCACUUGUAUACCUAACAUGUGUUGCUUGCUCUUGGUUGAUAUGCAUUGUUUGUGCUUUGUCAUUGCUGUAUGAUCAUGUAUGUAAACAAGUGCAUUUCCUGGGAACUUGUGUACAUGAUCUCGUCGUUGAGGCCUUGGGCGGACAGGGGAGUUGCUGUCCGUUCGGCGGUCCAUUCACCGCGCCCGAACCGGACCAAAUCGGUAGCGGACUCGGGGCGGGGGCGUGACAUAUUUCAACUGCGGUCAUGAUAUUUUCUUCCCUUCCCCUUCUCUGUCCUGUGUGCCGGUAAGAUUCUUCUUUCUAAGAGGUUCUAUCUUCUCUUUCUCUUCUUCUUCUUUUCUCCUUUCCUCUACUUCUCUCUUAUUAUUCUUUUAAAUUUGCUUUCUCUAUUAUCGGCUAUUUUCUUCAAUUUUCUCUUAAUUUUUUUUAAAAAAUACAAAAUAAAAAAAUUAUCGGAACCUUCUUUUUAGAGCGUACUACUUUUGGAUUUUUUUUAAUUACGAAAAUUAAUUUAAAAAUUCAUUAAUUCUUUUAUAAAUUAGAAAAAUAUGUAAAAUAAUCUAAAAUUUCUAGAAAAUUCUAAAUUUGGUUUUAAAUUUAUUUUGGGCUCAUCACUUGCAAGAUAGAUUAGAGUUGUCCUAAUUUGUCCUACAUCACGACAUUAUGACAUUCAUUAGAACAUUGAAUAGCAUUACUUGCACGUUAGCUAAGAGGGACAGAUAGAGUGGAUGCUUAUGACUGAAAUAAAUAUUACUACAAAAACCAAAUAAAGGCACAAGUCAUAUAUCCUAGUCCUACAACUGAGUCAAUGCAAACCAAUGUCAACUGGAAUGGGAUACGAUGCGAUAUGCAAUACAGUCAUGGAGUCAUGGUACGCUGGUUUCUCAGUAAAGCAGAAAGACGGAGCAGGUUUAGUUGGAUGGUUAAUCCAAAACGUGGUUUGAUUCGGAACGGCAAAUAUGGCUUGAUAUACAUGAAAAAUCAAUGGCUUACCUUUUCUUACUAUACAAAUAUUUUUCUGUUGUUAAGAUAUGGUUUUAUAGUCUCCUAAACACCAUUCAAAAGAAAAAAACAAAACAAAACAAAACAGCCUCUCUUUCAUCAUAGUUCUUUUAGGUAACCUAACAAAUUAGGUGUAGAAAAUCUAAGUCCUUUUAUACUAUUUUCAAUUUUAGACUUUUUAUGAGCAAGACUGGAAACCCGCCAUGAAUCAGAACGUGUAAUGUACAUCACAGUUCUGCAGGAUUGUCUACGAUCCCGGCAAUAGUGACAUAGAUACCAACCAUUAAAGUUCGCAAAGGAAAAAACAAUGCCACUUCUCCACCCCUGCAGCUAGUCAGCAGUCAUUUUCUAACAGCUUAUAGAAGCUACUUGUGCACCUAUGAUUUACAUUUUAGGAUAAACUACAAAAGCAACUAAUAAAUGAAAAUACAAGCUUCAUAAGUCAUCUAGUAUCCAUUUUCCAGAGGAGAACAGUCAAUGGCAGAUUCUGAAACUUCUUCAUGUUAAAAUAACAGGAAAAGAAGUGAAGAAAUUCAAUACAGUUAGAGAUAAAAUAUUAGGAGAUAAAAUAUUGACAAUUUCCAAAUAAAGAGACAAAUCAGAUACGUAUAAGAACCAUAAAGUGCAGAUCCAACUACUACCAUUAUUGCCAUGCACUUGCCAAAACAGUGAAUGGCUAAAAGAAUUGGAAAGAAAUUAAAAUGCAAUUUAACAUAUUCAGAGUAAGUUACGAAAAUUGUUGGACAUAUAGUUUUCACCUUGCAAAGCAUCCAAAGCAACAGCAGCUUGUGCAGGGGUGGCAAAAUCAACAAAGCACAGGAUAAGCGGGUCCCCUCCAGGCUGUUGAGAAAGUAAGCAUGAAGCUAAAUGAUGAAGCUAACAAACAGAAAAAGAAAGAAAGUACAAAGCAAAAUAUCCACAAACAACUUAUAAUCAUUGACUUACGUGUCUGGAUUCCUUAUUGACAAGUCUCACCUCACGAAAACCUACAAAAGGACGGAAGAUAUCUGCAGGAGAAAAGUGAAGGAAAUACAUCUAUAUAUAUAUACAUAUAGUAUACAUAUAUAAUAUAAUAAUAUAUAUAUUAUAUAUAUAGAGUCUGGUACUAUGGCUAUAAUAGCACAAAGCAACUUGGUGCACCAUAAUUUUCCCGCCGUUAGAUCUACCUUGUAUCAAUUUAACAGCCGUUAGAUCAUACUAUUCAACCAACCACCCACUCAACCCUAGGGGGCCCACAUCAUCCUAAACCGCACAUCUCUAAUCCAAUGCCAAAAACAUUGGUACACCAGUGACUUGGUGCUAUUAAACAGCAUAUAGCCUAGUUCUCUAUAUAUAUAUAUAUAUUAUAUAUAUAUAGUAUUAUAUAUAUAUAUGAAUGAUGAAAUUACUGCUCAAGCUUCUGCACUUAGGAUUUGAACAGAAACAUGAAGUGGAGACAUCAGGAUACGUGAAACUUCCCUGCGAGUAACAUUCGCAGGGAGACCUUCAACAAACAGAGUAUUUGAGGCAUCAGGAGGAAGAGGAGGCUCUGGCCUAACACCAGCAUAUCCAAGGGUCCUGCUAUCCACACCUCCAGCAACUGCAAUACGCCGAUCAUCAGCUGGGUAACCAGGCAUUGCUCCGAGCACAGGUCUAACAGCUUCAGUGGGACCAAAGGAAGACAUCUACAAAAUAAUUUCCAUGUUGAAGCCACGUGUUAUUGAAGGAAAAAAAAAAAAAAAGAGUCACAAUCAGUACCCCAUUUCGUAAGUAACGAUCAUAAGAAGCUCCUAAGGUAUCGGUGUCUCUGACUACACGAUAACCUGCCCUUUCUUCCUCACGAGGAUAAUAACCAGGCACCUCCGAACCACUAGGCAUAUCUUCAAAAAUCAAAAGGUUUCAGUUGGUAAGGAUGUUUAUUUGCAUAACUUAAAUGUGUUAGUGAUAUAAUACAAUCUCAACAGAGUGGAUGUCCACACACCAAUCAGAACAUUUCUCGAAAGAGAAAAAACAGCUUUUUAGGUCACUUGACAGAUAAAGCACAAGUAUACACAACUCUAGUUCAACAAGCCAGUUAGCCCAUAGGUCAUACGUCAUAGUUCAGCAGGGUUACACAUUUAGUUGUCCGGGAUCAAAAGUUGGCAACAAAUAUUCAAACAGAUAUGAUUAAAUUAAUUUCAAUUAAAUGCAUGCCAAAAAAGAAAAUAUGUAAUAAAUUGCUAAAGCAAGAUCCCUAAGCUACUUUAUCAAGUCUUCUUGUAACGGUAACAAAUUCUUGCUGAUGUUCACGAUUCUCCAAAUAACAGUGAUAUAAGGACAAAGUUAUUGGAGAUUGAGCAUGCAGCUCCAAAAGAGGUAGAUAUUCAUUGGAUCAGGAGAGUCUUCAGGAUAUAAAGACUUAAGAGGAUCUAUUGUAACAGAACACUACAGUAGCGAUAGUAGCAUAUAGCAUCAAAAUUAAAGUGUCAAAGGUAUCUGAGGAAGCCACACAGCGCUGCCCUAUAUUGAGGGCUACUGUUCCUCUAUGCCUAAGUGAGGAUUGCAUAUCAUUAGUAGCCUUUAUUGCAAUCUCAUUCUUCCACAAUCUUCCAAUCUCUCAAGCAACUCCUUUCUCCCACCUCUUCUCCCAACCCAUACUCUCAAAUUUAAAAAUCAAGUAGUAGUUCUCUAUACUUCAAACUUCUCAAUGCAAACCUUCUAAUAAGCUUCGAGUAGAUCUGCUCUUACUUUGUUUGACUAACUGUCUUUAAUGUUUCCAUAGUAUUUAGCAUUCAUUGUUUUAGAUCAUCAAAAAAGCUGGGUCGAAGUUGCUUUUGCAAUUAACUAACUAAUUCCAAUGUAUCAAAUCAUAUCAGCUUAAAACAACAGGACGAUGCCACAUCAUAUUGGUCAAGGCUAAUUUUUCAACCCUACAACACAUGCAUGAAUUACGUGAAUAAUUUGAUCAUAGAUAUGUGCACGUAAAAAUAUUUUUUUCCUCCAGGUAGACAUGAUUGGUAGCUUGAUCUCAUAUGAAAGACAUGAUAGCACAAAAAUAAUAACAAAUUGCACAAUUUCCAUAAACUAAGCCGAUCUUAUAUCAGGUUUUACGCGCAAUAUAUAAAUUCCUGCAUAGCUGAUAGAAAAAGGUAGAAAAAAAUGUCAAUAAGGAUAAAGUAUAGUAUCAAACGAAAUAUUUACUUUAAACAAAAAAAAAAGGAAUUACAUGAAAAAAUCGUUCACAUGAAUUAAACCAUUUGCGAGGUUCUUGAUAAAAGAUGCUUAGCAUCCCAAAAUAUUUCUUAAAACCACUUCGUAUGCGAAAAAGCAGUGAGCACAAUAGCCAAGAGAAGCAAAGCUUUCAAAUCAGCACAGCAAACUAUCCAAUUUUAGACUAAAAUAAAAAAUUUCACCACUGCAGCAGCAAAAAAAAAUCAAAUUUCAUGAGCUAAUAUACCUAGAAAAAUCUCAACUCUAUCCAGAUCAAGCUCAAUACCGAAAAGAUCGUGACAUCACAACGAAUUUACAUCUCACCACAAAUUCUCCCAAAAUCCACAUCUUUUAUUAGAUCAAGCGCAAAAUGUGAACCUAGAUCUACUUCCACAAGAACAAAAACGAGACCAUAACAAAUUUCAAGCACAAAGAACGACGAACAAGGAAACAAACAAGUCUCAAACGGGAUGCUCACACAAGUCCAAAGAAGGAGAGAGGGAGAAGAGAACCAGGGUAAUCUGGGCGGGGCCGUUUAAGCGUCCCGGCGGCGGCGGCUGUGGCGGUGGCGGCGGCGGCGGCGGUGGGGGCGGUGGCGGCGGGGGCCAUCGCCGCCGCCUGGUACCGGGCGUCGCCGUACCUCCAGUAGGCGUCGGCCAUGGCUACGGGAUCUGCAGAGAGAGUGGGAGGAGGAAGGGGGAGCUAGGGUUUUCCGCACGGUGGCGAACGCGUGGGCGCAGGUUAAAGGAGUGGAAACAACCCUAGCUUGAUACCUGACUUGAAAUUAAUUCCGAUUCCAAAAGGCUUAACUUGUGAAAUUAAGUCCAAGCCUAAAUUUAGGAUCAAGCACUUUUUAAAAUCAAUUCGAACUGAGCUUCCGCAAGCCUAAUUUCGAGUCGAGCGGUCACGAGUCCUGAACGAGCCACUUGAAAUUUUUAACACCGCUCAAUCUAUAGUUUAUUUUUUAGAGAACAUUAUCUAAAUUUAAUACAAAAACAUAUCUAAUAGGUUUAACAUAUAAAAUAUAUGCAUGAAUAUGAUAUUACAAUAUUAAGAAAAAUAGUUUAGAAAAAGUAACAAUGCGAGAGAAAGAGUAUAUAAUUAGAGUAAGAUUUUAUUGGUUUGAUUUUAUGGGCCAGCAAAUAUGCCCAAAAACCAAAACUCUUUAUAAAUAUAAUUAAAAUACACAAUAAAUAUUAUUAUGUGUAAUUAAAAUAGGAAAAACUUCAAAUACCCCCCUUGUGAUUUCAUUCUUUCUCAUUUUAGUACCAUGUAGUUUAAAGUGUAACAAGUUAGUACCCUGUGGUUUCGCACUUUCUCACUUUAGUACCCUGUGGUUUAAAAUGUAUCAAGUUAGUACCCUGUGGUUUAAUAUUUUAUUAAGAGAAAAAUAAAACCACAGGGUCCUAACUUUAUACAAAAAUAAAACUAUAGGACACUAACUUGAUACAAAAAUAAAAUCACAGAGUACUAACUUGAUACACUUUAAACCACAGGAUACUAAAGUGAGAAAGCGCGAAACCACAUAGUACUAACUUGAUACACUUUAAACCAUAGGGUACUAAAAUGAAAAAGUUUGAAACCACGGGGGGUUAUUGAAGUUUUCCCAUUAAAAUAUUAUAUAUAUAGAGAGAGAGAGAGUUGAGUUGGAAUGUUGUCGGUAGCAAACGGACUCCGUUGCCACAUAUUUGUUUUUUAUGAUAGAACUUUCAAAUCAACGAUCGGCACCGUUGACCAUGAUCUAUACUACUUAAUGCAUGUAGAAACCAAAUUUCAUAUUUUUUUCGAUAUUGUUGUUUUGUUCAUCAAGUGGACAUAAAAUGAACGGUUGAAAAUAAACAUUCUUAAAAAAGUCAUGAUAGAAAUCUUUAAAAUCGAGAGUAUAGAUCUUAUUCUACAUAGUCUAAAGAAUUUUCUAACCAAAAUUCAAUUGAUUUGGAUAUCUAUACACCAUAAAACGGAAAAACGGCUCACAUCGACCAUUAAAAUUACAAAUUUUGAAACCCAUUGAUCAUUAGGUUAAUGAUGUCGAAAAAAUUUAAAAUUUAGUUUCUAGAUAUUUUAAGUGGUAUAAAUCAUAUUCAACAGUGUCGAUCGUCGAUUUGGAGGCUUCAUCAUCAAAAAUAAAUGGGUGGCAAUGAAACCUGUUUGUUACCGAUAAUAUUCUCUCUAUUUCACUUUGUCUAAUUUAAGUCAAUCAUUAUUGUUUUCCCCCUUCCAUCACUAUUU